CUGGCUGUUUCUGGGUUGAUGAGUGGCAAUUCUGAGACGGACGCAGAAUGGGAACCCAAUAAUCCGAAUACGGUAUAAAAAAAUAUGCGAUUCGAGUGUAAUUUGAUAGAAUCAUUGUCUUUUUCGUAUCGAUAUUGCUCGUAGUCAUUUAAUUUUUCUUACAAGCUUUUUGAGACCAAUGUGACAUAUGUUAUCAUGUCAACGUAUGUGUGUGUUUUGUCAUUGCUUGGAUGUGUUAACUUCUUAACUUGGGUUCUGUUUCUUGGAUGCCCUUUUCGAAUUUUCGAAGGAUGCUACGAUUGACAUACAACUUCCAAGAAGAAGCUUGCUUGUGAAAUUUACUUGUAAUUUGUGUGGUGAAAGGACAAAUAGACUCGUCAAUCGAUUGGCUUAUGAGCGGGGGCUUAUUUACGUACAGGUACUUAUUCCUCUUGUUGAUUGAUAUAAGAUUCAGUGUUGUUUGUUCUUGAUGAUGAAAAACCUGUUAAACUUUUUUUCUGUCAAUUUGUUGAUAUUUUGAUACUUUUCUAUAUAGUCCUUAGAAAAAAGCAUAUAAAAAUUAAGGAUUAUGUUAAGCGGUCGGUUUCAAAGUUGCUUCUAGUUCUCUUAAUCUAAAAGUAAGAAACAAGUUUUAGGUUCAUCUGACUAAUUAGCACUGCUUCUCAUCAGUGUGCAGGGUGUCAAAAGUAUCACAAGUUAGUUGAUAAUCUUGGCCUUGUGGUUGAGUAUGACUUAAGGGAGGAUUUUGAUGUGGAUACAAAUGCGGAUGAAGUUUGAUCCGACAUUGAAUUCAUUAUGCUACUUUUGAGUUGUCUUUGUGAUAAAGUAAUUCUUGGCGGUUGUUGGAAUUCAUCUCCCUUGAUAUAUUGAACACGAAGUAAACAAAAAAGUGGUAAAUGUUGAUCGUUCAUCUUUUGUAUGAUUGAUUCUUAGAUCUAGGGUUGUACAUAUGAAAAAAUCAUCUUAUUGCAAUAUAUUCUCUUAAAAAAAUUUCUUCUGGCACUGUACCAAUAAAUUCAUAGUUCAACGUCUAAGAUUGGUAAGAACUUUAGCCUGUCUUUGCCAGCAGUAUAGUGAUUGCUAACCCGAUCGUAACCCAGAAUCCUGAUAUCCCUCCUUUCUGGUGGAGUGCAUUUCCUCCAUUCUAUGAGACAAUAAAGAGAAAGGUCAUGGAAAAAACUUUAAAGUUGUUAAGUAACAUCUGUAAAAUUUGAGUUCCAUCAUGCAAAUAUGGUGUUCUAUGGUAAUAAGAGUAAUAGCUGGUUAAAUUCUUUACCAAAUUCAAACUUGGUGAUGGGGCCGGUGUUGUAUCGUCCUCUGUAUCUGUCACCGUAGGUGGUGCUGGGGGACUUUGUACAGUUGGUGCAGGUGCUGGUGCAUGAUGAUGAUGCUUGUGCUUGUGCUUGUGCUUGUUCUUCCCCUUGUGGUUGGGUGGAGCAGGUGAUGGUGCUUGCACUGGUUGUGAAGCUGGUGGCACAAUAACCGGUGCUGGCGCGGAUACUGGGGGUGCUUUUAAUGGUGAGGGCACUGGUGCUACUUUAGCUGGUGCCGGUGCAGGAGUUGCUUUAACAGGGGCUGGGGCUUGAACUGGUGUUGGAGAUGCAGGUGGCGCCGCUACAGGAGGCGGCAAUGUUGGUGUCGAAACAGGUGGUGAUGGCGGCAGAUUCGGUGGCUGUGAUGGAGUUGACACAGGUGGACUUUGGGGUAGCGGGGGUGGGACUGCUGGGCUUUUGGAUGGUGCUACCUUAGGGGAAGGUGAUGCGGGUGUGGUGAUUGGUGGGGUUGCUGCUGCAUUUACAGGCGGUUGUGUUACUGCGGUUGGUGCGGUAGAAGGUGGUGGGGUUGUAGUCGGCAGAGUAGCCGGUGCAGCAGGUGUGGUAGUAGGCGGGGGCGUUGCAGCUGGCAAAGUAGAGGGUGCGGCUGCCGGUGUCUGUGCACCGGUAAGGAUUACUUGAAAGCUGAGGCAACAUAGGACGAAAGCCAGCAAAAUCGAAACCAUUUUUGGAAGACGAAUUCCAGGGAACAGCAUCGGAGGGUUGUCGGUUAUAUAUUAGGUUUGUGAGGAGAGAAAAUUGCAGUUUGGUGAAACAAUUGAAGUAGGGAGAGAUGUAAUUUUCAUGUGAUGGGAACUUCUCUGCUAAUCAUUUGGCGAGCAUAUGUUGUUAAUGAAGUUGAGAAGCUGGCCAAGAAAUUGACAAAAGUCUCGCGGCACAAAUGUAGAAGAAACGUCUAUUUUUGAUCUUAACAGCAAAGCUUAACUCUGGUAGGAGGUGUCUAUCCGUCCUUUCUGAAAGCAACGUCCUCAAUCCUCAAUUCAACACCCUUCGUAACACGGGACGUUGCCAUGGCAGUACUGUCUCAUGCAAGUUACUCUCCUGUUAAGCGCAGAUGACCGCACGGCAUUUAUUUGUUUGUUUAUCAUUCAUUUGGUAAUGGCUUACUGUCGAAGGGAGGUUGGAGGCACUGUGAUUAAAACAAAGGAUGGGCAAACGAAGGCCAACAAUAAUCCAACGUGAAUAUCAUGAAUAAAAGCUAUAUUUAAAAUUAAAUAAAUUAAAAAAAAAAAAAAAGACACUAUCUAGAACAUAAAAAAAAAUUGGAUGCUCCGGUGUAUCGGGUACUUUGGGCGUUUUAACUGUUUUUAGAUCUUUAUUUUUGUAUUUUCAAAUAAAGAUCUAACGGUUAAAAUAGGGGUGUGAUAUCCACACAUCCCAUUUUACUUCUCACACACCUUUUUGAUUUUCAGCAGUCGGAUUGGAUGAAUUGAAGAAGAUCAAAUGACAGAAAUUCUCAAGGGGUGUAUGAGAAGUGAAAUGUGGUGUGUGAAUAGCACAUUCCCUAAAAUAUCCGAAGUACUGAAUACUCACCUAAGAAAGUACCCUAGAGCAUUGUCCCAUUUACGCGGCCUUGCUUGUAAUGCUAGGUUUCUGUAAAUACUUUUGGAACACGCUUUUGUUAAAAUCGCAAUUAAAUGUUUAUUAAAAAUUCAUACAGCUUUUUAAAACAAAUUGAUAAGGGCUUCUUUGAAAAGUGCUUUUAUAAUUUCCAAGUUUUUUUUUUUAAAUUUGCCGGAUGGUCCCAUAAUCUAUAGUCAUCCCAUUUGACAUCAUGCAAUUGACAUAGUCAUAGCUCAUAGUCGGAUCGCCAGUGAAAUCUAAUUAUACUGGUAGAUAUAAUUUGGCAAAAUUUUCGGACUAACUGAAAGAAAGACAACUAAAUUUCGCCAACAUUCGACACAGAUUUGUACAUUCAUCAAACUAACAGUCUUUGAACUCUUACAAACAGAACAUUAUGUGGAAGAUGCGAUGCAUCUUCGUAAGUAACUUUGAUGGAUGGAGAGAAAUUCGAUGAAGACGCGGGGGCGCUGCCGGGUCUGCUUGCUUUUCCUUCUUCCUUCUCCUCAACUGGAAGAAUUGCUGCAUUAUAUCUGCACAAUCCGAUGCCAACACGCCACGUUGGAUUGUCAUAUUUGGGUGGAAUGGGUGGACAGGAGGAGCUGGUUUUUCCGAGUGUUCCGAGCUUCGAGCUAUUUCCUUCACCCCCAUCAGGAAAAAGUCUGCAAGCAUAUUUACAGGUUGAUAAGAUAAGGAGCAAUUGAAUAACACAAUUCGCAUACCUUAUCCAGUUAGGGGUUACUUAGAAGGGCACAACUCGCAUACCUUAUCCAGCUGCCAUCAGCUCCGAGAAGCUUAUUUGGAGCUCGCCAUACAACAGUGUCGACUCUUGCUUGGAGUAUUGCUCCAGCACACAUUGGGCACGGUUCAAGUGUUACAUACAGAGUAGUCUCCUGAGACAUCAGAAAACAAGAGUUAAGUCUAAGGUGGGAUGCCCUGGCUUCCUUCAUCGGUAAGUAGUAAGUUGAGUUACAUAUAAACCAAUGUCAACAAAACACUUCCACAGUUACGAAUGGUGUUAUCAUUGUAUAAAUUUCAUGAUAAAUGUGACUGACAUGGCUUCCACUUUACAACUUAGGGAGUUUUUUAAUAUCCAAUAGAAAUGCAGAUAUUUGACGUUUAAUGAAAAAAGAAAGACUGCUCUCUAACUUUGCAAUGUCAUCAUGCAGACACAGAAGCCAGAAGGGAAUUUUUAAUGGAGAGGAAGAAAAGCAUGAUUCCAUGACUAGAAUAUGUCCCUUCAGAUCAUCAAUAUGCGUGUAUAUAUAUAUGGAAAUGGGUACUAACAACUAAAUAACAGAGAAAUUACCGAAAGCCUCCAUGACCGAAGAACAUUUGAAGCUUCCCGUAUGCAUAUCAUUUCUGCAUGGGCAGUUGAAUCCCGUAAUUCUUCCACUCUGAUACACACAUCAGUGUAAAUAUCCAGAAGAAAGCAUUUAGCUAUACACAUAAGCUAAUAGAACUCACAGGUUACAUCCACGUGCAAUAAUCUUGGCCUUGUGGUUGAGUAUGACUUAAGGGAGGAUUUCGAUGUGGAUACAAAUGCGGAUGAAGUUUGAUCCGACAUUGAAUUCAUUAUGCUACGUUUGAGUUGUCUUUGUGAUAAAGUAAUUCUUGGCGGUUGUUGGAAUUCAUCUCCCUUGAUAUAUUGAACACGAAGUAAACAAAAAAGUGGUAAAUGUUGAUCGUUCAUCUUUUGUAUUAUUGAUUCUUAGACUAGGGUUGUACAUGUGAAAAAAUCAUCUUCUUGCAAUAUAUUCUCUUGAAAAAAAUCUUCUGGCAUUGUACCAAUAAAUUCAUAGUUCAACGUCUAAGAUUGAUAUUAGCCCGUCAUUGCCAGCAGUAUAGUGAUUGCUAACCCGAUCGUAACCCAGAAUCCUGAUAUCCCUCCUUUCUGGUGGAGUGCAUUUCCUCCGUUCUAUGAGACAAAAAAGAGAAAUGUCAUUGAAAAAACUUCAAAGUUGUCAAAGUAACAUCUAUAAAAUUUGAGUUCCGUCAUGCAGAUAUGGUGUUCUAUGGUAAUAAGAGUAAGAGCUGGUUAAAUUCUUUACCAAAUUCAAACUUGGUGAUGGGGCUGGUGUUGUAUCGUCCUCUGUAUCUGUCACCGUAGGUGGUGCUGGGGGACUUUGUACAGUUGGUGCAGGUGCUGGUGCAUGAUGAUGAUGAUGCUUGUGCUUGUGCUUGUGCUUGUGCUUGAUAAACCGAUUCCAACUCAGUCUAUGCAUACACCAAUAGAAUUCCAGUCUAACAUUGAAUCCCAGUCCAACACGGAAUCCUCACCGCUUGCUGCACCGCUUGCUGCAGAUCGUGUUUUGUCCUGAUUCAACUUCUUGUAAUCCUAGUUCUAUGUAUAUAUGACUUGUACUCCUAUAAAUAUUAAUGCACGCCACUCACUCGAUUAUUGAGUUGAGAUUUUAUAAUUACUGUCUUUCAUGGUAUCCAGAGCCUACGUCUCACGACAAAGGUUCAUAUUAUAAUUUUUUUUUUCUUCUUCUUUCUCUUUUCCUCUCAGUCUUCUACAGUUAUGGCGUCUUCUUCCUCUGCUACUGCUGCUCCCUCUGUCAUGAAUUUUCUCACCAUCAAGCUCGACCGCAACAACUACCCUCUCUGGCGUGCUCAGUUCCUUCCCUUGCUGCGCAGCCGCAACUUACUAUCGUAUGUUACUGGUGAAAAUCACUGCCCAUCUGCUUUUCUUCUUGAUGACAAUGGUCAACUCACAGACAAGGUCAAUCCAUUAUAUACUGAAUGGAUACAGACUGAUCAGAUGAUCCUUUCUUGGAUUACGAGUUCACUUACUCCCAAGGUUCUUGCUACAAUCAUCAACAAAAUUGAUUCGGCUUCUGCCUGGUCGUCUCUUCAAGAACGGUAUGCUUCUACGUCUCAAAAUCGUAUUAUCCACAUGCGUACAGAAUUGAUGACUACUGCUCGUGGUAAUCUUUCUAUCGCUGACUAUCUCGACAAAGUCAACGCCAUCGCCGACAACCUUGCUCUUUCUGGCGCCCCCGUCUCUGAAUCCGACUUAGUCGCAAUUAUUAUGAGCAAAGUAGGUCCACAAUAUGAGACCACUGUUGCUUCCGCACAGGCUCGUGACACUCCCAUCAACUACAAUUCCUUGGAAGCUUUAUUACUGAGUGCCGAGCAACGUUACAACGCCUUUUCUCUUCCCUCUGAUAGCGGCACCUCUGCUUUUGCUGCUGUGCGUGGUGGUCGCGGUGGCUUCCGUGGCCGUGGUAAUUCUUUUCGUGGUGGACGUGGUGGAAGUUUCUCCCGUGGUGGUGCUGGUAACUUCUCACGCCCACAUUUGGCUGCUCCUGACUCCGGGUCUGCUGCACCUGCAACAUCCACAUUUGCAACCCCUUCCCGCGGGUCCUCUUCUUCCUACAAUGGACUUCUUGGUCCCGCACCUGGCUCCAGCACUCCUCCUGGUUCCUUGCCUGUUUUUUCCUCCUCUGGGCGUCUUCAAUGUCAGAUUUGUCAACGCUUUGGGCACUCGGCUAUUGAUUGCUUCAAUCGUCUCAAUCUGUCCUAUGAAGGUCGGGUUCCCUCCUCUCGUCUUCAAGCCUACACAGCUGCACCAUCUUCCCGUGCUUCCACCGCUGCACCCUCUGUCCCGCAAUGGCUUUUUGACUCCGGCGCCAAUUCUCACAUAACCAAUGAUGUCAGCCAACUCCAAAAUCCUCGUGAGUAUCAUGGCACCGAUCAAAUUCGUGGUGUGCAUGGUGGUCCAGGUUUGAACAUCUCAAAAAUUGGUGACUCGUACCUUAACACUAAAUAUGCUUCUUUUCGUUUGCCUAACACCCUUUAUUGUCCCCAAGCAUCAACUAAUGUGAUUUCUUUGAACCGUUUUUCGGAUGAUAAUAACUGCUUCUUUACUUUACAUCCUCAUUUUUAUCGUGUGCAGGAUUCACGGACGGGGAGGAUCCUUUUACAAGGCCGGAGUAACAAUGGACUCUACCCGUGUUCUAGUCACCCCUCUCAUCAAACCCAUGGUGUUUUUGCUUUAUUAGGUGAACGUGUCACUGAUGCCUUGUGGCAUAGUAGGCUAGGUCAUCCUUCGUUUUCCAUUUUAAAACAUUUAAUUUCUGCCAAUAAAUUGCCCAUUCAAGGCUCGUUUCAAAAUAAAUUUUGUCAAUUUUGUCCCCUAGGAAAAAGUCAUAAAUUACCCUUUUCUUUGUCUACAUCUGUGUCUUCUUUUCCUUUAGCGUUAAUUCAUUCCGAUGUUUGGACUUCACCAUCUUUAUCUGUUUCUGGCUUUAAAUAUUAUGUGGUGUUUGUGGAUGAUUUUUCUCGUUAUACUUGGUUUUAUCCUUUGCGUUCGAAAUCCGACGUUUUUUCUACAUUUGUUACUUUUAAAAAUUCGGUUGAAAAUAUGUUCACUGUUAAGAUUAAAGCUUUUCAAACCGAUGGUGGUGGGGAAUUUGUUAAUAAGGCCCUUAGUACAUUUUUGAAUGACCAUGGUAUUUUACAUCGUCUUACAUGUCCCCAUCACCCUGAACAAAACGGAUUAGCCGAGCGUAAACAUCGUCAUUUAGUUGAGACUGGGCUUACUCUUUUAGCCCAAUCCGGUUUGCCUACUCCGUAUUGGGCCGAAGCUUUUCAUACUGCUAAUUAUAUCAUUAACCGUUUGCCCACUCGUCUUUUACACCAUAUAUCUCCUUAUGAAAAAUUAUUUCACAAACCUCCUCAUUAUCUGUUUUUCAAAGUUUUUGGUUGUGCCUGUUAUCCCUACUUGCGUCCUUAUAAUACUAACAAAUUACAAUUUCGUUCAAAACGGUGUGUCUUCUUAGGAUAUUCAUUAAAUCAUCAAGGUUAUAGAUGUUUGGAUCCCUCUACGGGACGUGUCUUUCUUUCUCGCCAUGUCGUGUUUGAUGAGAACAGUUUUCCAUAUCAAGAAUCCAUUGUUACUUCGUCAUCACCGCUUUCCUCGUCUGUGGAUCCCGUUCUCGAGAUUGGCCCAUCCAACAACCCUACUCCUGCCACCCACUCCAUCCCGCACCCACCUCCUCCUACUACUUUAGCCGUGCCUACCCCUCCUCAGCCUUCUACCCAACGUCCACUCCAAGUAUACAGUCGCCGGUCCCCACGCCCCCAAACUUCUCAGCCCCCUGUCCCACCUGCAUCAAUCCCUCCCAUACCCUCAUGUUCUUCUCUUGAGCCGGUCCCUACAUCAAACAUGCCACCAGUCACACCCGCACCAUUGGUUUCAUCUACUCCCGAGGAAAGUGCCAUGUCCCAUUCUAUGGUAACUCGAGGCAAAAGUGGUAUUUGCAAACCUAAUCCCAAAUAUACUUAUGUUGCUACUGUUACUAAUGCCUUGGUUGAGCCUACAUGUUUUAGUCAGGCUAAUAAGGAUUUCGAGUGGAGAAAGGCGAUGGUUGACGAAUUCAAUGCUUUACAACAUAAUGGCACUUGGACUUUGGUUCCGUUUCAACCCACUAUGAAUAUUCUUCCUAAUAAGUGGGUAUACAAAAUCAAGCGACGCUCUGAUGGCUCAAUUGAGCGUUACAAGGCACGGUUAGUGGCUAACGGGUUUCAUCAACAAGAGGGUUUAGACUACGGUGAGACAUUUAGUCCCGUUGUCAAUCAUGCGACUAUUCGUUUAAUUCUCUCCAUUGCUAUUAUUUUCAAUUGGCCUCUUCGACAACUUGAUGUCCAAAAUGCAUUCCUUCAUGGUUCUUUGAAUGAAGAGGUCUAUAUGCGGCAACCACCGGGAUUCAUUGAUCCUCAACGUCCAUCUCAUGUGUGCAAAUUGCAACGUUCUUUAUACGGUCUUAAACAAGCUCCUCGUGCUUGGUUUCAAUGUUUUUCCAAUCACUUGGAAAAUUUGGGUUUUGCAUCUUCUCAUGCAGAUUCAUCAUUGUUUACUUUCUUUGAUGGUUCUGUGGUUAUUUACUUGUUAAUUUAUGUGGAUGACAUUCUUAUUACUGGCAAUAGCAUGGACCAUAUCACUCGUUUGAUUCAUCAGUUGGGCACAUUAUUUUCAAUGAAGGAUCUUGGACCGCUUCAUUAUUUCUUAGGUAUGGAGGUUCAUCGUACUAGCACGGGUCUUCAUCUUACUCAGACAAAGUAUAUCACUGAUCUUCUCCAACGCACCAACAUGCUGGAAUGCAAGCCCAUUUCGACCCCAGCCAUUAGUGGCCGACGCCUCAGUCUCUCUGAUGGUGAACCCUUGUCUGAUAUCACCGAGUUUCGUAGCAUUGUGGGUGCCUUGCAGUAUCUCCUCUUCACUCGUCCUGAUAUUGCCUUUGCCGUUAACCAGGUUUGUCAGUUUAUGCAUAAGCCCACAACGACACAUUGGGUUGCGGUUAAACGAAUACUCCGUUAUCUUAAAGCUACUCCAAACCAUGGGAUUGUUUAUCGCUCGAGUUCCCUUCAGCUCACUGCCUAUGCUGAUGCGGACUAUGCUGGUGAUCCGGACGAUCGCCGUUCCACUGGUGGUUACUGUAUAUUCCUUGGUGAUAACCUCAUCUCGUGGAGCUCCAAGAAGCAACGUGGUGUCUCGCGCUCAAGUACAGAAGCUGAAUAUCGUCAGCUUGCCUAUACAGCCGCUGCUCUCUCUUGGUAUCGCACCUUGUUUCGCGAGCUUCAUCUCCCUCUUGCUCCGCCCCGCAUCUGGUGCGACAACAUUAGUGCCAUUUCCGUCGCUUCCAAUCCAGUUUAUCACCAGCGCAUGCGGCAUGUCGAGGUUGACUAUCACUAUGUUCGGGAAAAGGUCACUCGUAAAGAGCUCAUCGUUUGCUAUGUCUCCUCCACGGAUCAGCUGGCUGAUCUCCUUACCAAGGGAUUGUCUGCAGUUCGUUUUGCCUUCUUGCUGUCCAAACUUCCAGUUCGUGCCCUCCCUGUCCGUUUGCGGGGGAGUGAUAAACCGAUUCCAACUCAGUCUAUGCAUACACCAAUAGAAUUCCAGUCUAACAUUGAAUCCCAGUCCAACACGGAAUCCUCACCGCUUGCUGCACCGCUUGCUGCAGAUCGUGUUUUGUCCUGAUUCAACUUCUUGUAAUCCUAGUUCUAUGUAUAUAUGACUUGUACUCCUAUAAAUAUUAAUGCACGCCACUCACUCGAUUAUUGAGUUGAGAUUUUAUAAUUACUGUCUUUCAGUGCUUCCCCUUGUGUUUGGGUGGAGCAGGUGACGGUGCUUGCACUGGUUGUGAAGCUGGUGGCACAAUAACUGGUGCCGGCGCCGAUACUGGGGGUGCUUUUGAUGGUGAGGGCACUGGUGCUACUUUAGCUGGUGCCGGUGCAGGAGUUGCUUUAACAGGAGCUGGGGCUUGAACUGGUGUUGGAGAUGCAGGUGGCGCAGCUACAGGAGGUGGCAAUGUUGGUGUCGAAACAGGUGGUGAUGGCGGCAGAUUCGGUGGCUGUGAUGGAGUUGACACAGGUGGACUUUGGGGUAGCGGGGGUGGGACUGCUGGGCUUUUGGAUGGUGCUACCUUAGGGGAAGGUGAUGCAGGUGUGGUGGUUGGUGGGGUUGCUGGGGUUGCUGCUGCAUUUACAGGCGGUUGUGUUACUGCGGUUGGUGCAGUAGAAGGUGGUGGAGUUGUAGUCGGCAGAGUAGCCGGUGCAGCAGGUGUGGUAGUAGGCGGGGGCGUUGCAGCUGGCAAAGUAGAGGGUGCGGCUGCCGGUGUCUGUGCACCGGUAAGUAUUACUUGAAAGCUGAGGCAACAUAGAACGAAAGCCAGCAAAAUCGAAACCAUUGUUGGAAGACGAAUGCCAGCGAACAGCAUUGGAGGGUUGUCGGUUAUAUAUCAGGUUUGUGAGUAGAGAAAAUUGCAGUUUGGUGAAACAAUUGAAGUGGGGAGAGAUGUAAUUUUCAUGUGAUGGGAACUUCUCUGCUAAUCAUUUGGCGAGCAAAUGUUGUUAAUGAAGUUGAGAAGCUGGCCAAGAAAUUGACAAAAGUCUCGUGGCACAAAUGUCCGCGACGAUUAGAAGAAACGUCUAUUUUUGAUCUUAACAGCAAAGCUUAACUCUGGUAGGAGGUAUCUAUCAGCCCUUUCUGAAAGCAAGGUCCUCAAUCCUCAAUGCAACACCCUUGGUAACACAGGACGUUGCGAUGACAGUACCGUGUCAUGCAAGUUACUCUCCUAUUAAGCACACGAUGACCGUAGGUGUAUUUAUUUGUUUGUUUAUUAUUCAUUUGGUAAUGUCUCACUGUCAAAGGGAGGUAGGAGGCACUGUGAUUAAAACAAAGGAUGGGCAAACAAAGGCCAACAAUAAUCCAACAUGAAUAUCAUGAAUAAAAGCUAUAGUUAAAAUAAAAAAUAAAAAAUAAAGGACACUAUCUAGAACAUCAAAACAAUUUGGGUGUUCCGGUGUAUUAGGUACUUUGGGCGUUUUAACCGUCUUUAGAUCUUUAUUUUUGUAUUUUUAAACAAAGAUCUAACGGUUAAAAUAUCUGAAGGUACUGAAUACUCACCCAAGAAAGUACCCUAGGGCAUUGUCACAUUUACAUGGCCUUGCUUGUAAACGCUAGGCUUCUGCAAGUACUUUUGGCACAUGCGUUUGUUAAAAUCGCAAUUAAAUGUUUAUUAAAAUUUUUGAUAAGUGCUUCUCCAAAAAGUGCUUUUAUAAUUUCCAAGUAUUUUUUCAAAAAAAAUUUGCCGGAUGGUCCCAUAAUCUAUAGUCAUCCCAUUUGACAUCAUGCACGUGACAUAGUCAUAGCUCAUAUUCGGAUCACCAGUGAAAUCUAAUUAUACUGGUUGAUAUAUUUUGGCAAAAUUUUCGGACUAACCGAGAGAAAGACAACUAAAUUUCGCCAAAAUUCGACAUAGAUUUGUACAUUCAUCAAACUAACAGUCUUUGAACUCUUACAAACAGAACAUUAUGUGGAAGAUGCGAUGCAUCUUCGUAAGUAACUUUGAUGGAUGGAGAGAAAUUCGAUGAAGACGCGGGGGCGCCGCUGCCGGGCCUGCUUGCUUUUCCUUCUUCCUUCUCCUCAGCUGGAAGAAUUGCUGCAUUAUAUCUGCACACUCCGAUGCCAACACGCCACGUCUUAUUGUCAUAUUUGGGUGGAAUGGGUGGACAGGAGGAGCUGCUUUGUCCGAGUGUUCCGAGCUAUUUCCUUCACCCCCAUCAGAAAAAAGUCUGCAAGCAUAUUUACAGGUUGAUAAGAUAAGGAGCAAUUGAAUAACAAAACUCGCAUACCUUAUCCAGUUAGGGGUUACUUAGAAGGGCAAAGCUCGCAUACCUUAUCCAGCUGCCAUCAGCUCCGAGAAGCUUAUUUGGAGCUCCCCAUACAACAGUGUCGACUCUUGCUUGGAGUAUUGCUCCAGCACACAUUGGGCACGGUUCAAGUGUUACAUACAGAGUAGUCUCCUGAGACAUCAGAAAACAAGAGUUAAGUCUAAGGUGGGAUGGCCUGGCUUCCUUCAUCGGCAAGUAGUAAGUUGAGUUACAUAUAAACCAAUGUCAACAAAACACUUCCACAGUUAUGAAUAUUGUUAUCAUUGUAUAAAUUUCAUGAUAAAUGUGACUGACAUGGCUUCCACUUUACAACUUAGGGAGUUUUUUAAUAUCCAAUAGAAAUGCAGAUAUUUGAUGUUUAAUGAAAAAAGAAAGACUGCUCUCUAACUUUGCAAUGUCAUCAUGCAGACACAGAAGCCAGAAGGGAAUUUUUAAUGGAGGAAGAAAAGCAUGAUUCCAUGACUAGAAUAUGUCCAUUCAGAUCAUCAAUAUGCAUGUAUAUAUAUUGAAAUGGGUACUAACAACUAAAUAACAGAAAAAUUACCGAAAGCCUCCAUGACCGAAGAACAUUUGAAGCUUCCCGUAUGCAUAUCAUUUCUGCAUGGGCAGUUGAAUCCCGUAAUUCUUCCACUCUGAUACACACAUCAGUUUAAAUAUCCAGAAGAAAGCAUUUAACUAUAAAAUAUAAAUAUAAGCUAAUAGAACUCACAGGUUACAUCCACGUGCAAUAAUCUUCCCUUGUUGUACCAAAACAGCCCCGACAGGUACCUCCCAAUUAUCAGCAGCCUUCUUAGCUUCGAGAAGUGCUUCUCUCAUAAACAUUUCAUCCAUUUUUCUUUGUUCAAUUUCAAGUGUAUGUGCUUCUUCCCAUUCGUCAAAUCUGUCUCUGAGGACUUGCGUACUCCUCUGAAUCUUUCUUUGUUUCAAUUCCCCACCCGUUUGCACAUUGUCUGAUACUCCUUCAUUCAACUUCUGACAGCCAAAUUGGUCCAUGCGCUCCGUUGAACCACUUCCAGAGACAAUGUUACCGGCAUUUGAAAUUUCUUCUACAACAGCAGGCUUUACGCCACUAGCAGUUAGUGGUUGAGAUGGCUCCACUUUUUCAAUGCCAGAAGAAGAACCUCGAAAACUCUUUUGAUUCUCUUUUGAACCCAAAGAUCUCUCACUAGAAGAUGUGGAAAUGACUUUUGAUGUCAGCCCACUUUCUUCUUUAUUAGGAGAAGGCGGUGUGCCUGCUUCAAGAUAUCUUACUUUGUCCUUUGAUCUCAAUUUUCCACUUUGAGGAAAUGAUUUAGACAGUUGCAGCUGAUGUUGCACGUCUUUUUCCCUUUUUGUGUUCUUUUCAUUGUUGUCCUCGGUCUCAUGGCCAGAAAACCAUGCCUCACUACUUGCAGAUUCAUUUGACGAAAUCCUUCCACCCAACUUCACAGCAGAAUGAGGGGUCUCAGCAUGCGAACUCCACCUCAGCCUAACAAUAUCUGCAACAAUGUUCCAUAUGGAUCUGCCAGUUCUCUUGACAACGGCAUCCCCACUUGUUGUAGUAGCCUCUGAUUUUUCUAACUUGGGGGUUUUAAGAACAGAUGUGUCUGUCACAUCCCACAUUUCAUCUGCAGGCCCCUUGGUUCCAGAACCUACAGAUGAACGCCUCGUGUCAUUUCCCUUCGUCUGAGAGUCUUCAGACCUAUUUUGACUAAAAUCCAUUUGCCCAUUCUUCUCACCUCCAGGCACCAAUUUUGCUUCAGAAACUGUAUUUGCAUCCUUAUUUUUGGAAGUUGAGACUUCAUGUCGUGCUCUAUCAGAGAACUCCCCAACAAACUGUGAAGAUGACUUCUCCAAACGGUGGGCUGAGUCCAAAGCAUCUUCAGGAUUAACGAGGUAUAAAAUCUCCCCUUGAGUCUGAGUGUUUCCAUUUCCGCUACUUGAGACAGUAUUCUCGUUCUGGUUUUCAGAAGUUGAGACUUCAUGCCUUACUUUCUGAACAAAACCCCUGACAAACUGUGAAGAUGAUUUCUCCAAAUGAUAAGUUGAACCCAGAGCAUCUUCAGGAAUGAGGUAUAAAAUCUCCCCCUGAGUCUCGGAGUUUCCACUUCCACAGGAUGAUUCUUGGUGCAACGCAGAAGUUUGUUUUCCUGAAUGAGUACGCAAGGCAGGCGAACCACCAUCUAGAAUUUCUUCAGAAACUCCCUGAGUUGCCGUCCCACUUGAUGACUCGAUGCGCAGCGAUCCUCUAGCUAUCAAUUGAGAAGGGGGAGGCAGCAGAAUUGCCCGUGGGCUUCUCUUAUGCCCCUCAACAUUAUCCGGUUGCUUUGUAGCUUGGGAAACCACAUCCAAAGAUGCUUGGAAACUAGAGGCUUCUCCCGAGUCACCUUGGGCCUCUUUUCUGGGUUUAACUUGUAUGCGCUUUUCAUCAGCGGUUCCUUUUCCGGAUAGAUUUCUCUGAAAAGCCUCCUCUUCUAUUUUGGGACAUGGCUGUGAUGACUCUCCACUUGGAUUAGGGACCAAGUUUGACUGCCCUACCUGGUUUGUAAUUCUAGUUUCAGGCUGAGCAAUGUUGGCCCUUUCAAUACUACUGUCACAAGUUUCUGAUACUUCAGUGAUUUGUGGGGACUUUCUUCCCGAGUCAACGAGUCCAAUGACCUGCUGGCCUAUUUCUUGGCGUUGCGCGUCUGUCUCAUUUGCUGAAUUCGACAACAUAUUUGCUUUUUCUUCCUGAUAAAUCCUUCUUAUAUCAGUCUCCCUCCACCUAUCAGAGAUCCUUUGAACAUCAACAACUCGAAUUUGUGAGAUUUUUGAAAUCUUUUGGUGGUCUCUGUUUAACUCUUCUUGUUGACCGAUGUAUCCAGCUGUGUCAUAACAUUCCUCUUGUCUUUCCUGCACCAAGUUUGUAGCUAUCGCUAGGUUUUCCUGGGACAAGAAAGUUGUUUCAACCUCACUUCCAUGGAUUUCUGAUUCAUUGCGCUCUUGAAAUUUUCUUCUAGAAUCAGUCACACCAACCCCAACAACUUGGUUACCUAUUUGACUAUAUUGUUCUCUUGUUCCCUUAGUCAAAUAUGAACUCUCUCCCUCAUCAUCAAAUUGCUUGCGGGAUCCAGAGGCCUCUCCUAACUCACUUUGAUUGGUCUUCGACACUCUUGAAGGCAUUUCUGAGGAUUUCCCACCAGCCUCAGUUUCUUCAGCUACUACCUCUGUAAGCUUCUUUUCUGUCUUCUUCCUCCAAUCCCACAUGACACCACCAUCAACUACAGCACUUCUUUGUUUUGUUGUUUUUCCUUUGCCCUCGGAAUCGUCUCUAUACUUCCUGUUAUCUUCAAUGACCUGCCCAUCAAAUCUACCUCCAAUAUCAAAUUUUGAAUCCUCGUACACACUUGAAGCUGAUUCCCCAAAGAGGCCAUGCUUAUCCUGAGCAUCUGCCUCACUUCCGAAAUCGCCUGAAGAUGACAAAGAGUAAUAAGACGAACUAGAACCUACUUUCAUUCCACUACGAUUCUCACCACUCAAAAUCAUUCCCCUCUCUUCUUUCUGUCUGAAAUCCCCUUCACUCAAAUCAACAGUGGCUGAUCCAAAUUGGCGCUUCAAAUUACUCUCCAAAGUACUCCCCCUAACAUUACUUUUCUUCUUCCUACUGUUACACUCACUACUAUUGUCUUGUUCGAUAUCCACUUGUACGCCCUUAGACGAACUCCCAUUUUUUUCUCUACCAUCAACACUCCGCCUCUCCACUUCUACUCUCUUAGACAAACCGCCAUUUCUCUCUCUACCACUAAAACUCCUCCUACUCUCAUCUUCUCCUCUCUUGGAUGAACCGACAUUUCUCUCUCUACCAAUCGAUAUCCUCCUACUCUCCUCUUCUGCUCUCUUAGAUGAACUCUCAUGUCUCUCUCUACCAAUCAAACUCGUCCUCUCCUGUUCCAUUCUCUUCGACGAACUAGCUUUUCUCUCUCUACCGAUCAAACUCCUCCUACUCUCCUCUUCUACUCUCUUAGAUGAACUGACAAUUCUCCCUCGGCCACUCAAACUUCUCCUCCACCUCCACUCUCUUAAACGAAACCCCAUUCCCCCCUCUCCAAAAACACUCCUCACCCACUUCCUCCUCACUCAACAAGCUGAGCAUAGCCUCAGCAUCAUCGAGAUCACCCGAAUCAUAAACUCCACCCUCUCCCUCCCCAUCAACCACACAACUACACCUCCCCUUCCUUCUCCUCCCCCUCCUAUCACACACACUCCUCUCCCUAACUGAGCAAGGGAGCUCACAGCAACCCCACUCAGGCCUACAUUCCUGAACACGAUAACCACACCGGUCCACGCCACCCAAAACCAACCUUCUAGAAGCUGACCAUUGAAGCAAUGUGGAUUGCCUCAAACCAUACAAGUAACACGGGUUUAUGCGCACUCUACCGAUUGAAAAUUCACAACAAUUACAACAACAACACGAUUUGGAUGAUGAACAAUGAAUUGGGUUUAUUGGGUUCCCUUCAAAUCUUUCAUUCAACAAGUAAGAGUAAUCAUUGAAGGAAUAGGACAAGGAGCCUUGGCUUCUCACAGAAUAUAAACUUGAGCUAAAAUAUGUGUUCUGCAUAUCGACCAGGAGAGAGAGAGAGAGAGAGAGAGAGAGAGAGAGAGAGAGAGAGAGAGGAGGAGGAGGAAGCUUACCUUCGAAUUGAGAAGUGGGUUUUGGAGGGUUCGUGAGAGCGAAGCUCCGAGUGAAGGAAAGGUGUGGUUUUUGGGUGGAUCAAAAUCCAGAUUGCUAAGCUGGAAAAUGAACGAGAGCAGAACAGAGCCACCUAGGAGAGCGAUUCACAGUUGAGUUGACUCGUUGGGUACAAUAUUUUCUGGACCGGAAUUGGAUGGAAGGUUAGUGUGGGUUUUUAGUGGGCUUAAUGCUUGGUGGACACUAAGUUACCAACAAAUGAACCCAAUUUCUUGUUCAUUGGGCUCAUUAAUUUUCAGUUUUUAUGACCGUAAUUCAAUUUGCAGGAAGACCCCGUAUCCAAGUCAAAAAGUCCUUCCGAAUAUCUUCUCGAGGCAUCCAACUAACUUUAUCAACAACAAAAUCAUAUUAAUUUGUCUCUGUUUAUGUAAUAUCUAAGAAGUUUUAUGUGAGUUCUUUUAUAACGACUGACUUUGCAGACAACCGGCAUAAAAAUGCAAACUUUUCGUUACCAGUAUUUCGGUGGUGUUACGAUGACAUUGGAGUCGAAAUCUUCAAACUUGCAAACGCAAAAUUAUAUGGAUCCGACCAAGUUAAUUUUGCUUAUCGCAAGUAUGAAGAUAACUUGAGUUGAGGGGAGGGUGGGAAGAUAACUAUUUUUUUCAAAAAGGGAUUAGUUGUGGUUUCGUCAUUACAGUUUACUUUUUCAGGAAUCGGGAAGAUUCAAAGAGGUUUUUUAGUCUUCCAUAACUACCAUCGUGUGAUUCAUAUGCAUCAAGAAUUAAAAACAAAACAUGCUGUAUGAAAUACAAACAUGAAAUUUGUUUCUAAUCACCAAAUCGCCUCAUAAUGGAUAUAACUAAUUAACUACCAAUAAUCUAUUAUCAUCUAUUUCAAUCAAUCAAUCAGUAACGAAAGAAAGGAUAAAUAAAAAUUAAUAAAAAAAAUAAUGACCAACAUAAUAUUUAAUCGUAAUAUGAAAGCAACUUUCUACUUACUACUUUGGCUUGCUUCCCCCAUUUGUAUAAUUUACUGACCCCCAUAAACAAUCCCAAACAAGCAACUGAGCUGAACAAGUGCAUAAUUAACCAGCUCCACCAAUUAUUUUCCAUCCAUUAAUGUCAACUCUCCCCCUUACGUUACAUGACAUAAAUAUUUUUAUACAAUAUGAUUAUUUAAAUCGUGCUUGAGCCAAUGUUGUAACAUGUAUAAAAAAAAAUUGGACAAUACUAGAAUGAUUAAAUUUAGAAACGAAAUUUGCAAAACUAAAUGAUGUGUCACUAAUAAGAAUGAACACGUUUAUUAACGAUUAAGUAAUAAUUCAAUUAUCAACUUUCAUAUAAUUUAAUUUACAAAAUCUUGUCUACAAAUUUAGCAUUACUCAAAAAGAUUUAUAAGAUAAAAUAAAAUAAACUUGGCCUCUAGGGUUUCUACACUUGUUCAAAUUCAAGAGUGCCCAUUUACGGAAGUUGCCAUAUUUGUCCAUGCAUGGUUGGUGGAUGUGUAACGCCACAAAAGACCUUCUGCCUUGGAUGAUGUUUGGUAGGUCACCUUAAUCCUUAUGAAAGUCCUUCGAUCAAACUAAUGGAACUCCACUUCAACAACAAAAAAAUUUCUACCCGUGAAUUUGGAUGGAUAUUGUUCCUGAUAUUGACACUUUCAUGAUUUCAUUCUAGACGUAAUACAGGUUAUAGUAUAUUUCGAAAUUUUAACUGUUACAUCUUUAUUUUUUUGUCAAAUAUACAAGGAUCAACAUAUAAAGAUUAAAAUUUUUAAAAUAUAAAAUUAUAAUCCGAAGCACUAGAGAGUUUUCGGGGUUAUACAUGGGAUUGGAAGAGUGAUACAUUUUCUUUUACCAGCAUGUCCUUCAAAUUUGGAUGGUGUAUAGUCAGUUGUCAUCCGAAAUUUUUACUCAAUCUUAAUUAACAUCAUUUGCACAACAAUUAACCCGUAAACCUAAUGAAACAUAACACUUUAUUUAUCCUUAUUUAGGACAAAACAUAUAGGUAUCACCGAGUUCAAAUUGAACUUACUUUUAAGAGAUUCUGAAUAGAGCAUGUCUUGAGCGAUUUGAUUUAGGAAAAUAAAUUGAAUUAGUUGGUUUUGUUUUCUUCUGUCAAUCCAAGCCUUCUAAAAAGUCUUCCCUUCCAGACAUCCAAGCGUGGCACGAAAGGUUGCCAAACCACACAUAGCAUGACAUAACAACAUCAGCUCGACAAGCACGCCACAUUAGAAAUCGAGCUGCUUCUAUUUUCACAUGCAAGUCGCGUCCACUUUGUUCCACAUUCCACACAAGGGAAUAUUAACUAAUUAGCAUAAUCUCAAGUAUAAUAAAUGGAAAAUUUGUAGUAUCUUUCAGGCUAUUUUGUAUAUUGAAAUUUCUUAUCUUUGAUAAAAAAUUUAAGAAACUUUAACUAAAAGCGUCUGGUACUGUUCAUUUUAACGAAAAACUAUAUUUUUACAUUAAAAAUCAAUCCUGAUACUAUUCAUUUUACCAUUUAUUUUAUCUUUACUGUUAAAACUCAAAGCUUUCAAACCAUUUUCAUUAGUUUUCCUUUUAACGGUAAAAAAUUUGAAGUAUAAAAUAAACUGAAAACUAAUUAAAAUAGUUUGAAAACUUUGAGUUUUAACGAUAAAAACAAAAUAAAGGAUAAAAUGAAUAAUACCAGAAUUGACUUUUUAGUUUUAAAAUAUAAUUUUUCAUUAAAGUAAACAGUACAAAGAACUUUUCGUUAAAAUCUCCUAAAAUAAAUUAGAACAUAAUAGAAUUUCUGUAGGAUGAAUCAAAUUAACAUGUAUAUACAACAUUAUUACGUAUGCACAUACGUCAAGAAUAGACUUACCGAUUAUUAAAUAAGAUUGAUUGAGAAGACCAAUAGAAUUUAUAUGUGUGCAUUUAUAAAUUGUAUGAUUGAUUGAGAAGACCGAUAGAAUUUAAAAUACAUGUGCACAUUAUAUUUAUAUAAGUUGGUGGAAAAAGCAAAAGAACCCAUAACCCACACAGCUGUAUAAUAUUACACGACUAGCAGCCAACUGACGAGUGAUUUUUCAGUGUUUUAGAAAGAUGGUUCAAUAUAUUAAGUGUAAUAAUAUAAUAAUAUAAUAAUUUAGAAAUUUAAAAAAAAAUUAUAAUUAAUUGUAUUAUUACACUUAACAUACCAAAUUUUAUUUUCGGCACAUUGAGAUAUUUCUCCUAACUCACCAUUCCAUCAAAAACCGCAUGGCCCUUCGUUCCCUGGCUAACUCACUUUAAUACAACCUAAUUAACUAGUAGUUGAAUUAUUCAAACCCAGAACCCUAGCUAGCUCACAACUCCUGCACGUUACAUUUCUUGAAGCUUAUGUUAUGAAAUAAUCGUGAAUAUUCCACUACGACCAGUACUAGGCAUAUAUGAAGCUUCCGUUCCGAGUUCCGAAACGCGGUUAAUAUAAAACCGAGACCUCCCAAGUAGUCAAUCUUUUUUGUAUGCAAUAAAAAAAACUCAGACCUUUCCAUAUCCAAGUCAUGCGUGACCAUGAGAAUAAAGGUCGAGUUAUAACUUCUAUAUGGUGCUUGACUUUGAUGCCAAGGAUCUAGUAUCUACAUUGAAAAAAUAGAUCUUGACCUAUGUUGAUGCACAAAACUGGAAAUCUUAUAACAACGUAAAUCCUACCGUGAAUUUGCAAGAAAGUAAAUAACACAAGAUGUAUCAUGGUUCACCCCAAGGUUUGGGCUAUGUCCACACUGAUUAUUGUAUUUCUCUGAGAUGUGAGGGGAGUGAGAGAGAGAGCUUCUGAGAGUGAGAGAACUCUUCCCAUGGCCUAAGAAAAUGGUCUCCUCUAAUUGUGAGGGUGAGGAGUCUUUUAAUAGAAUAAGGGCUCCUCACUUAUUACAUAUUUGCCCCUUCUUUUAUUACAUAAUUACAUUUGAGUCCCCCGAGUAUUUAUACGAGGUCUAAAUACGGAGGUCCUAAGUAUGGUAUAAACAGUAGUCCCCAAGUCUUUAGUCAAUAGAGUCUUUUGGCUAGAGACAUGAAAUUGAAUUCAUGUAUAGGCCGAAGUGGCGGUUGUUUGGAAGCGGUAUUUGUAUACCCUGCACUAAAGCUUUGUAGGUGGAGCUUUGCAAGUGAAGCUUUGAAGCUAGAGCUCUGUAAAUGAAGCUUUCGAAGCUGGAGCUCUGUAAAUAAAGCUUUUGAAGCUAGAGCUCUGUAAAUGAAGCUUUUGAAGCUAUAACUUUGUAAAUGAAGUUUUUGAAGCUGAUUGACAUGAGUGAUGCUCAUGAAUGUUUUUGUUGAUUGACAUGAGUGAUGCUCAUGGAUGUUGACAUGAGUGAUGCUCAUGAAUGUUGACAUGAGUGAUGUUCAUGAAUGUUGACAUGAAUGAUGGUCAUGAAUGUUUAUGUAUGAUUGACAUGAGUGAUGCUCAUAAAAUGUUUAUGUAUGAUUGACAUGAGUGAUGCUCAUGUAUAAUUUAAAGUACUAGGCGUACUUUUGAUCACCUGGCGAUAAUAGUGGCGGGGUGCCGAAUAAUUUUUGUAGUACUGGGCGUACUUUUGGUCACCUAGUUGGUGAUAAUAGCGGCAGGGUGCCGAAUAAUUUUUUGUAGUACUAUACGUACUUUUGGUCACCUGGUUGGUGAUAAUAGAAGGCCUGACUCUUUUGGGCAUACGGGCCUUCGCCCUCCACAUUACAUCCCAUUAUUUUAGGCUUGCGUGUUUUUUUUUUUUAUUACCCUCUGAUGGGGUUUAUACAUAUGUUUCCGAGAAAUAAGAAAAAUAAAUUACAUCAUGCAAAAAUAAGGAAAGUAAAUCACAUCAUUCUGGUAGGGUGUUUAUUCCUUGCUUUUGUAGUGUUGCCAUGUGCUCUCGCAGAGGAAAGCCUCCAUUUUGCUUUCUGCUUUUUCUCGGUUUUUUCUGCAUUUACUUUCGCUUUUGUUUCCCAUUCCAUUUCACAACUCAAGUAGAUAUAUCCUCAUGUUCUGGGCCUUUAGAAAUGAUUUCACAUGGCUACCACCCAAUAAUCCAUUUUGCUUUUCUCGCGGCUUUCUCAAAAAAUGGGAGGAAUAUGCAUGAUGAAACUUGCUUUCCAGAAAGCUCAAUGCUCUCUGCAUGAUGAAACUUCAUUUUCCAGAAAACUCAGUGCUUUCCAGAAAGCUUAGUGCACUCUGCAGCUCAGUGUUUCUUGGUGAAAAGGUUGCGGAGGGCACUAUAGUCAUUAUGAAAUGUUGGAGUUGGAUGUACCUGGUAAGGAGGUUGCGGAGGGCGUGGCGUUGGCCGGAGUGAUGAGUGAUUUUGCAAAUGUCUAAAUGCUGGAAACAAACUUGACAUAUAAACCGAAUCUCUUUCGUUAAUUGAAGCAGAGACAUUAGAAGUGUUUGUGUUGUUAGUAUUAUUGGCUUCAACAACUUCAUCUCUGAACCUGUUGUCUUGCCCAAGAAAAACCCACCCUGCUCCAAGUUCAAACUCAACGGCAUACCCAGCCUCUUCCCAACUCCUCAUUCUCUGUACCCAGCAACACCACCCUAUGACCCAACAGAACCCAGCUGUAGCGCCAUGGGCAUAGAUAAAACGAAAAGAUGCAUCCUCUGCUGCAGUUGCAUGCCUUGUUGGCUGCCUUGGAAACGAAAGGAUUGUUGGUCGAGUAAACGGUCGAAUUUCGAGCCCAUUAAAAACUCGAAUAUGGUGGGCGGAAGGGGAUGAAGCCUCGACCCGGUAGCGUCGUUGUAGUAGAGUUCGAAUGAGUUGGAAUCGGUAUUGGUUUCAAUGCUGCGUAGAACGAUGACUGGGUUAAAAGGUGACGACCGGUCACCUGAUGCUCGUCGGACCCGGCGAGAGGACAAAGUCAGGUUUUGACCCGGUUCAUCAUAGUGGCAGUGGGAUGACGAGAAUCUACGACGGAGAUAGUUCGGCUGCGGCAGCGGCUGGGGCAUCGUCUCGAUCUCCUCGAGGAAGCCGGUUUUGUAGUGGGGGCACGAGAAGGCGGAGUCCAAGGCAAACACUCGGACGAAGCGAGUGCAUCUGUAUCACCAAUACGACGUCGUCGGUGGCAGCGAUGGUAUGGCCAUGGAGGUUUAGAGAUCUGAAAGGGAAGAGAGAAAAAAAGUUCUAGAGAAAGAGCCUCGUCGACAAACUGUUUAUGCAGCAGCGCCAGCAUCCUUUCCCUUCUUCCUCCGGAGCUUCUUCAUGUAAAACUCAAGUUCUUUACCCUCCAAGAUGUAUCAUCAUAUCUACCACAUUGGCCUGGAUGGGAAGGUAUGCAAGCCAGCAAUCUCCCACCUCCAAACUCCUUUUUCAAUAUGGGGGUCUAAAGUGCGACCUUACUGGCGUUUCUCAAGUUUCCUAGCAACAUGAUUACUCUUCUUUGCUUCCUUUAUCUCUGUGACCCAGUUAGAUUGUAGUCAGAUCUACGGUGGUUGUUCACGAUGCUUCGUUUGUGGUGACAGGCAUGGAGGAGGACGCCGUGAGGAGGAAGACCAUGUCUAUUAGGCACAGAGUUGGUGGUGGCGGUGAGUGACAUUGGCUUGUAAUUUUGGGCUCUCUCCAGAGGUUACUUACCGGAUAACAUGGGCUGCGGUGGCUCCAAGGUCGAUGGCUUGCCGUUAGUCACGCUUUGCAGGGAGCGAAAUGACUUCAUCAAAAAAACGUUGGACCAGCGCUACACUCUUACCGCAGACCACCUCUCUCUCUGCUUUGUGUGUAUCGUUUCUCUCUCUAGAGAGUAGAGAGAUGGUGGAGUUUUGAGAGUUAUCCUGAUGUGGUGGAAGAACAAAGAACGUGCACUGAGGUUUUGAGAUCUUGGGUUUUUGUAGAUUCACGGUGGAGGUGAAAAAAUGAAAGAGAACCGACAUAGUUUUUCGUGUCGAUUCCCACAGACGGCGCCAAAUGUUGAUGCACAAAACCGGAGGUCUUGGAACAACGUAAAUCCGACCGUGAAUCUGUAAGAAAGUAAAUAACACAAGAUGUAUCGUGGUUCACCCCAAGGUUUGGGCUACGUCCACACUGAUUAUUGUAUUUCUCUGAGAGAUGAGGGGAGUGAGGGAGAGAGCUUCUGAGAGUGAGAGAACUCUUCCCAUGGCUUAAGAAAAUGGCAUCCUCUAAUUGUGAGGGUGAUGAGUCCUUUUAUAGAAUAAGGGCUCCUCACUUAUUAUAUUUGCCCCUUCUUUUAUUACAUAAUUACAUUUGAGUCACCCGAGUAUUUAUACGAGGUCUAAAUACGGAAGCCCUAAGUAUGGUAUAAACAACCUAGUAUACAAGUUUUGGAGAGAAUUUUUCAAUGUGCUCAAAACAUGGGAUAAUACAUCACGUGUCACUGUACAAGUAGUGAGAUAUUUGUGUAAUAACUCAAAAAAUAGAACUUUUCUCCACUUAUAUAAUAACACGUGGUGUACCACUCGUGAAAUUGGUACCAAGUGGAAUACCCUACAAUAAAAAUUUAGAAGCAACUAUACUAACUAGUCAGAUGAACUAUUCAACUAAGUACAGGUUGUUAGAUAUCCACAAGCAUAUAAACCAAGUAAACUGAUACUGUUAAAGCAAGACAAAUGAUCUCCAUUUAUUGUUGUAGCUUUUGUUCUUGAGUUAAGUUUACUUAGUUAACAAAGUGUUAAUACUAGCACACCCUACAAAGUUUAUCUCUAACAACGAUUAUUUGGACAUAAAGGUAACUUUGCAAAGUAUUGACACACAAGAAAGUUUUUGGCCAGAAAAAACCCACCUAUGGGUAGAAAACCGGGGACUCUUCACUGAGUCCAAUCCACUAGUGUAAACAAGGUUCAUACAAAGACCACACAAACUCUGUUGAUGCACAAAAUCGACGAGGACUUUGGUACAACAGAAAGUGUCAAGUUUGUGGCCUUCGCUAGGUUGCUCCGGUCACUAGUGUGGAUAAGUAUGUAAAUGGAUAAAGACAGGGAAGCAAACACAAGAUGUAUGUGGUUCACCCAGAUUGGUUACGUCCACAGAGUAGAAAAGCUCUCAUUAAUUGUGAAGGGUUUACAUAAGUACAUAGGUUCAAGCUCUCUUUUAGUGAGUACUAGUGAAUGAUUUAGUACUAAUGACAUUAUGAAAUAUUGUGGAAGAAUGAUCUCCUUUUAUAGAAGAGAGUUUCUAGCUUUGUUCUGACAUUGACACGUGUCGUGUUGUGAUUGGCUUCUGAUGUUGACACGUGUCGCGCUAUGAUUAGCUUCUGAUGUCGACACGUGUCGCGCUGUGAUUGGCCUCUUGGUUGGAGGGAAACUCUUCUGGGUCCUUGACGGUAUAACGUUGACCGGUGCUCGGUAGUUUCGGGAUUGGUCAAGUAUGGUACAAACAAACUUAAUUCUUAGAUCCCUAUCUAUAAAACAACUUUACCUUUGUGCAACCUUGCCUUACACGAGACAGAUUCAUUCGAUCUUCACAAAGUGUCAGCUUCUCCUGAGCUCAUCACUUUGUGGCUUCGAGAUCAACACGAUCAAUGAAAUGAUGUGAUGUUAUGAUGUGCUCAUGAAAUAAGGAUUCAAUGACUAGUCAGGUUCUAUAGUCAAACAGUUAAAGAAUAACCUAACAUGAAUCUGAAUGCUUAGUCUAAGAAAGAUAUGAAACAUUGAACAUUAGACUAAGAACUUAAUGCAAAACCAUGAAUACAAUGCAACCCUAAUAUGCAAUGAUUGGGUAUUUGUGCAUGAGAUGGUUUUGUGACUAAAGUUUCAGUUUGGAAGCUUAAGAAGUAGCUCUAGGCUAAAUGCAUUCUUUUAUUGAACAUGUGAAAAUCCUAACCAAAUAACAAAUAAGACCUUGGAAACCCUUUUAAUGGAAGCUGGAUGUUUUAAACUCGAGGGACAACGAGACACAUGUCAUAAGCCAAAGAGACCUUCCCAGAUCAAGGGUGAGAGAUCCAUGCACGGAAGGUGUCAGUUGGCCCAUAUGGGCUUUCUUAAUUUGCGUGCCAAACAGCUGCAAAACAAACGAAAAUUCUGACUAGACAACUACACUAGACGAAAGGAAUCUGGAAAAAUAAGUUUGACAUGCAUAUGCAAAUGUAUGUGUUGACCCUAAAAACUACCAAACCUACAUGGCAUGCAGGUCGAGUAAUCAAUAAGCUAACUACGACGUCAUUCGGUUGUGUGUAGGGAGUGCUAACUCGUCUGCCGAGCUCGGCCGGGGAGUAAAAUGUGUUGAUGUCGUGUUGGGCGCGCUGCUGACUUCUUGAUCUUGCAAUUGCGACCGAGGAAUGAACACGUCUUGGCCUUCGGGUUCUAGAGCCUGAAAACAAGGCUGCUAGUUCUACGAAGUUCAAUAUUAAAUUCAGCUUUUAAUGUGCCGAAUGUAGUAACUUGUAACAUCUCACUUCGUCGAGAAGGCUAAUGAGAUGACCUCUACCAAUAAGGACUCGAAAAUCCUUCUCUACCGAGACUUGGAUAGAUAACCAGUCGGCCUCGAUGUAGUACUAUUUAUCCAAACUGAAGGUGUUAUGCGGUCAGCAGAUUCUACGGUAACAGUGCUAUUUAUCCAAAUUGAAGAUGUUCACCGAUUGCCUUCACAUUGCUGUUUAUGAAGAUGUGUUGGCGGAAAAGGAAAAUAAAAAAUAUCAAGGUUAUUGAGAGGUUUCGCGUAGAGCGAGAGUUUGCACAGGGCAGUUUGUGUGUUGAAUUUGAGAGAGCCUCGAAUGAUGCACAAUGUUUUGUAUUUAUAGCAACGAACCUGCUUCUGGCCGAACUAGAGAUAUACUCGGAUUAGGACUCCUCAACCCAAUCCGAUUAAACUUCGACCAAUCCUAAUCUCAAUAGGAUUCUAAACCAAACCUUCAAACAAUCCAAGUUCAUCUCCUAAUCCCAAGUACUUUAGCUUUGAGACUCUUUAUUAUACCAGGAUUCGACUACUUCACCUUUAUUCAAAAUAAUCCUCUUUGUAGCAGGAUUCGGCCAACCUUGAUAGGACUGACCCAUGACAAGACUUUAAAUAAACACCAUUGGGCCGAGAAUUACUCUGGGCUCGGCCCAAAGUAACAUUUUGGAUCCAAACAGUAUGAUACAAACCCUUUUGUAGUGAAGAUGACCGGUGCUUUGACAGGAUCAAUCCCCAGUAGUAAUUCCAGAUUAGCAUUGCACUCUAACUCUAAACUAUGAACAUGUAUGGUAGCAAUUAUAAGAUUUAACAAGGGAAGCCAAACAAUAAACCUAAGACUUAACAACCCGUAUUCCAUGCACAAUAAAUCAAUUUCUCCUAGUUUUAGGGUAUAUUAAUAAAUAAAAAGUUUAUUUGAGUAGAAUGACAAUGCAUGCGACAUACUAAAAACGAGAAAAAUCGUAGACGAAGCCUUCCACGCGUUAAAUAUGCAUAUGAAUUUUCUUCUUCCUUGUGUGGGAACACAUGUACAUGAAAUCUGAUCAUAAAAGGUCACGUAAUUGGGGUUUAUUUUUCUAUUUAUCUUUAUUAAAAUCCAAUUUAAAGAAUUAUGAAUUCUUCUUAUUAAACUAGGUAGCGUUUAUUGGCAAUCUUUUUAUUUUUUUUUUUAAUUUUUAAUGAAUUAAAAUAGAUUCAAGUAUUUGUUUAAUUUUAUUAUAUAGGUAAUCUUAGGAAUGACACUUGGAUUUUUUCUAAAAAGACAAGAAUGCCUCAUUAAAUAGGCAUGACUUACAAAUAUUCCCUCGCGCAUGAGUUUAAUAUUGGAGGCUUGAGCAACAAAUUACGACACCACCAAACUUUCUGUCCUAGUAAGAGAGAAAAGUCAAAGGCAUUAAAUAUAAGAAUUGUAUCUUUAAUACUCUCUUAAUUGAAGACCAACCAACACAAGUGAGGAAUCCUCACCACACUCAAUCAUACUACCAUCAUCAUCCGAAGAUGUUAGCUCAUAAUUAAUAUCUUUGAGAUUAUUCUUUCCUUAUUCAUCUACGAAUAACUCACCUUGCUAAUGGAAAGCCGCCACGUGUAGGGCAAAAUCCUACAGCUAGAACCACCACCUUCCUAUAAAUACCCCAUGUCAACCAAUUUUUGGUAAGCUUUUGAUACGCAUACAAACCCAAAACACUAAUUCUUUUAAGAUAAACUGACUUACAUCGGAGGUCCAUUCCCAACCUCCCACCUUGUGGAUGCGUGAGGCUUUGGCCUUGAUCAAAUGUGUUACUUUGUUUCAUAGGUAUAAUUUUGUCGAGACCGAAGAUAACUGAAUUUUACUACCACAUGUCCAUCAUUAUAUAUAUAUUUUUUAUAUUUUAAUGUAAGUAACAUUAUUACUCUAAACAAUACAAUAAAAGGGAGUAAUUUAAAUUCAAAAUAUAUGUUAAAAAUAAAAACUUUAUUUACCAUGACAGUUACAAUUCCAAUUAAGGCACUAUAAUUUAUGUGGGGUUACAUUAAUCAAGUGGGUGGGAUAUUCUAAGGAUAUAUAAUAUUGAUGUAUUUGUCUUAAUUUACAUGUUUUUUCUUUCUAUUCUUUUGUAAAUUUGGAUCUAUUUGUACUAGUCGUUGCCCAAUGCUUCUGCAGCAGCCACUCUUGCACAAGUCGCCAAAACGUGUCACUAUAUAAUUCAGCGGGUCAUGUAAGCAAAUGAUACAUCAAUUGGAAGCUUUCGCUCUUCACAUGUCAUCCACUUAACACAUAUUAAUCCACACGUUGAUUGGUCAAAGCAGAUAAUUGGAUCUUAAAAUUGCUUUCCAAUCGGGUUCAGAUAAUAGCUGUUAGGAACUGACCAUUUCAAGAUAACGCAAUAUUUGGAACAUUAUUUGAGCAGCUCUAUUUUAAAGUGAACGAUAGCAAUUUUAUUAACGUGAAUGAAGGCAUCCUUGAUCACGUAAGGGCUCCUCAAAUUAACAAGAAUUAAAAUUAGGCUAAUUUGGCCAAUCUAUACUCCAUAACAUUGACGUUUUUACAAAUAUGACAUACACGGACAUCUCCGAAGUUCUGCAAAAGAGACUUGAUAUCCUCCACAAUCAAACCCAAUGGAGUAGAACACAUCUGCAUGCUGCCCAGGUUCUGAAGUUGAAUAACUUGAAGAGCAUCAUUCUCAAGGACCACUUACGGAAACUUACUGCCAAAAGAUUGCUGCGCAGCAUCAGGAGCUGCGAGAAACUCAGCAGUCGAAGGGCUAGUCACAUCCGGUAUUUUACGAACGAAACUUCUAGCAUAGUUACCGGCUUCGUCGGAAAAAACCAUACAACUCUCCCAAAAUUAGUUUUAGAACAAAAUGAUCCGUCCACAUUGAUCCUUUUCGUUUAUUUUAUGAGAGAUUUUAUUUUCUAUUGCUAUAGCGAGCAACUUUCAAUGAAUUUGGAGCAUGAUCACAAUGCAUUAUAUCUACAUAGAUUUGUUUUUCAUAAAUCUACGUCGACAGAAGAGGACAUAUAAAAAAUAAUACGUAGAACAAUACAUCAUGUAAUUUACUGUUUAUCUACAAUAAUUUAUCCAAACCAAUCCAGUACCAUCCAUUACACACAAAUAUAUGUGUAGUAGGUUGCUUUCACUUUAAUAUUCAAUUUCUUAUAUUCAUGGUUGUUGGAGGGACAAGGAAAUGGAUGGAUAUGUUUGUACAAACUUUUUGGCCCUAUUGUAAUGUGAUUAAUUAAUUUCUGUCCAAUUUGUCGAAUAUAUGCUCUUGUUAUAUUUAUGGAGCCCAUGCAUGUUAGUAUUUAUCCUAAAUCCUAAUAGUUUUUAUUUUAUUGGAUCUCAACAAAACUCUGAAGUUAAACGAGUUUAUGUGAAAGUAAAUACUGAAAUAGGUGAUCUCUUAGGUCAUCGUGUUGCAAUCUUCACCCUAAACCCUAAUAGUUGGAGCAUGUAAAAUGGAAAGGAGGACUGUCUCUUUUUUUAAAAAUUUUUUUUUGGGUAAGGGUUAAAAGAACAUAGUGCUUAACUCCUUAGGGCCAAUGCUGGACCACCAUCCCCCUAAUGACGAUUCACAAAUGACAAUUCCAAUGAAACAAGACACAAUGCAUGCUACAAUUUUCUUAUGAAAUGGCACAAGCUAAUUGGUCAAUAACCUUAGUGAACAAUAAUAUAUGAAGAGAUUUUUUUAGUGUGUUUGGAAUAAGGACACAUACAUUAAAUUUUAUUAUACAAGUAGAGAGAUCCAUCAUAUAUAUAUAUAUAUAUUGUGUGUGGAUAUACAUAUAUACUGAUUGAAGACUUGAAAUGAUAUGGUCCUAUCCUAUUGGAUGAAUGAACUGAUGAAAGUGAUUUUGUGACGGCAAUUUUUUUUAGUUUUUUGCUUACCAAAACGGUGUCUUCUUUCACGGGCUCGACGGCUUCUUUUGCCUCUUUCCCAAUUCAUGCGUGCAUGUAAUACUAAUCACAUGUUAUACAUAUUCUGAGCCGGCCACCUGCUGCCCGUGCUACGUUUACGUACCAUUUUGGUUUUUGGUGGGUAAAUAUUCCAUCUGCACGGCCACCUUAAUUAACACACGCGUCCAUAGAUACAGACGAAGUUGAAAAUAUUAAAUUAUUCCUAAUUUUUUUUUGUAACGGAUCAUAGUAGAUUGUAUGCACUCAAACAAAACAAUGUUACGUCACUACAAUUGAACUAUCUGAAAUUAAGUAUUUGUAAAAUAUCAAUCUAAUUCUUAUGUUGAAGGGUGAGAUGACGAUUGAUAUGAUUCACUUGAAGUUCCUCAAUGAUCUUGAGGCUCCUUGUGUAAUUUCAUCGUUACGAUAAUCAUGCAAUGGAGCGGUGCACGCAGUGGUCUCUUUCAUUACUAAACAUAGGGGACAUUUUUGUUGGGACCAAAUAGCAAACUACAAAGCAUGCAGCAGACACGAAACGAGUCCGACAGACUUCAACAAUUUCAUCUAUGAGAGCUGGUUAAAUUUCAGUUAACCAAUUGAUCUGUCAUAAUAUUAUUCUCUCUGUAAAUGUGUUUCAACUCACAUCUCCUUAGUUGUCUCAUAAUUAAUCUGCAACUAUGCAUAAUUAUCUAAAAAAGAUGGAAAUUGUCAACUUAGAUUUGUUUCAACAACAUAACAAUAGCCAUGGAGUCCAUCUUUUUAUUUUAUUUUUUUUUUCGGAGAAAAGGUGGCAUCCAACUCAGUUCUUCUUGAUAGGCCAUUUCCCAAAUACUAUCAAUAUUAUUACCAUAUAUGUCGACGUGGAUAGAUGUAUCAAUAUUUGAUUUACCUUUUUUAUUUACCAUUCCAUAUUCCUUAAUUAAUUAUGAAUUGCUUUGGUUAAUUCCCUCUAUAUGACUCCCUAGAUUUACCAAAAUAUAUUCUAAAAUAAACUAUUCAAGAUCCUUUACUCCUUUUGGUUUAAACUUUAAAAAAUACAAGUGUUUCAUGGCACUUGGAACAAAAGUUUUUUUUUCCUCUUUUAUUUUGAAUUGACAAAGAAAAGGGUAAAUGAAUACUUAGGAAGAUUUGGAAAGAGAUUCCAAAAAAAUAUAGAGCAUUUGUAGCUAAUGAAAAACUUGAAAUAAAAUCGAACACAAUAACAUUAUAAAAUUCAUAUAACUGAUCUCACUUAAUGAGACGAACCCUUUUGUUGUUGUUUGUUGUAUUUUGAGUUGACGAAGAAAAAGCUUUUGUUUUUGGUCUUUGAACCAGACAAAAGUGCCAAACGUUUUAAAAGUACAAAAACAAUACAAAAAAACAUUUGAAGCAAAUAAAAAGACAAGAAAAGGUGCAUCAUGUGAUGUUAGUGCUUUGGUGUAAGAGUGUUUGACCCGCCGCGCCCAUCCCGUUUGAUUUCCCUAAUUUUAAAUUUAAAAAAAAUAAUUCCUUAAUUUUAAUUUGUAUUUGUCUUAAAUUUGUUUCCAACCAAUUAAGAAAAACCAUGAAAAAUUAAACCGAUAAAAAAAGAAAGUUACUCUGAAAUAAAAAAAAUGAACUUUAACAAAAAGCAUCUGGUACUGUUUACUUUAACGAAAAAUCACAUUUUUACACUAAAAAGUCAAUCAUGUACUAUUCACUUUACUCUUUAUUUUGUCCUUAUCAUUAAAACUCAAAGUUUUCAAGAUCUUUUCAUUAGUUUUCCUAUAAAAAAAACCCUAAUUUUCCAGUAAUCUCCUUGAAACACUUUUCCAGUUUCCCCUCUCUCUCCUCCUCCCUCUGAUUAAUGAAUUAGUCAUCCGCUAAUUAAUCAUUACAUCAGAAGAUUAAUGCAAAUCAUUUCGAGGACUUUUCUAAUCAAGUUCCAGAGAGAGAGAGAGAGGGACUAGAAGGAGAAGACCAUUUCACGCAUAAAACAGUCACCACCAUUGACGAGGAGCUCCCCCCUUAACUUUCCCGCGAAACUGAACUUACCCGGAAAAUUCCAAUUCGGUAAAUCCAUUUCAAACAUUCCUCCCUAUUCUUCGUUUUGUUUUUUUCUGGGCAAGCAGCUGAGUCUUUGGAAUCAAUUUUCAAAUUUAAAAAAAAAGAAAAGAAAAACCGAAGGCAAAUGCGCGUCCUUGACAUUAGUCAAAAUGCGAGAUCCGAACCAAGUCUCCGUUCAAAGCUGCAAUUUUUAGAGAAAAUUCAAAUACCCGAAUAUUGUUCAUAUAAAACCAAUCUUUCCCAACCCUUAUUUCUGAAUAUUUGUGGGUUUGGAUUUGUUGGUUUCUUCUGUUGAGAGAAAAAGUUUACAACUUUGGGUGUGCAGAUUAGAGAGCUGGGUGUGCAGAAGGGGAAAAAGCAGGGUGCUUAUAAGUAAGCCUUUUCUGGUUUUGUUUUUUUACCUUUCAGGUUGUAAAAAUUCUUUGUUUUUAUUUGUUCUUUUUCUCUGUUGGAUACCGAAUUUGUUUAUUUUUUGUGUACUGGGGUUCUGAGCUUUCUGCCUGAGAAAGUUUUAUUUAUUUUCUGGGAUUUUCCCCCACUUUUGGGUCUCUGUGUUUAAUAUUUGUGAAUUUUUGGGGGGUUGUGGAACUGGGUUCUUGCUGUGGGUGUCUUUUUUUUAAGAAAGAAGCUGUUUUUUUUUUUUCACUGAGGAAUUGCUUUUCAAGAAGCAGCUGCAGAAGUUGUUACCUCUUAUUUUCACUAGGAUACAUAUUCAAAACUGCUUUUGGAUUUUAUUCCAUUUGAAGAAGUUGCAUUAAUUAGUGAGGGUUUGGAAUUCAAAAGCAGCUUUUUAGCCUUGUAAGUUGGGUUUGUGUUGGUUGGAGCUUGUGGUAGAGUGAGAGGGAAUUAGAGAGAGAAAAUGAGGGGUGGAGGCAGAAGGAGAAAGCUGCAUUUCAGCAAGAUCUAUUCUUUCACUUGUGGUAAAUCUUCUAUGAGAGAUGAACAUUCACAAAUCGGGGGACCAGGAUUUUCCAGAGUGGUUUACUGCAACGAACCGGAAUCUUUCGAGGCUCAGAUGCAAAAUUACGGAGACAAUUAUGUUAGAAGUACAAAGUAUACACUCGCUACUUUCUUGCCAAAAUCUUUGUUUGAGCAGUUCAGAAGGGUGGCCAACUUCUACUUCUUAGUCACUGGCAUUUUGUCCUUCACAGCUCUGGCUCCAUAUAGCGCUGUCAGCGCGAUCAUCCCUCUUAUUAUUGUGAUUAGCGCGACCAUGGUGAAAGAGGGUAUCGAAGAUUGGCAUCGAAAACAACAGGUACUGGUUUUUCUUUCUUCAGCCUGGCUCUAUAUUUUGGUUGUUUUUCUUUCCUUGUCCCUUAAAAUUUCACUGACUUAAAUUAGUAGUUGAGGAUUUUUAACUGUUGAAUUUUACUAUAACUAUCUUGGGAGUUAGAAUUGAUGAGGAAAUUUAUUGAAUGAAAGUUUUCCGAGGCUUGGAGGAUAAUCAAACUAGAUUUUUUUACUUCCUUGAAGAUAUACUCGAUCUGAAUUAGUUGACUGUGCCAUGUAUCUUACCUGCUUUAUAGUUUACAUAUCAUUUUCUGGUUCUGGUAUACUGUCAACCGCGGCUAUAUAAUCUCACAAGUGCGAUGAUUUUCCAGGAUAUUGAGGUGAACAAUCGAAAGGUUAAAGUACGUGAUGGUAAUGGGGCUUUCAAUUAUACUGCGUGGAGAAAUCUGAGAGUGGGAGAUAUAGUGAAGGUAGAAAAGGACGAAUUCUUUCCGACAGACCUCCUCUUGCUCUCAUCCAGUUUUGACGAUGCAAUUUGCUAUGUUGAGACCAUGAACCUUGAUGGGGAGACAAAUUUAAAGUUAAAACAAGGGUUGGAAGUAACUUUAUCCUUGCGGGAGGAUUCUAACUUCAACGAUUUUAACGCCAUUGUUAAAUGUGAAGACCCGAAUGCAAAUUUGUACUCAUUUGUUGGAACUAUGGAGUUCGACAAUGAACAAUUUCCCGUCUCUCCUCAACAGCUUCUCCUGAGAGACUCUAAACUCAGAAAUACAGACUACGUAUAUGGAGCUGUUAUCUUCACUGGUCCUGACACAAAGGUUAUUCAAAAUUCUACCGCCCCUCCUUCAAAAAGAAGCAGAGUUGAGAAGAAGAUGGAUAAAAUUAUCUACUUCUUGUUCUGUGUUAUAUUUUUAAUGGCAUUUGUUGGGUCCAUUUUCUUUGGGAUUGCAACGAAAGAUGACCUAAACAAAGGGAUCAUGAAAAGGUGGUAUCUCAGGCCAGAUAAUUCUAGAAUUUUCUUUGAUGCUAAAAGAGCUCCGUAUGCAGCAAUUUACCACUUUUUGACUGCCCUAAUGUUGUAUGGCAACUUUAUCCCCAUCUCCUUGUAUGUGUCCAUAGAAAUUGUCAAAGUUCUUCAGAGCAUCUUCAUCAAUCGAGAUGUUCACAUGUACUAUGAGGAGGCUGACAAACCAGCACACGCCCGUACCUCAAACUUGAACGAGGAACUUGGCCAAGUCGACACAAUUCUCUCUGAUAAGACGGGAACUUUGACCUGCAAUUCAAUGGAGUUCAUUAAGUGUUCUGUGGCCGGGACAGCUUAUGGCCGCGGCUUUACUGAAGUUGAGAGGGCUAUGGGUCGACGAAAUGGUUCACCAUUGGUUCAUCAACUAAGUGGAGGGGACAAUCUCAAGGACUCUACUGAAACAAAGGCACCCAUCAAAGGCUUUAAUUUUAAAGACAAAAGGGUCAUGAAUGGAAACUGGGUUAAUGAGCCUAAUGCAGAAUACAUCCAGAAGUUUUUCAGUUUAUUAGCAAUCUGUCAUACAGCAAUUCCGGAAGUUGAUAAAGCUACUGGGAAUGUUUCAUAUGAGGCUGAAUCUCCUGAUGAAGCAGCAUUUGUGAUUGCAGCAAGAGAACUUGGUUUUGAAUUCUACAAAAGAACGCAAACAACCAUAUCACUGCGAGAGUUGGAUCCAGUGUCUGGCAAGAAAGUUGAGAGGUUCGUAUAUUGCAUUGUUUUUCUGAUUAUUAGGACUUUUAUAUCUGUGCUGGUACUCUUAGUAAGUACUGUAGAGAGUAUACUCAUUGAGUGAUGUCGUUUUUGCAGGACGUAUAGCCUUCUCAAUGUUUUAGAGUUUAACAGCACAAGGAAGCGAAUGUCUGUGAUUGUCAGAAGUGAGGAAGGAAAAAUAUUAUUACUUUCCAAAGGUGCCGACAAGUAAGUGCUUGCUGCCUUAAACUUGAAUCUCUUCUUACUUCUUACUGCAAAUUUAAAACUGUUCUUCUAACCAGCAUAACUUCUUUUCUGUUCAGUGUUAUGCUUGAAAGGCUUGCCAAAAAUGGUUCGGGUUUUGAAGAAGAGACCAUGGAUCAUCUAAAUGAGUAUGCUGAUGCAGGGCUGAGGACCUUGAUACUUGCCUAUCGUGUACUUGAGGAAGACGAAUACAAAGAGUUCAAUCAAAAUUUUAUCAAGGCCAAGAAUUCAAUUAGUGCAGAUCGUGAAACAGUGAUCGAUGAAGUAACAGAAAAGAUUGAGAGAGAUCUAAUUCUUCUUGGUGCAACUGCUGUUGAGGACAAACUACAAAAUGGGGUAUGUAGUCAUAUAUUGAUGGGGUAACAUGGAAGUUUCUUUAUAGACGAUAUCAGAUUUUGAAUUAAUGUUCUUUCUUUCUUUUUUGGUUAGGUUCCUGACUGCAUUGACAAGCUUGCCCAAGCAGGAAUUAAGAUUUGGGUUUUGACUGGAGAUAAGAUGGAGACUGCCAUCAAUAUUGGGUUUGCAUGUAGCUUGCUUAGACAAGGAAUGAAGCAAAUUGUAAUCACUUUGGAGUCUCCGGAGAUUAAAGCGUUGGAAAAGGCAGGAGAAAAGGAGGCCAUCGCCAAGGUAAAACUAUAUGCAUAUAGUUGAAUUUGUUUGUGUAUUGAAAACGGAAUCUGUAGCUUAAUACUCAAGGAAGUAAAACAGUUUACUUCAACAAUAUAAUAGUACCUUAGUAAUGAUGCUGAUACAAUAUUUGCUGAUUCAUCAUUAGGCAUCAAAAGGAAGUGUUCUCGAUCAGAUAAAUAGGGGAAAGGCUCAGCUUAUAGCAUCGAGCGGGAACUCUGAGGCAUUUGCAUUGAUCAUUGAUGGAAAAUCGCUUGCUUACGCUUUGGAGGAUGAUACAAAGAAUUUGUUUUUAAAUCUUGCAAUUGGCUGUGCAUCUGUUAUUUGCUGCCGUUCAUCACCUAAACAGAAGGCACUGGUAUGUUUACAAAUUAUAACAUAAGGAUUUUUUUCUUUUUCAUUUUUGUUCUUACAUCAUGCUCAGAAAAGAAUUAAUUUGUUUUCAAUGGUGAAAUGUAAAAUAGGUCACUAGACUGGUAAAAUCUGGAACUGGGAAAACAACACUAGCAAUCGGUGAUGGAGCCAAUGACGUGGGCAUGCUCCAAGAAGCAGAUAUCGGGGUUGGAAUUAGUGGUGUUGAAGGAAUGCAGGUAUUGUACAGAUUCUUCCACUUGUUUUACCGAAAUUAAUUAUUGUUUCACUGUAUUUUCCUCUAAACUUUUAUUCUCAUGAACUUAUCAUGCUUAUUUUUUCACAGGCGGUCAUGUCAAGUGAUAUUGCGAUUGCACAAUUUCGAUACUUGGAGCGUCUCCUGCUUGUGCACGGGCAUUGGUGUUACAGGAGGAUCUCAUCAAUGGUAUGCAUGUCAUAUACUAUGAAACAAACUUGAGACUUCAGAAUCUUCGACAAUGUGGCAAAAAAAAUUUAAAUUAUCACAGGCUAAAACUCGUGUGUGCAAAUUUCUCCUUGCAGAUUUGCUACUUCUUCUACAAGAACAUCGCAUUUGGUUUCACUCUCUUCUUAUAUGAGGCAAACACAUCCUUCUCUGGACAGCCUGCAUACAACGACUGGUUUUUGUCUCUUUAUAACGUAUUCUUCUCAUCACUUCCGGUGGUUGCUAUGGGAGUUCUCGACCAGGAUGUAUCUGCGCGGUUUUAUCUCAAGGUAAGCUCACUGGGUUACAUGUGAAAUUCCGUUCGGAUUAACAUGCUUAAUUUCAAGCCUUGUUUUGAAACUUUUGGCAUUAAUUGUUUAUCCUGUUUUGUGUGGCAGUUUCCUCUAUUAUACCAAGAAGGGGUGCAAAAUGUUCUCUUCAGCUGGCGUAGAAUAUUCGGAUGGAUGUUGAAUGGGUUUACAACUGCCGUGAUUAUUUUCUUCUUCUGCACGGAAGCGCUAAAUCAGCAGGCCUUCAACAAUGAGGGCAAAACUGCCGGAAGGGAUAUUCUCGGGGCAACGAUGUACACGUGCACAGUUUGGGUUGUGAACUUGCAGAUGGCACUUGCCAUCAGUUACUUCACCUUAAUACAGCACCUCUUCAUCUGGGGUUCAAUUGCACUAUGGUACCUCUUCCUCUUGGCGUACGGCGCCAUGUCACCCUCAGUCUCCACCACUGCCUACAAAAUCUUCAUUGAAGCCCUGGCCCCCGCCCCUUCGUUCUGGCUCCUCACAAUCUUCGUGCCAAUCGCCGCUCUAAUCCCAUACUUCACAUGCUCAGCCGUUCAAAUGCGGUUCUUCCCAAUGUACCAUAGAAUGAUACAGUGGAUACGCUACGAGGGCACAUCAAAUGAUCCCGAAUUUUGUGACAUGGUGCGGCAGAGAUCUUUGCGGCCGCAGACUGUUGGUUUCACGGCGCGAUUAGCAGCGAGGGCCAACCGUGUAAAAGACAGACAUCGUAACCGUAGAUAAGCUUUGUAAGUUUGUUCUUUGGUAUAGUAGGUCUCAAAGGAUACAGCUUCAGUCUCUCCCAAGUUUAGAAAAACGCUGCGUUUUGUACAUCGAUGGGUUGCACAUAUGUUAUACAACAAGAUUUUUUGGUUCAAUUUGUUCCUAGGAGUGGGCCCCUGUAGCCAGAUGACUCUGUACAGAAGCAGUUUUCAGCUCCGUUAGAAUUAGAGAUUGUAAAUUUUGAGUCAUUGGCCAAUGUAUGUGAUACAUAGUGAAAUAAUAUAUUGCAGGGUUCAGUACUUGUGUUUUCUUCUUGAAUUUCUGUUCUUUUUCUCGUGAGUUCUCCCUUUUCCUUUUCGCGAUAACAAAAAUGAAACCUAAAAACUGAAACGAAAUGGUUAUGAAACGAGGUAUUAAUUAUUUAACAACAAAUUGUUUGUGAAUCGAAGACUUACUGAUGUUCUGGUUAGACUAUGAGAUUAUGAGAUAGAAGCUUAUGGUAAAAGAGGUAGAGGAAGACCCUAAUUUCUACGAGAGCAUCUCAUUAUUGUGAAAAAAAAACACAAUAAAUCAUAAAAUUAAAGAGGAGGGCUUGAUCAUAACUAUAUUUGAUAAUUAAUUCGUAACUCUUUAAUUUACAUGAACAUCCUUUAUAUUUCUGCUAACUAUUAAUUGGCGUUGGACCUCUUAUUACUCGUAACGUGUGAUAUUCUUUUUGUUUGCUAAAAAGAAAGUGAUUCACUAUAUAUGCAUGGUGUGUGUGAGUUAGUUAAGAGCUAAUAGGUGUGUAAACACGAAUAUUCUGUAGCGAAUGAAACGAGAACACGUGUACAAAGUAGAUUCGUAAGGCUACAAUCUUUGCUUACAAUUUUCCUCUGAUUCAGUCUUCAAAUGUGAUGUAGAUGCGUAAGUUGUUGAUCCAAGGGUCGUGAUGACUUGAUCUCGGACGAAAUAUUGAACGAUUGCUUUAAGUUUUGAGCUUGAAACGAUGCGUAGAUGAUCUUCACCUCAAGGUGCGGCAAAGAUGGUGUUGAUGCGGGAUUUUGUUGAUUCAAGGGUUUUGACGACUUGAUCUUGAAUCAAACGUUGUUACAAGUUUUGAGCUUGUAACAAAGUCUUGAAGGAAUCGGCACAAGUGCUUAUUGAUUCUUCAAGUGAAUGCUUCGGCUUUGGUUGUACGUUCUUCGAAAAGAGCUUUGGUAGCGUAUUAGUCUUCAAGGAUUUGUGCAGAGGUUCUUCUGGAUGUAGGAGUUUCGACCCUUAUGUUGUCUUGGCUCCUUGUAUUUAUAAACUUCCAAAGCCAUGCGUUUGGGUGGAUUUGGCUUUGAUUUGUGUCUUGAUUCGUCCAUAGGAGAAUUUAGGCAUGUUUUGUGUCCAGUUUCAGCCACUUUACCCUAUCUUGGCUGAAUUCUAGAGGGCUUGUUACCUAUUUUGUAAGCAAUCUUCACUUCUUGCUUGUUUUAUGAAGAUGGUUUAGCUUUCUUUCCGGUUUUGGGAGUAAUUUGGACCCCUUGCCGAUUUUGAAGGAGAUUUCCUCCCCUUUGCCGAAUUUUGGGAAGUUUUUGUGCUUCCUUUGCUUGAUUUGUGCCACAUGUCAUUGAUGACUUGUCCAUUUGUGAUGAGUCAUAUGUCAUAUGGAGUUUUGUGAUGCAUUAUUUGUAUACAACAAAAUUAACAUGUCUACAAGGUGAAUUUAUAUAGAAGAGCAUUUAUAUACCUGCUGCUUGAUGUGGAAUUUUGCUUUCUUUUUUUUUUUUUAGCAAUAACAUGUACAAUCUUGGAUUUUAUUACAACGAAAGUAGAUCAAGUUUCAGAGUGAAAUUUAUCAUUGAUUUUAUAGUUUUAUUGGUGUGAAUUAUCCUGCACUCACACCAUGAUGUCUUUGCUAAUGAGUAGUCUACAAGGUCCUUUCGUCCGAAAGAGCUUCAGAAGCUAGGCAGUUACAGCAUUCGUUGAGUACUUCCAUGUGCCUCCUUGUGCUGGGAUUUUGUUAGGCUCGUAUCCCAGGUGUGUAUUUUAUCUUCAUAUGUUUCAUAGUUUUAUUUAGUUUUGAUAUAUAAUCAACUAGAAACACAUUCAGUUGGACGAAUUCCGCAUUGUGACAUACAUGACAUUGGAUUUCACUGGUUGGACACUGUAAAAUUUUGAGUGAAAAUCAAUUAGGGGAACUAUAUACUGGUAGAGAUGUGCAUAUUAAUCCUGCCUAAAGUAAAAUUUAGAAAUCUGGCAUGGUGAAAAUCCAAUAGAGAAUAUGAGAAACCCAACUUAAUUUUAAGAAUUUGUUUUGGUGCCUACUGUGAAUGUAACUAUAUCUAUGAAAUUGUAUACAGAAAUUCUAGAGAGAGAUAACAAUUCAGAGAGAAGAGAGAGAGAAUGAAUGUUCUUGAUAUAUUUCUUAAUCACCAAGUAAUACAAGAGGUUGAGAUAUUUAUACACUUCUAACAACAAGGCUAACUGCCUUAACUAACACAUCUUCUAAUCUAAUUACACAUGUCAUCAUCCUAUACAUCAAUUUCUAUAUUCUAUCACCCUCCCGCAAACUCAGGCUGGGAGGCACGAAGCAUGAGAUUGGAAUAGUGAAUAUGAAAUAAAGGAGAACUCAAGCCUUUAGUCAGAAUGUCAGCAAACUGCUAUUUGGAUGACAAAAACUGCACAGAGAGGUGCUUUUUUUGCCACUCGUUCCCGCACAAAAUGAACAUCAAUCUCAAUGUGUUUAGUGCGUUGAUGUUGAAAGGGAUUAAAAGACAAAGCAAUGGCAGACAGAUUAUCACAAAACAACACAGGUGGAGAGAAUAAAGGAACCUGCAAGAAGACUAAGAGUUGCUGGAUCCAGUCCAAUUCUGCAGAUGUGGAUGACAGGGCACGAUAUUCAGCCUCUGUAGAAGACCGGGAUACUAUCAGUUGCUUCUUGGAUGACCAGGAAAUAGGACUAUUCCCUAAAAACAUAACCAAGCCAGUAAUCGACUGUCGGUCAUUAGGAUCCCCUGCCCAGUCAGCAUCACUGAAGGCCUUUAAUUGAAGCGAGCCUCGAGAAUAACCGAUGCCAUGACUAAGGGUUCCUUUUAAGUACCGCAAGAUUCGUUUGACUGCUGUAAAGUGAGCAACCAUAGGGGAUUGCAUGAACUGAGCCACUUGAUGGAUAGAGAAUGCUAUAUCCGGCCUUGUAAACGUAAGGUACUGCAAAGCACCUACCACACUUCUGUACAAAGUAGGAUUGGUAUAUGGAUCACCAUCAUCCUUGAGAAGCCUGUUAUACGGCAAACAAGGAGUGUCACAAGGUUUGGCAUCGAGCAUCUCUGUUUUGGUGAGAAGAUCCAACACAUAUUUCGAUUGAGACAAGAAUAAACCAGUGGGAGUCCGUGAAAUUUGAAUGCCAAGGAAAUAAUGCAAAUCCCCUAAAUCCUUGAUGUCAAACUCAGUGUGUAAAACAGUAAUAACCUGUUGUAUGGAUGUAGAUGCACUCCCUGUGAUGAUAAUAUCAUCCACAUAGAGUAGAAGAAUGACAAUCCCAGAAUCAACCGUUUUGACAAACAAAGAGGAAUCCGAAUAGGUGGUUUGAAACCCCAAAUGAGGCAGGAAUUUGGUGAAUCUAUCAUUCCAAGCUCGGGGAGCUUGCUUGAGUCCAUAUAGGGAUUUCUGCAGUUUGCAAACUAGGUGAGGAUGAUGAACAUCUUCAAACCCAGAAGGCUGAGCCAUGUACACUUCGUCUUCUAAAAUGCCAUGUAAAAAAGCAUUUUUGACAUCGAGUUGUCGAAGGGACCAACCAAACUGAGCUGCAAGAGCUAAUACUAAUCGAACAGUGGUAGGUUUAACCACAGGACUGAACGUUUCCCCAUAGUCAAUUCUAGGUUCUUGACUGAACCCUUUAGCUACUAAUCUAGCUUUAUGUCGGGCAAUAGUACCAUCAGAAUGUCUCUUGAUCUUGAAUAUCCACUUGCACCCCACCAAAUUCUUUGAGGAAGGUAAGACCACCAGAUUCCAGGUACCUUGUGUAUGCAAAGCACUGAUUUCCUCUUGCAUAGCCUUAAACCAAAUCGGAUUCUUCAAGGCAGAUUGUAGGAAGUUGGUUCAAUAAGAGACAAAUCAGUACCCUCAGACUCCUGAACAAUAGCUAAUAAAGCUCUUUUCUUGAUAAUUCCACUCUUGCUCCGAGUUUGCAUAGGAUGUAAAUCGAUUGGUGGAACCUCCAGUACCACUGACAAAGUAUCAGGAUGAAAUUGUACUUCUGGAACUUGAGACUGAGGAGAACCAUUGACAAGUGCCACAAGAGGUUGAGAAGUAGUAGAGGCAGUAAUGGACUGAGAGGAUAGUGGUGAUGAUGAAAUCGGAGAUAGUGAUAUGGUAGGAGAACCAGGCAAAUUGGAGGAGGUAGGAUGUGAUUGUGAUGUUAUGGGGACAUGAGGCAUAGAGACCACAACAUUAUCAGUGGAAACAACAGGUACUGGACUGUGGGUGGUAGAACUAAGGUGGGAUGAGGUAUGAUGGACCAACAAGUCUGUGUAUAGGAAUUGAGACUCAUCAAACACUACAUGCCGUGAUAUGUAUAGUCUUUGUUUAGAAACCUCAUAACAUAUAUACCCUUUAUAGUUGGUAGCAUACCCCAGGAAAAUACACUUGGUGGUUUUUGGUUGCAGCUUAGAGUCAUUAUAAGGCCUUAAUAACGGAUAACAAGCACAACUAAAUGAUCUAAGAUGGGAAAUGACAGGGAGAAGCCCAAACAAUAGUUCAAAUGGAGAAUGAUUGCCUAGGACAGGAGUGGGCAUUCUAUUUAUGAGGUAGAUGGCUGUUUGACAAGCAUAGGACCAAAACAGGGCAAGUAAUCUAGCAGUUUGUAAAAGGGUCACAGUUGUUUCAAUGAUAUGCCUAUGCUUUCUCUCAGCGAGGCCAUUUUGCUCAGGAGUAUAUGGAUAUGAUUUAUGAUGUGUAAUGCCUUUUUCAAGAAGAAAUGACUGAAAUGCUUUACUAACAUACUCUCCCCCUCCAUCACUUUGAAGAGUUUGAAUAGGAGUUGCAAACUGAGUAAUAACAAAGGAAUAGAAUGCAACAAAUUUGGCAAAGACAUCAGAUUUAUUUAUUAAUGGGAAAAUCCAGCAGUAUCGUGUACACUCAUCAAUAAAGGUCACAUAAUACUUGUAACCAUCAAUAGAAACAGAAGGGGCUGGACCCCAAAGGUCACUAUGAACUAUAGCAAAGGGUAUUACAGACUUAUUGGGACUUAGAGGAAAAGGAAGUUUACAAAACUUUCCCUCCAAACAACUAGAACACAGGACAGGUAAGGAUAGUUUGGGACAGGGAAUAUGAGCUUGUUUUAACAUCAAAGAAACAAUAGAAUUGGAUGGAUGACCUAGUCUAUUGUGCCAAGUAGUAGAGUGAAUGUGCUGACCGAGAAGAGCUUUAGCUUGGAACGGUACUGAGGUGGAUCCAUGAGAAGUGGUUGAAAGACAGGGAAUUGGGUAUAGACCAUUACUGCAUACUCCUUUGUAAAUGAUCCUCCUUGUGGCCUUGUCCUGAAUCCAAAAGCAAAAAGCAUCAAAAAUUAGCCAGCAAUUGUUAUCCAAACAGAUCCGAUGCACAGAUAAUAAGUUUUGGGUUAACUUCGGAACAUAUAACACAGAAUUGAGCUUCAUUGGAGGAACAGAAUUAACGUUGGAAAGAUUAAGAACAGUACUGCCAAUAUGAGAUACAGGCAAACCUUCACCAUUGGCAGUUUGGACAAUCUCAGAAGUAGGAUAUGGAGAUGCCAGAGAUAAGUUGCUGAGAUCAGAAGUCAUGUGAUUGGUAGCACCAGAGUCAGUGAGCCACACUUGAGGAUUAAAGUGAGAAUGAGAUGCCACGGAAGGAGACUGAGGCAUCACAGUAUGCAUAGCUUGAGGAGAGAAUUGGUGUCCAUUCAUGGCAGAGUGCUGACUAGAAACAUUGUAACCGGGAGCACCAAAGUUUGAGGAAUGCAGCUGAGACGGAUAAAACUGACUGGGAGCACCAACAAAAUUAGGGCCUUUGUCAUUAUAAAAACAAUACCAUGUGGUGUGAUUGUGCUUGCCACAAAUUUGACAAUUAACUCUGUCAGAAGGUUUAGAACGGCAGAAUGGUGCGGUGUGUCCUUCAGCAUUACAAAGUUGACAGGUUUGCACCAAGGAAACACUUGAAUGGCCAUAAGACUGCACUGGGGAAUGACCAAGGAUGCCCGGAGUCGGUGUUGGUAGCACAUGUGUUUGAGUGGAAAAAGAUGGUUUGGGUGGAUAAGACCGAAACCCUUGAUUAAACUUGCCUUUGCCUUUGUUUCUGUUGCCAUUGAACAGCUUAUAACCACCAGAGAAGAACUGAGACUGACCAGAUGCACCCUUUCCGGAAUGCGAAACAUUAUUUGCAACCAUUGCAGUAAUAAAUGGUGCAGUGGUAGAAUUCUCAACAAUAAUCUCUUCAGCAAGCAACUGAGAUCGAAACUCUUUAAGAGAUAUCACAUUCUCACGACCUCUAAUGACACACCGAAAAGUAUUAUAUUCAGAGGGUAAGCCAUUGAGAGCAAGGAUAACAAUAUCUUCAUCAGCAAAAUGAACUCCAGCAGCAGAUAAGUAAUCCCGAGCCUCUUUUAUCCUAUGAAGAUACUGGGACACUAAAUCAGAACCCUUCUUAAUAGUUUGGAGAUUAGAUUUCAUUUGAAAUAUACUAGUCUUAGACACAGUAGAGAAUUGUUCUUUCAAACGAAUCCAUAUAUCUUGAGAACUCUUACUACCAAUAGCACAAGAUAGAGCAGCAGGCGAAAGGGUAGCAGUUAGCAGUUGCAUAACAGCCUUAUCAUGCAUUUUCCAAAUCAUAAACUCAUCCGUUGCAACAGAAGCAUUAGAGCUAGAGUUCAUACCAGAGGCACCAGAUUGAUCGGAAAAUUGAGGAGGACAGGGAUGUGAGCCAUCAACAAACCCCAUAAUUCCAUUGCUCUCCAACAAGAGUUGUAUCUGAAAGUGCCAAUUAAGAUAGUUGGAGUCAUCCAAUUUGACAUUCACCGAAGUCGAAAUGGAGGAGAUUAGGGCAGUAAUCGGGGAUUGCACAAUUUGAAGUUGCGAUGCAGUUACCAUUGAAAUUGCUUCAGACAAACUCAGUGAGAACUUUUAGCAAACAGGUGGAAUGCACUGACCAAAAAAGCAGAAGAAAUGAUCGACACAGGAAGACGAUCAACCAAGAAACAAGAAAAAAACUAGAAAUCAAGAUUUCGAGAAGACGAAGAGAAUUGAAGAAACCGAAGACAAAUUCCGAGAUCAAAUACACCGUCGAGGCGAGCGGAAGCAGAGACAGAGGAUCGAAGAUCAAGCGCAGGCAACAAAGGCGAGUGAUACCAUGUGAAUGUAACUAUAUCUAUGAAAUUGUAUACAGAAAUUCUAGAGAGAGAUAACAAUUCAGAGAGAAGAGAGAGAGAAUGAAUGUUCUUGAUAUAUUUCUUAAUCACCAAGUAAUACAAGAGGUUGAGAUAUUUAUACACUUCUAACAACAAGGCUAAAUGCCUUAACUAACACAUCUUCUAAUCUAAUUACACAUGUCAUCAUCCUAUACAUCAAUUUCUAUAUUCUAUCACCUACAAAUGAAAUCUGGCAUAGUGAAAGUUUGCGUAGCGAAAUUAUGACAAAUUUUCCUUCAUCUUUAAAUUUUCAUUCAAUUCAUAUGCAAUUUGGUAUGAUUCAAUUCAUAAGUGAUCAAAUUCUAUUUUUUUCUGUCCUUAUUUUGAAUUUCAGUUUAACGUUGUCAUACAAAACGAAGGAGACAUCAUUAACGGAGUUACGGAGUUGGGUUCUUUAGUGAAACAAAACUGGAUUGUUUUAACUUUGUAUAGUAGUAAACAUAAAACAAUCUCUGGGAUAUAGCCAUAGCUUUUGAAAAACAACCCUAAGGAUGGCAUGCCAAUAUUCCCAAUUUUUUCCAUGUAAUAUAUGAACGUAAAUAGCACUUCCUUAACACAUGGAUAUGAUAUAUGUAUAUAAAUAUAAAUACCACUUUGUGGCACAUAUUUUUUUCGAGACUUCUACAUAUUCAUUAGUGUUUUCAAACCCCACAGCAAUGGACAGGUACUCUUUGGUAGUUUUGAACAAAACAUCAUUUUAUGCAAAUCUGUUUUAUCAACUACAUGCUCAAAUUAAGAAUAAGUUGAGAACGUGGCUUUAAGAAAGGAAAAUGAUAAACACAUAUUGUAUUUUUCCUCUUAUAUUCCUAUGUUUUAUCAUGUUUAUUGUUUUUAUUGAUUUAUUCGACUUGUUGAUUAGAAAAGAAGGAUGUGUGAUAGGCUAACUAAAAAAGGUGUGUGUAAUCUAGUUUCCUUGAGAAACCAAGAGAAAUGUAAGAAAGCGAGACACUUCACAGUUUCAUUACACUCUUUGUUAAAAAAGGAAAAUAAAAAGGCUUUUUUGCUAAAAUAGUCCAUGAGAUUUGCAUAAUUUAUUAUUUUGGUUUUUGAGAUUUAAAAUCAAUAGAAAUGGUUUCUGAGAUUGUCCAUCAUCUAUCAUUUUGGUCAUUUUGUGAAAAAACUCUGUUAAGUUGAGAGUAUUUUUGUCAAAUCAAAUUCUCUACUUACUUUUUCACCCUUUUCUCUCAUUUCCCUAAAAAAUGAUCAUAUGUUGCUGAUUUUGACAGUGAAAUCAAAUCUUCACCCAUUAUUAAAAAACUAUUUGACGCCAAAUUCAAGUAAAUCAUUGCAGAUGACCCUUGACUUUUUCCCUUUCAUUAAUUUUUGAUAAAAGCUGCACAAUUUGCACAUUUGAAUAUAAAUGAAAUCUAUGGUUCAAAGUAUAGUAUAUCCACAGACAAGGCUAAUCAAUAGAAUUACCAAAAAGAGAUACCAUGUUCCAUCACAUGAGAUUUCGAACAUGAUUAGCAUUAUAACUUGCAAAAUAUCCCAAAGCAAAACAUUCAAAUGUUCAACAAUUUUACAAUUUUAUAAAUUUUAAAAGCAUGAAUUGACGAAAAUGCCCUGGAGGCGAGGACUUUGAUUUCUGUUGACCGUCGUCUAGAGGAACGUAUGACUUAUUCUUUUGGCGUAUUUGUGUAGUACUCGUUGGUACGAACGCAUAGGCGAAAACUGUUUGAGAAUCCGGAUUAUAACGGUAUGGUCACGGACAUUUGAAUUUGGUUAUUUAUAUUUUGGAUUAUAGAUUAAUUGAACUUCCACCUUGCGGGAGUAAAGCCCAAUCGGAUUUAGGCAAGAUUAAGGAGAACCAAUUGGAAUUAAGUAAGAAAUAAAGGAACCAAUUAGGGGCUUGGUUUCAGCCCAAUCAGUUAUGUUAAAUAAGUGACCAAUCAAAUUUUGAAAAAGAAAAGGGGAAGGACCAAUGAGAAAUCAGGAAGAAAAAAAGAAAAAGAGGAAAGCUCCAUUUCCGUCGGCCCUUUUACCCGCACCCAACCCAAUCGAAUUCUGGCGAUUUUCGCCAUCUUUUUCGUCGAACGUCACCAUCUAACACCUGCCAUCUCUUCCACAACAUUUCUUCUACCAUUUCCACCCAAAUUUGUGAGCUUGUAGGUCCAAAAUCGCGAUAACCGUGUGGAAGAGCCUGAGGUGUUCGAUGGCUAUCCCGCCGUUCCGGCGAGUUCUACCACCCACCAUCACCCUUAAUCAACUUCCCUUGGACCCAGGAACAAGACCCAACCAGUUAUAGGGGCGUUGGAACAUCGGAGAAGUCGAAUCGAAGCACACCCUUUAUAGGGUUCCGACGGGUUUGAGUGAAAUUGGAGCCUUUGGUGGCUAGAUUGAACUUGGCCACAGGUAUAAAUCGAUUCCUCCUUUUGUAGAUGAAUUUUCAUGUUUGGAUCGUGUGAUUUGGUGGAGAAACGAGAAAGUUAUAACAAUUUAAAGUUUGCCCAGUUUCCGGCGACCUCCGCCACUUUCGAGGUGUUUUACGGAAAAAUCACGGCAAGAUAGCCAUCUUGUAAGGUAUCAAUCUCUUCAUAUUGUUGAGACUAUGAUUUUUGUUUUUGAAUCACUUGUUUUCAUUGAGUAUUGACAAAGUUAUGGACGUUGAAAGGGUGCCCAGAAAUUCCGGCGAGUUACCAGUUUUCCCGCGGACAGCCAUCUUUCAGACCAUUUUCCGGCCACCUACGGCCACCAUUUGGACUCCAAGUUGGUAUAAUUUUGUUCUAAAUUUCUCUAGCUUCGAUUUGGUAUAUUAUGGGUUGAAUUUGGUUGAGAAACAAGUGAGAUAUGGAGUUCCAAAAAUUGCCCAGGAAAUCUGCAAAAUCUGCAUAAUCCGGCAAAGUUCCAUUAAGGUCCACCACUUGAUUAGAAUAGUAAUAGACGAUCUGACUGUUGGAUCAUCACCAAACUUUAAUAAAUUAUAGUACGGUAUAUUUGAGGACCAUAGAAACUUACGGAUCAGGAAUCCGACGUACGGAUCUUCCCAAAUUGGAUUUGUAAGUUUAUUAAAUAAAUGUUAACCGCCACUUGGUUUUGGGCAAUUGGCGGAGAUCCGACCGUUGGAUCACAAUGAAAUUUUAGUAUGUUAUUCUAGAAGCAUAAUGUGGAUCUUUGGAAGUUUCGGAUUGAAAAUCUGAAUUUCAGAUCUUCCGGAUUGAGUUAUACAGGGUUGUAGACCCUACCGUCGAUCUUUGAUCGAUGGUUGACUCGUGGUCGAUGAGUCUCAAACUAUUUUAGAAUGUCCUUGAGGAUGUGCUUUAUGUGAAUUUCGUAUUCUAUUGAUAAGAAUUCUGAGAUGUGAUCCGAUAAUUGUUAUAGGCGCCAAUCUUUCGAGACGUCUCGAUGCUCGUGCUAGAUAAUCAUAGCGUGGACUUUAGGUGAGUGGGUCUUUUCCUUUUAUCAUAGGCAUAUAGUUGAUAGUUCCACAAAUGCUUCUAAAUUGAUUUAUGCAUUUUAUGCCAUAUCAUAUAUAUAUAUAUGUAUAUAUAUAUACAGAGAGCUUAAGGGGAGGGAUCCCCAUUUUUUUGAAAAAAAUGGGGACACGCUCCCCACCGUUAGAUUGACUUUAAUGAAAUUGUGUGGUUGAGAUUAAAACAUAGGCUAUACAAUCUCAACCACACAAUUUCAUUAAAGUCAAUCUAACGGUGGGGAGCGUGUCCCCAUUUUUUUCAAAAAAAUGGGGAUCCCUUCCCUUAAGCAAUUCCUAUAUAUAUAUAUAUAUAUAUAUAUAUAUAUACAUGUGUGUGUGUAUAUGUUCUGAAGUGCUAAUAGAUGGUUGAGUUUAGAUUAUGUCAUAGUAUAUCCACAUGCAUGUUAUCUACAAUUAAUUAAUGUGAACUACAAAUGGCUUGAUCCCUGUUUAGGGUAUGUAGGCAGUCUAGUGAGAUGUUAGAUGCAACCAUAUAAUAAAUGAGACUAAAUAAUUGAGACAAUAACAUUGUUUGGGGAAUUGAGCAAUGUGAGUGGGCAUUUGUUCACACACACACAUACACACACACACACACACACAUAUAUAUAUAUAUAUGUUUUAUGGUUUCCAGAAAUGUUUUAAGUUGAGUUAUGCAUUUCAUCCUAUGUCUAAAAUGUGUUAUAUUCUAAGUGUUACAUUGUUUUGAAUUAUGUUAUGCUAAACGACGCUGAGGAGGCGCAAGUAAGUUCAGGUAAGUAUACGGUAUUAGUUGAAUUAAUGGGGUUAUGGUAUGACUACAUUUACGUUUUAAGCAACUCUGACAUUGUCGUACAAGUUGCAAUAGUAGGUAACUCCGGCAUUGUCGUACAGGUUGCCUAUGAGUCGUACAUGUUGUAUUAAAUGCAUUUAAAGCUCAUAAACCCGCACCCCCGUGUUAGUGCUCCUGCUCGUGGCCAGGGCACAAUCUUUCACGUGAUAUUCACCUCUCGCACCAUACGCUCACCUUGAAUCCAAGUUAGGUGCAUAGGCAUGUCGUAUAGACCACUAUAGGUGGUUCCGACUCGUAGGUGACCUGCGAUCACUCGCACAACUUUCACGUAAUUGUAGCACUAGAGCGUAUACAUUCACACCCAGGCAUGUCGUAUAGACCACUACAGAUGGUUCCGACUCGUGUGCAGAUGUAGUGCCAUACAGGUCACUAAAGGUGACUCCGGCUUAUGUGCUAGCAAUGAUUGAUGAGUUAUGAUUUCAGUCGUACAGGUCACUAGAGGUGACUCCGGCUUAUGUGCUAGCAAUGAUUGAUGAGCUAUGAUUUCAGUCGUACAGGUCACUAGAAGCGACUCCGACUUAUAUGCUAACAAUGAUUGAUGAGAUAUGGGUGCAGUCAUACAUGUCACGUUAGGUGACUCCGACUGAUAUUUCAUUUCAUAUUGAUUAAAUUCAUUUGGCCUACUUGUUAAUGCAUUGUGGAAUUGAUGGACAUGGCAUACCCGUGGUUUUGGUCAUUCAUGAGUAUGGUUUGGAUUUACAUACAUAUAGAUAUGUAUAUAUGUAGUAUUGUCUUAUGAAAACAAUACGGGUUUUACAUUGAAGGGCAUUACUUCUAGAAAGGUAAUAACUUUGGGAAGCUUGGUUUUUAUUGCUCACUCACACUCUCUGUUUCGUGCCCUCCAAGUUUUAGCUGCUGAGUUCGUAUCAACGAUGAUUUGUGGCGAAUCUUAGUAUUGAUGGCCACCUCUGAGGGUAUGAUUCAUACCCACAUUACUAUACUUUACUUAUACUCUAACUUCGCGUGUGAAAUGGGUUCGCUCCCACUCACAACGUACUCUGGUAUUUAAACACUUUUAGGUUUAAAUUUAUUCACAUUUUACACAUCAUCACAUUCUAUGGCUUCGUCACCCUCCAGAUGUCGGCCAACACGGCUCAAUUCGGGGUCCUAGUGGACAUUCCGGGUCGGGGUGUGUCAAUAUCCAACUGUUCUAAUUCACAAAAAAAAGAAAAGAAAUGGUUGUAGCUUGUUUUCUUCCAUUUGUGCAUUGACAUCCAAACUACAAACUCCCUCCAUACUCAAGGCUUCCAAGGCUUGCCACUUUUUUAGGGUGAUUUGUAUCUUUUGUUGGUAGAUUCUGAUUGUGGUGACACUACUUGGGAUAUGACACCAAUGCAGUCUUGUACCUGUUAAAGGAAAAGGAUCAUCGCCAUAUCCUUUUCUAAGGAUCCUAGGGAUCCAACAAUCGUGUAUGUUCAUCGUACAUCGUGCGUCAUAAAUCAUUUUAAAAUUUAAAUUUAAAUUCAAAUAUAAAUAGUACCUAACGAAAACUGACCGCACAAUGUACGAUGAACGGACAAGAUUGUAAGAUCUCUAGGAAAAGGAUCCUCCGGAGGAUCCUUUUCCCCUGUUAAAAACCAAAUGAUAAUAGCUUAUGCUUAGUCACCCUAUAAAAUCCAAAUCAUACUGCUUUUAUCACAAUUUACACAAAUUAUUGUUAAAAAAAAGGUAAAGAAUAAACAAUACAAAAACUAAAGGACUCUUGAAUGUACCAUUUAAACUUAUGGAGUGAGUUGUGAGCUAGUUACUACUAUUCUCAUUCCCCUCCCUUUUUCCAUGCCUCUGCCCUGUCCCACGGAAAAUGAUCAUCGCCGGAACCUUUUCCUAAGGAUCCUAGAGAUCCAGCAAUCGUGUCCGUUCAACAUACAUCGUGCGGUCAUAAAUCGUUUUAAAUUUUAAAUUUUAAAUUCAAAUAUAAACAGUACCUAACAAAAACUGACCGCACGAUGUACAAUGAACGAACAAGAUUGUAGGAUCCCUAGGAAAAGGAUCCGGCGAGGAUCCUUUUCCCCUCCCACCUACAUUAUCAACAAAUAUAAUGAACUUCACUUUCAUUAUAAAAAACUACAAUUUAAAAACAAAAAUACAACAUAAAACAUAUUAUACUUCUAGUGUAGAUGUGUUAAUAAUCAAAUGAUUUGGCUCUUGAGUGGCUUGAGUUGCUAUUUUUAAAAUGACCUCAAUGCUCAUGGUCAAUCUUUGUGUUAACAAUGUGUUGUGAGGAAGAUCUCCUCAAGUAACAUAUGAAAUCAAUGGAACCGUGACAUCAUUUCUCAAAAGAGUGUCUCGUCCACAAAGUAAAAAGGAAAACGACUUCGCAAGAUGUUAAGAGAGAUGUAAGAAUGAUGCGGAGUGGUGUUUUUGUUUCCUCCAAGCUCGUCGAGCAAUUGUUAGGAAAGGCCGUAAGAAUGUUUGAUAUAGUGGCGCUCGAUCCAUCAUGAUGACAUGCAUCAUCCUUCACAACAUGAUUGUGGAAUAUAAUUGACUAUUUAUUUCAUAGAUGUUUACGUAGAAUUAUAGGAAAACGCCAACAAUUACUGUCUUAUAUGUUAAAGAAAAAUAGAAUAUGUUAUAAAUUAUGAAAAACUCGUUAAUUUUAUGAAUGCAUUAUGAAUUAUUUGAUUUAUUAGAUCUUGAAUUUUAAUGAACGUUUUUUUCAUUUUCAACAAUUCAUGCCUCUGCCCCUUCCCACCUACAUUAUCAAUCAAUUUAAUGAACUUCACUUUCAUUAUCAAAAACUACAAUUUAAAAACAAAAAUACAAUGUAAAACAGAUUAUUCCUCUAGUGUAGAUGUGUUAACAACCGAAUGAUUUGGCUCUUGAGUGGCUUGAGUUGCUAUUUUUAAAAUGACCUCAAUGCCCAUGGUCAAUCUAUGUGUUCAACAAUGUGCUGUGAGGAAGAUCUCCUCAAGUCACAUAUGAAAUCAAUGGAACUGUGACAUCAUUUCUCAAAAUAGUGACACGUUUAUAAAGUAAAAAGGAAAAUGACUUCGCAAGAUGUUAAGAAGGAUGUGGAGUGGUGUUUUUGUUUCCUCCAAGUUCGUUGAGUAAUUGUUAGGAAGGGCUAUAAGAAUGUUUGAUGCAGUGGCGCUCGAUCCAUCACGAUAACAUGCAUCAUCAUUCACAACAUGAUUAUGGAAGAUAAUUGACUAUUUAUUUCAUAGAGGUUUACAAAGAAUUAUGGGAAAACGCCAACGAUUAUUGUCUUAUUUGUUAAAGAAAAAUAUAAUAUGUUAUAAAUUAUGAAAAACUCGUUAAUUUUAUGAAUGCAUUAUGAAUUAUUUGAUUUAUUAGAUCUUGAAUUUUAACGAACAUUUUUCGUUUUCAACAAUUCAUGAAAGAACGAAUUGAGAAAAAAAAAACCUGUGAAUAUAUUGGCAACAAGAAAAUACCUUAUGAUAAUCAAUAUAGGCCCCCACCAUCAAUUAAUGAUGGUGUUCUUCAACUAAUUAUUACACUAGAUGAUGAAAAUGUUAUUAAAUGCAAACCAAUAUUGUAUUAUUUACACCUAAUAAUUGAAAAAAGAAUUGCAAAAAAUCAAAUAAUUGUGCAAUAUUUAUCUUAUGUAACACGGUCAUUAGUGUGUUUGCAGUCGUGUGACUUGACUCAUGAGUGUCAUCAGUUGGUAUUGACUGACUUGUAAAGCCUCAAUUUCCACAAGUUCUUUUUGUGUGGCCUUCAAGUCUACAUUGAUAACAUGUGAAAGGAAAGGUCUUUGCGAAUGACAAAGAUUGUCGAUAUUGACUGACUUGUAAAGCCUCAAUUUCCACAAGUUCUUUUUGUGUGGCCUUCAAGUCUACAUUGAUAACAUGCGAAAGGAAAGGUCUUUGUGAAUGACAAGGAUUGUCUACCCUCCAAUUUCUAGUGCCCUCUCGUGCCCUCCUGUUUUGUGUGAUUAUGGUUAAGUCACGUCAAUAUUUUAUAUAUAUUUUUUUAUAGAGAUAAUAAGACAAAAUUGAAUAGUACUAUAAAAUGUUGACGUAGUUUAACCGUGACCACACAAACAGAAAAGCAUGGGAGGACAUCGAAAGUGAAAGGGCAGACAAUCCUUGUCCCUUUGCGAAACCCAUUUCCUAGCCACUUUCCAGUUCCCAAUCCUUGUCCCUUUGCGAAACCCAUUUCCUAGCCACUUUCCAGUUCCCAAUCCUUGUCCCUUUGCGAAACCCAUUUCCUAGCCACUUUCCAGUUCCCACCAUGAGUUGUGAUGCUCUUCCUCAGGCUCAUUUUCCGUAUUCUUUCUUUUACAGCUGUCAUGCGAAAUGAUAACAACAUGUACGGCUGUCCACUUACCUAUGGGGAUCACUUGGUAUGUUCUCGCCGCCAACUAUAGAGGAACCUGAAUUGUCUGCCCUCUUCUUCUGUCCAAUCAUUUUCCUAUUCUUUUCUAUUUAUGUGGUCACGGUUAAGUCAUGUUAAGACAAAAAAUAAUAAGAAUACAACAUAUUAACGUAAUUUAAUCGUGACCACAAAAAUAAGAAAGAAUGAGAAUAAUAUGGAAUGAAGAGGACAGACAAUCUAGGUCCACUAUGGAGAUCUUUCACACCAUGUUUUAGGUGUCAGCUAACUAUGGCGGUCAUUCACACCCUAAUUUCCAGGUUAGCCAGCUAUGGAGGACCUUCACUCCAUGUUCCAAGUGUCAGCCAUCUAUGGAGGCGCUCCACCCCAUGCUUCAAGCGUCAGCAAACUAUGGGACAAGGCCCUUCACUCCAUAAUUUCAGGUUUUAAGAGUUACGUGUCAACCAUUUGUAGUGUUUGCACUGGCAGAGCCUAUCGUGAAAAAGAUAUAAUCUUAUAUAAUCCGAGAUAGCUUUUGGUGAAAAAGAAAAUUUUACACAUAAUUUUCAUUAAUUUUUUAAUGUAAUCUACCAUAUACGUAGACACUAAGCCUAAUUAUCUUAGUUUAAUUGUAUAAGAUUAUACCUUACAAUUCAUAAGCCAUCUUUUUGUCUUUCUCGGCAUAUUUGACACACCCUGAUCCGAAAUGUUCACUUGAACUUCGAAUUGAGUUGUGUUGGACGACACAUGGAGGGUAACGAAGCCUUAAAGUGUAGUGUAGUGGAAAAAGAAUGUGAAUAAAUUUAAACCUAAAAGUGCCUAGUCAAAAGAAUGUGCGAGUGAGUGGGAUUGAACCCAUUUCACACGUGAUGUCAGAGCAUAAGACAAUAUAGUAAAUAGGAUGAGGGUUAAAGCACUGAAGAUAACCAUCUUCUGAGAUUUAUCAGAAUCCUCGUUUACACAUAAGCACAACUACUAAACCUGGAAGGGCGAAAAACAAAGUUGAGUGGGUCAGCAAAACAACGUUUGUAAGAAAACCUUUAUUUUUGAACAUAGUAACCCAUCGCUGGAAAACAAGUAUAGUUUUCGUAAAACAUACUACGUAAGUAUGUAAACAAAAGUACAACAACAAUAUAACCAGAAAUAUGCCAAAUCAUGAUAUAUCAAAUGCCGCAGUAAUAUAAUCAUGUGAUAAAUAAAUAUAACUAAGUGCUCAUCCAUCUAAGUUGACACACAAGUUCGUAUAGAUAAUCUCUGACACGAACAGGACUGGGUGUAAUCAAUACAUUCUAGUAUUACGAUCACGUGAAGGCUAGUGCCAAAGCACGGUCACAUACGAGUCGAAAUUGCCUAAUGCAAUUUGUGCGAUAAGACUAACACCUAACUUGGAUCCAAGGCGAGCGAACGGUGCAGAUGUGAACAUACACGUGAAGGUUGGCCCUGGCCCUAGGUUGGGUACUAACGUCGGGGUGCAGCAAGAUGAGCAUGUACAAAUAUGUAUAAAUGUCACGAUAGUAAUAUCUCAACCAUAUAGCAGCAUUUAUCACAUUUAAUAUCACAAUAACGAUACUUGGCAAUAUAAGCAUAAUAAUGGAGUAAAUACGCAUUUAUGGAAACUAUAACUAUGUAUAGGUAUAAAAACAAACUGCCCACUCAUAAAUACACAGUAAAUAUGAAGCAUCUGAUCCUUGCUUGACCCCAUGUGCCAUCGGGAUACGUUUCCCCUAUAUGUGAAAUUACUAAUUAACUUAGUUUAAUAACACAUAUACGGAAACUUAAAUAAAACCUCCGUAGAUUACCCAAACAUAAGGUUUGAAUAUACAAAAUCGAUCUACUCGACGUUACAGACCUACACAAAUUGACCGCACGGUAACCUAAGGCCGGACACACCCCCACGUGCCGCCUAGCCCACGGCCACACGUGUGCCCACACGCAGGCCAGUGGCUAACAGAUCCGAGGAAUAUUCUAUCAUUUCUAACAGAAUAUUCCGUUAAACAAUUAACAAAAGUGAAUGACGUUACCUGACGCCGUUAGAAUAUUCCAUCAAAGUUGACGGAAUAUUCCUUGUUUUCUUCGGCGAGUUUCGCCGGUCGUCACCGUCUGGUUUCAUCGAAAUCUGGAAAUUUUAGCUGGUUUCUAGGUAAAAUUUCAAACCUUCAAAUCUUCUUCAUUUUUCAACUAUUUUUCAUAAAAUUAUAUAGAAAUGAAGCUUAUGAAGAAUAGAAUCACGUUAUACCUUUCAAACCUUUCAAAGGUCCAAAAAGUGAACAGAUGUGGCUUGAAAAUGGCUCGAAAGGUACUGCCAAACUGGAACUUCUCGAAACCUCAUGUUUUGUACAUCAACUCUUCACCAAAACUAAUCUAGGAUCUUUAAGAAGUUGAGUAGUAGCUUUCUCGAGUCCUAAAAUGCCGUGACUCGAUCUGAAAAUCGUCGAUCCAGAACUCACCGAGUCAGAGCUUCCGAGUUGGUGAGUCAAACCUCAACCAAAUCUAGAUAUGGUUACACAGUUGUGUUCGUGGGGUUGGGGUUGAGGGGAGUUCAACGAUGUAGGUUACAAGUCACGUUUAGGUGGUUUGGACGUCGGUUGAGAGAGUUGCAGAGAAAAGGUAAGAGAUAGACCUUCGGGAAGAGAGAGAGUAGAGAGAGUAAGGUUUGAGUUGUGAUUGAUGGGACAUAAAUGAGAGCAUUUCUGAUUGGUUGAGUGAGAGAGGGAAAACAAUUGAUUGGGUGGUGAUGAGGGAUUCAAGGAAAAAGCAAAAGUUUGAUUGGUGGAUGAGAUGGGGAACCCGGAUCCCUUUUUUUAGGAAUGGGAUUGGAUUGAUGGAUUUUCAGAUUUUGUACCAUUUCAAAUGUACAAAAUUUGUAUCCUUAACAGUGUUUCUAACACUGAUAUUUUGUACGAACGUGUACAAAAUACCUGUAAUUAACGUACUUUAACGGAACAUAACUUUUUCGUUACAAAUCCGAUUCAAGCCUAACAUGCGUUCACGCGUUCGUAGCGACAAGUACUAAUUUAGUACGAAACCAGGAAAAUGAAACUGAAAACCGAAAACCACAUCCACGUCAUAUUCCAGUUUUUUCCAAAAAGGGUAAAACCGUCAACUCACACCAACGGAAAAGGAAUUACAAUGAAAAGUAGGGACGGGUCGUCACAAAAUUUGUUUCAACUCGUUUAAAUUUUAAUACGUAUUUUUGUUGGUAAACAAAUGGGGCUAAACGUCAAAUAAAGAAAAACUAAAGCAAAGCAUCACAAGGUUUAGAGAUUUCAGCAACAUUAGACAAUAAGAGAUGUCGACAAGAGGCAGGAGCUUAAGUGAAAUACAUUGGACCAAAAGACUACGGCAAACUCAAGUUAGCCAACUCCUCAACCACAAAAUGCAUCUCAUCAUAAACGUGACCAACUUCACAAUUCCAUCUUUGUUUAACAGCUCAAGGCAAGCUUGCACCAACUCACCAAGAGGAUGGUUCUCACUCACACCUUGAAGAACUAAAUGGGCAAUGAGAACAAAAUCAAAUUCCUAUUUUACACGUAUUUGUUUAACAAUGAAAAAUUUUGGCUCACCGUGUGAAAAUUUUAUUAGGCUAGCUGAUAGUGUAAAAAAAUAUUGUAUGUUUCUGCAUUUAUAAAAAUUUAUAUCUUUAAGCUAGCCUACUUGGUGAAGUCUCCGCCCUUAUUCACCGUCAGGUGAUCUUUUUUGUCUAAUAAUGCAUUGUUAUGUGCAAAAUGCAUUGCCAUGUGCAAAGUAUUCUCCACAUGAUAAUGUAUUAUUAAAUCUAAACGUCACAUUAUAAUAAAUCAGUUAUAUGUAAGUUGCUUUCGAAAAUUAUACUAAUGAAGAGAUGAUCGUGCCGCAUACGCUUAGGCAUGUGGCUCUAUUAUUUGCCUAGUACUAGUCAUCAAAUUCCAGUCUAUUAGAAACCGACUUAUUUAUUUGAAAAAAAAAAAACGAAGAAGAAGGGGUUGACUGAUUUUAUUUUUUAUUUAUUUUUUGUUGACAUGCAUACUUUAUGGGGUCAUUUUGAUGGGAAAGGAUGGGAUAGUGAUGGUAGCACCUCUUCCGGGUCAAUGGUAGAGUCCACUUUACUUGGACUUCUUGAAUCGUUCAACAGGAAACGCUUUUUGGGUCAAUGCAUGGGAACGAUCCAUUUUAAAAUUGUUUGUAAAUUUCUAUAAGUAGAUAGUAAUGACCCAAUUAAAUAUUUCCCCUGCACAGAUUUACUUGCAUUGCACCUAGCAAAGAUCAGUUUUUUUGUUUGUCCAUCGAUCCAUAUCAAACAAAUCAAUCAUCAGAACCAUCAUAAAAUAUUUUGUUUUUAGAUUGUUGAAGUAAUAUUAAAAAAUAUAAAAAAAACAUAAGAAUUUUAAUAAUAAUAAUCAUAAAGAAAUUCACAACAUCAAUUAUGUAUGAGAUUAUUAUAAACAACUAAAGAGAAAGUUAGAAAAACUGACAAACUUGAAGAUUGAGGUUUCCAUAAAUACAAUGUCCUAAAGAUAGAAUUUUGCCCCUACUCUUGAUCCGAAGUUGAAGCACUUCAAUAUUUGGAUUCUGGCGAAUUUUAUAUUUUCUAUACUCUCAAGACACGACUCGAAAUUUGACAAACGAAAAAUGAGAGAAAUAAAGUGAGGAAACCCUAUUUCUCAAGAGUAAAAAUUAACUCUAAUUUUAUAUCUUUAAUGAUAAUGGUUUCAUGGGUUUAUACAGAACCCAUUGUAUUGUUUGGCGUAAAAAUGCAACUUUGCAUCUAUACAACCUACACCACUCAUCAAACUACACGUCCCAAAUUACAAAUAAUAUGAUGCAACAAUUAAGAAUAAACAAGAUUAAUUUUUUCAUUCAAUAUUUUGAAAUUAAGUAUUAUAAUAUAAAUUUUCAACAUUGACUUGACUGUUCGUCUAUCAGUAACAAGUCCACAUCUCAACCCAAAUACAAUGAUGUCAAAUGAGAAGGGAAAAUGAGAAGGAAACUCUGGAGGGUAGAGGGAAGGAAAAGGAGAGAGAAAAGGAGGAAAAGAGAAAAGGAGGAGGAAAAAGUAGAAAUAAAGAAAAACUAAAGCAAAGCAUCACAAGGUUUAGAGAUUUCAGCAAUAUUUGACAAUAAGAGAUGUCGACAAAAGGUAGAAGCUUGAGUGAAAUACAUUGGACUAAAAAAAUACGACAAACUCAAGUUCGCCAAUUCCUUAGCCAUAAAAUGCAUCUCAUCAUAAACGUGAUCAAGUUUACAAUUCCAUCUUUGUUUAACAGUUCAAGGCAAGCCUGCACCAACUCACCGAGAGGAUGGUUCUCACUCACACCUUGAAGAACUAUAUGGACAAUGAUCAAAGAACUAAAUGGACAAUGAGAACAAAAUCAAAUUCCAAUUUUACAAGUAUUUGUUUAAUAAUGAAAAUUUUUGGCUCACCAUGUGAAAAUUUUAUUAGGCUAGCUGAUAGUGUAAAAAAAUAUUGUAUGUUUAUGCAUUUAUAAAAAUUUAUAUCUUUAAGCUAGCCUACUCGGUGAAGUCUCCGCCCUUAUUCACCGUCACGCGAUCUUUUUGUCUAAUAAUGCAUUGCCAUGUGCAAAGUAUUUUCCACAUGACAAUGUAUUAUUAAAUUUAAAUGUCACGUUAUAGUAAAUCAGUUAUAUAUAAGUUGUUUUCGAGAAUUAUACUAGUGAAGAGCUGACCGUGCCGCAUACGCUUAGGCAUGUGGCUCUAUUAUUUGCCUUGUACUAGUCAUCAAAUUCCAGUCUAUUAGAAAUCGACUUAUUUAUUUGAAAAAAAAAAUUGAAAAAAAAAAUGAAGAAGAAGGGGUUGACUGAUUUUAUUUUUUAUUUAUUUUUUGUUGACAUGCAUACUUUAUGGGGUCAUUUUGAUGGGAACCUAGGAUGCGAGAGUGAUGGUAGCACCUUUUCCAGGUCAAUGGUAGAGUCCACUUCACUUGGACGUCUUGAAUCAUCCAUCAAUAACAAGUCCACAUCUCAACCCAAAGAGGAAUACGAUUGUCUGCCUUCCCAAUUUUCAUGUCCUCCUGUUUUGUGUAGUCACAGUUAAGUUACGUUAACAUUUUAUAUUAUUUUUUAUAAAGAUAAUAAGACAAAAAUGAAUAGUAAUAUAAAAUGUUGACGUGGUUUAACCGUGACCACACAAACAGGAGAGCAUGGAAGGGCAUGGAAAAAGGGAGGGCAGACAAUCCUUGUCCAAUAUAAUGAUGUCAAAGGAGAGGGGAAAAUGAGAAGGAAACUCUGGAGGGUAGAGGGAAGGAAAAAGGGAUAAGGAUUGUCUGCCUUCCCAUUUUCCAUGCCCUUCCAUGCCCUCCUGUUUUGUAUAGUCACGGUUAAGCCACGUUAACAUUUUAUAUUAUUUUUUUAUAAAGAUAAUUAUACAAAAAUGAAUAGUAAUAUAAAAUGUUGACGUGACUUAACCGUGACCACACAAACAGGAGGGCAUGGAAAAAGGGAGGGCGGACAAUCCUUGUCUAGGAAAAGGAGGGAGAAAAGGAGAAAAAUAGAAGGGAAAGGUAGAAAUAAAGAAAAACUAAAGCAAAGCAUUACAAGGUUUAGAGAUUUCAGCAACAUCUGACAAUAAGAGAUGUCGACAAGAGGUAGGAGCUUGAGUGAAAUACAUUGGACCAAAAGAAUAUGACAAACUCAAGUUAGCCAAUUCCUCAGCCACAAGAUGCAUCUCAUCAUAAACGUGACCAAGUUCACAAUUCCAUCUUUGUUUAACAGCUCAAGGUAAGCCUGCACCAACUCACCAAGAGGAUGGUUCUCACUCACACCUUGAAGAACUAUAUGGACAAUGAUCGAAGAACUAAAUGGACAGUGAGAACAAAAUCAAAUUCCAAUUUUACACGUAUUUGUUUAAUAAUGAAAAAUUUUGGCUCACCAUGUGAAAAUUUUAUUAGGCUAGCUGAUAGUGUAAAAAAAUAUUGUAUGUUUAUGCAUUUAUAAAAAUUUAUAUCUUUAAGCUAGCCUACUCGGUGAAGUCUCUGCCCUUAUUCACUGACACGUGACAUUUUUUGUCUAAUAAUGCAUUGCCAUGUGCAAAGUAUUCUCUACAUGACAAUGUAUUAUUAAAUCAAAACGUCACGUUAUAGUAAAUCAAUUAUAUGUAAGUUGUUCUCAAAAAUUAUACUAGUGAUGAGCUGAUCGUGCCGCAUACGCUUAGGCAUGUGGCUCUAUUAUUUGCCUUGUACUAGUCAUCAAAUUCCAGUCUAUUAGAAAUCGACUUAUUUAUUUGAAAAAAAAAAACGAAGAAGAAGGGGUUGACUGAUUUUAUUUUUUAUUUAUUUUUUAUUGACAUGCGUACUUUAUGGGGUCAUUUUGAUGGGAACCUAGGAUGCCAUAGUGAUGGUAGCACCUUUUCCGGUCAAUGGUAGAGUCCACUUCACUUGGACGUCUUGAAUCGUUCAACAGGAAACGCUUUUUGGGUCAAUGCAUGGGAACGGAAGAGGAUCCUCUCUUGAGCUCGAGAUGGGGAUGUUCUUGAUCACGUAAUCUGGGCCGUUCAAAUUUAAUUCAACGGUUGCAAUUAUUAUAACUUUUAGAGAACCUUCUGUUUGGAGUCGUUUGAUUAAAUUUGAAUAGUCUGAAUUUCGUGAUCAGAGGAUCCCCAUCCUGAGCUUAGGAGAGGAUCCUCUUCCCAUGGGAACUACCCAUUUUAAAAUUGUUUGCAAAUUUUCCUAUAAGUAGAUAGUAAUGACCUAAUUAAAUAGGAUCAGGAUCCUCUCCUGAGCAAAUAGAGAAGAUCCUUCUAACCGAACCCAUCGGGCUGUUCAAACUUUUUCCAACGGCUACAAUUAUUAUAACUUUUAAAGGCCCCCCAUGUUUGUAGCUGUUGGAUAAAAUUUGAACAGCUUUAUGGGCCAUGUCAGGAGGAUCCUCUCCAUUUGCUGAGGAGAGGAUCCUGAUCCAAUUAAAUAUUUCCCAUGUACAGAGAUACUUGCAUUGCACCUAGCAAAGAUCAGUUUUUUUGUUUGUCCAUCGAUCCACAUCAAACAGAUCAAUCAUCAGAACCAUCCAUCCACAUCAAUGGCUCUUAUGAUAAAAUAUUCUAUCUUUAGAUUGUUGAAGCAAUAUUAAAAAAUAUAAAAAUAACACAAGAAUUUCAAUAAUAAUAAUAAUCAUAAAAAAAAAUUCACAACAUCAAUUAUGUAUGAGAUUAUUAUAAACAACUAAAGAGAAAGUUAGAAAAACUGAUAAACUUGAAGAUCGAGGCUUGUAUAAAUACAUUGUCCUAAAGACAAAAUUUUGCCCCUACUCUUAAUCCGAAGUUGAAGCACUUCAAUAUUCAGAUUCUGACGAAUUUUAUAUUUUCUGUACUCUCAAGACACGACUCGAAAUUUGACAAACGAAAAUUGAGAGAAAUAAAGUGAGGAAACCCUAUUUCUCAAGAGUAAAAAUUAACUCUAAUUUGUAUCUUUAAUGAUAAUGGUUUCAUGGGUUUAUAUAGAACCCAUUGUGUUGUUUGGCGUAAAAAUGCAACUUUGCAUCUAUGUAACCUACACCACUCAUCAAACUACACGUCCCAAAUUACAAAUAAUAUGAUGCAAUUCUUUGUAUCAGAUGCAACACUUAAGAAUAAACAAGAUUAAUUUUUUCAUUCAAUAUUUUGAAAUUAAAUAUUAUAAUAUUUAAUAAAUAUUAUAUUAUAAAUUUUCAACAUUGACUUGACUGUUCGUCCAUCAAUAACAAGUCCACAUCUCAACCCAAAUAUAAUGAUGUCAAAGGAGAGGGGAAAAUGAGAAGGAAACUCUGGAGGGUAGAGGGAAGGAAAAGGAGGGAGAAAAGGAUAAAAGGAAGGAGAGAAAAGUAGAAAAGGAAGGAAGAAAAUGAGAGGAAAUGCAUAGAAAUAAAAAAAAUAAAAAAUGAAAAUCACCUUCAUCAUUAUGUCUACUAAUGGAAAAGAGCAAAAUGCUCCCAACUACUCUUGUUUCUUACAUUGUAAAUUAUAUUUCGUAUAAUGAGAAACUAGUAUUCUUACACAAGGAUGUAGACACAACUUGCCGAAUCUUGUUACUAUACAGCAAGCCUAUAACUGCAUAAUAAUUCGAUCAACCACCUUAAGUUUAACCAUACAUGUACCAAGAUUCAAGUUUUUCCAAACUUUCCUUAUGAAACUAAUUGAACAGUACAAGUGCCACAUUAUUAUGCGGUUCUAUCAAGUUUUAAUUUUUAUCUUAUAACCACAUUAUCUUUAGGACAAUCAAUCUUGCAGUUGAAUAUAUAAACCUUCGAGAUGGCGAUAUUGGAAACGCUAGUUGGUGGGUUGAUUGGUAGAAAUGGUUCCAACAAUUCAAGAAUAAGAAAUGAGUAUUGAGCAACGAUCAAAGUAUGUUGUAUUUUAUCACAAAAUAUUUUUGUACAUAUUAGAAGUGCAUUUUAUCACAAAAAGGUGAGCAACGAUCAAUAUAAUUGUAAUUUAUAAAAUCACACAUAAAACGGGAAGUAAUAUUUUAUUUUUGUUUUCAUCUCUGCCAAAGAAACGCUUUUUGGGUCAAUGGAUGGGGACGACCCAUUUUAUAAUUGUUUAUAAAUGGGAAUGACCCAAUUACAUAUUUCCCCUGCUCACAGACAUUUGCAUUGCACCUAGCAAACACCAGUUUUUUUGUUUGAACAUCGAUCCACUUCAAUGGCUCUUGUGAGAACAUCUCCAGGAACCUCCUCUGAUUCCAACACAUUUCGGCGUUAUCACUACGAUGUGUUCUUGAGCUUCAGAGGCGAAGAAACUCGUAAGACUUUUACGGACCACCUCUACACAGCCUUGAACAAUGCAGGAUUUCUCACGUUUCGAGACGACGAUGAACUCGAGAGAGGAGAAGACAUAAAGCCAGGACUGCAGAAAGCAAUCCAGCUGUCACGAACUUCUGUUGUCGUGUUUUCGAAAGAUUACGCGUCAUCCAGGUGGUGUCUUGAUGAGCUUAUGCUGAUCCUCGAACGAAAUAGGACCACCUCGGACUAUGUAGUUUUACCAGUCUUCUACGAUGUUGAUCCGUCCCACGUGAGGAAGCAGACAGGAAAUGUUGGAAAAGCAUUUGCUAGAAGCCAGAAAAAUCAGUCGCCGGAAAAGGUGGAAGGAUGGAGGAAGGCACUUGCAGAGAUUGCAGACCUAGCAGGCAUGGUCCUACAAAAUCAAGCUAACGGGUAACUUUCAUUUUCUUAUUUUGUCUUCUAUUUGUUGUUGUUGACCUCUCUAAUAAGAUCACAACUAGAGAUGGACAAAAUACCCACGGUUACCCGUGUUGUGCUUUGGCCCGUUCGUCAGUGCAGAAGUGAGAUUCAGAUUAUCUCACUAAACUACAGACCCACAGUUGAACAAUUUAAAUUACAAGAAAUAAAGACACUGAGAAAUUUACGAGAUUCGGCAAAAACCUGCCUAUGUCCUCGGAGAUAUAUUGCUCUUCACUAUGAGAAUAACUAGUACAAGAUACACUUGAGUUCAAUCAACAUAACCCAAACCCCAAUCCCUUGUACACUCACAGAAUUUUCCCAAGAGCCUCACUCUACCCCAAGAGUUUCUCACUCUCACUCUUUAUUUUCUCUCCUUUGUGUUCUCCUUCGGAUGCUCUCUCAAUGCAUUACUAAAUGCACAAAUAUUGCAUCUAGUUAUAGUCAUACACUAGCAACUAUGCCAACAAACAAGACCAAAAAGUCUUAAGUUCACAUGACAUAAUUAUCACCUAGCCUACCUAGCAUACACCAAAGUCUAUAUCUAGUCUAUAAAGUACAACUAUUCUCCAUUUGUCAUUUAAUGCAUAUAAAAUAAAACAUGCACAAUUGUGUGCAAGCAACCACAAAGUCAAGUCUUGCUUCCAACUUUGCUUUUGGUAGUCACCAUGUCUUCUCUUGAAACAAGACAUCCAUGCCACAACCGAAAGCCAAACACAAAGUGGCUACUGCCAUUUCCCUGUAGCACUCAGAAAGUUACACUAUCAAAAUUGUUGCCAACUCAUAAGUAUAUGAGCCAAACACAACAACCCGCCCAUUUAAACUUCACGGUUACUGUUAUGGGUAACCGUUUAGAUAAAUAAACGGUUAUGGAUAUAACCGUUUACCCGUAAAAUUUAAAUAGAUGGUUAUGAAUAUUAAUCGCGGUUAUAAAUGGGUAACCAUUUACCCAUUUAUUUUAUAUAUGUAAUGUUGAAUAUUUUAAAAAUAAAAUUUUAUAUGUAUAUGCGGCUAUUUGACAGUAGAUGGGAAGUUAUGUUAUUAACCCAACAAUCACAUCUCUUCAAUUUGAAUGUUGCAUCUUUUGAAUGUUGCCGAUAAGACAUGAUUCAUGGUCAACAAGUGUAAUCCUUCUCCUAACCAUGUUCUCUGUCGGACAAAACUUAAAUCAAUGCUAAUAUAAUGUGGCUCAUUAUAUAUAUUAUGUUAAUACUUUACAUUAUGGGUUAAAUAACCCAAGAAUACUAUCUUCUAAACAGUUUUCGUAACCCAAGAAUACUUAGCAAAUAUUAUAUUACUUUCAUUGGUAACAGUUAAAAAUAUCGUCCGUAAACUAUUAUUUCAAUUUUGAAAUGCUAUAAGGACUUAAAAAAUUAAAAUACGGAAAUGUAUGAAGAAUGUUACCUAUAACGGUGUUUAAUUGUCAAAAAAAAGAAAAUUAUGACAAUUUUUUUUUUAAUUUUCAAGUUGUUAAAAAACAUGUAGAUGGGUGAAAAUGGGUAAUGGCAAAAAAAAAAAGAGAAGAUAAACGGGUUAAAAGGGUAAAUGGGUAAACGGGUAUUAAACGGUUACAGUUAAAUAGGUAUGCGGUUAUGGGUAUGAGUAUAACCGUUUAGGCAAUUACCCAACGGAUAAACGGUUAUGCGGGUAUGAGCAUAAACGGUUAUGGGUAAAUAACCGUGGUUACCCGCCCAUCAUAACCGUUGCCGAUCACAACCAUGGAAGAAAAUAUCGAUAAUAUCGGCGAUAUAUCGCCGAUAUUAUCGGCUUUUUCCCGAACUGAUAUUUUAAAUGGUAUCCAAGGUGUUUUCGUCAUAAUAUCGCGAUAAUAUCGAUAAUAUCGCGAUAUUAUCGAUAUUAUCGCGAAAUUUCGGAACUGUGCACGUCGGAGACAAACGUCGGAGCUUCUACAGCUCCGGCCGACUGUAAAACUGCUCCCUAGCCUCGCCGGAGAUGGGUGUACUUAUUCCUGAGUCGAUUUCAUCCCAAAAACCUUGCAAAAACACGACAUAUAACUUCAAUUUCACAUCUAAGCUUCGAUCUAGAAUAUAAAAAGAAAAACCCGAAGCUUACCUACCUGAGAAAUUGAAGGAACUCGCCAGAGCAGGUGCGAUGGUGUGCGUGUGGGUCUCGGUGCAGAGAGAAGAGAGAUCUUUGUGUGAGUGUGUGUGGUUGGACUGGGAGAAGGGAGAAGAGAGAUCGAGAGAUCUCUGUGUGAGUGUGUGUGUGGUUGGACUGGGAGAAGGGAGAAGAGAGAUCGAGAAGGAUCUCUGUGUGAGUGUGUGAGUGGUUGGACUGGGCGAAGGGAGAAGAGAGAUCGAGAAGGAUCUGUGUGUCGUUGAAGAAUCCCCAACCUUUAAGAGACAAACCAGCAAGCACCUCCCUCGACCCACCUCGUUCCUCCGCCGCAAACCUACCCCGUGUCCUCAUCUAACUUCUCUCCUCUGUCAACCCACCGCCGUUCCACUAUCAACUUCACCGGUAUUCCUCCGUCGGCCCCGCUUCCGCUCCCGCUUCCGCCUCGUCCUUCAACCUCUCUCCUCCAUCGAAGUAGGUCCAUAAGAAUUCAUGAAAGGGAGGGGAUCUUUGUUCUUGGUGUAUAGUGUGACGACGCUGCACUGAUACAAAUCUGUGAUGGCAUAGGAAAAGACAAGGACGAUGCAGGAUGGAGCAGAGAGGAAGUGAAAAUGGAUUAUGGGGUGUUUGGAUGCCUAGGUAAUUGGAUAAACAGGGUGUUUGGCUGCAUAGCUUAAACAUAUAAAGUAGUACACAUGUUCUCUUUUAGUUGAGCCAUAUCAAUGGUCAAUGAAAAUUGGGUACCCACUUGUGAGUACCAAGUAUUAUCCGUGGACGGGAGACUUAAACAAACAAAACCAUUGGCUUUGAUGUUUGUAACUUGUAAUUAUGAGGUGGACAGGUAACGUGAAAGAGGUGAGGUGCACCUCUGAUGGUUUUAACUUUUAAUAAAUGUUAUAUAAAUUAUAAAUUAUAAAUUAUUUAGAUAAUAUUUUGUUUUUUUUACUAAGCAAGCAGAUUAUAUUCGAACCCUCCCUUUGUCAACCACGCACUUAGGCUUUAUCCAACUCGCUACAGAUGUGUUUGUGAUUACAUAUUCAGCCUGUAAUAUUUAUAUGGUCGUUAAGAUGUCUGCAAGGCUUGCAAGCUAAUAUUUAUUAUCUAGGAUAAAUUUCUAUAUUUUAAAAAACACAAAGGUGAAAAUUUUGAACCUCAUAGGAACUCUAUGUGGUACUAAGUCACUCAUGUAUCUUACCAUGCAAUGUAUAAAGUGUAAAAUAUUGUACUAAUUCAUUAUAUAUAAAUGAUUAUGGUGUGUUUAGACUUCUUUCAUUAAUUACUACAUAUUUUAUACACUCACAAUGUUUGUCAGCUCACUAUAUAAUCAACUUGAUAAUGUUAAAUCCAUCAUGCAAUGCAUUUCCUUCCAAUUUUUUGUGAUAAACUAAUAGAUAAUUGAUUAAAUAAACAUCCUGCAAAGUUUCAAUAAAAAUUUCCAAGUUUUUCUUACAAUUUCCUUGGUUUCCAUGUAAUUUUUAUCGAUAUCGAUAUUAUCCCGAUAUUUCCAUCGAUAUUUCCGUGUUUUCGGACUACCGAUAUUUCCGAUAUUACCAAUAUUUUCUUCCUUGAUCACAACAUAUUGAUUUACUCAACACAAAUGUUCAUAUGACUUCAGGUAAAUUGCUCCAGUAAUAAUCCCAUUUCAGGUCAAUUAAGUUGUCAUGAUCUGUACCAUGUAGCUGCAUGGAAUAGCUGUUAAGAAUUAUUGAUCGAACCUUAGUUUAAUUUUCUCCUCUGAAUUCCAUGAAUAUCAGACUUUGUAUAAUUGAUUGAUAUCGAGUGAACAACAUGUUUGAUUCAUCAUUCAUUUUAUUUGCAAAUUCUUAGGUACGAGUCAAAGUUUAUCAAAGAUAUUGUUAAAGUGAUUAGUGAUAAGCUAAGUCGCACACACUUGAGCGUUGAAUCAAAACUGGUUGGCAUCCAUUCUCGAGUCGAACCCAUCAAUUUAUGGUUACAAGAUCCAUCACAUGAUGUUGGUAUACUUGUUGUUUAUGGGCUGCCUGGAAUAGGGAAGACAACCAUUGCAAAAUGUGUUUACAAUUCAAACUUUGAAAGUUUUGAAGGAAGCAGCUAUGUUGAAAGUAUCAGAGAAACUGCAAGUCAUCCAGACGGCUUAGUUCAAAUACAAAAGCAAAUUCUUUAUGAUAUUUUAAAUGGGAAAAAGGAGAAAAUACACAAUGUUAGUGAGGGAAUAAUUAAGAUUGGAAGAGCCAUAAGCUUUAGAAGAGUUCUUCUUGUUCUUGAUGAUGUGGACCAUGUGGACCAAUUAGAUGCAGUACUGAGGAUGAAAGAUCAGUUUCAUCCUGGAAGUAAAAUAAUCAUAACAACUAGGCGUGAAAGGUUGAUAAAGGCACAUGAAGGUAUUACGGUGCAUGAAGUUGGACCUUUGGGUUUCGAUGCAUCAUUGGAGCUCUUAAGCUGGCAUGCUUUUGGCCAGGAUCAUCCCCUUGAAGGUUAUGAGAAAUAUUCUGAAGAAGUCGCACAACACAGCGGAAGACUUCCAUUAGCACUCAAAGUUUUGGGUUCUUCUCUUUUCGGGGAACCUAAGCGUGUAUGGAAAUGUACAUUGGAGAAGCUAGAGGUUAUUCCAAAUGGUGAAAUCAUGAAUAAUUAAGAAUAAUCUACGACUCUUUACAAGAUGACCAUGACCAGAAAUUAUUCCUCCAUAUUGCUUGUUUCUUUAUUGGAAAGGAUGAAGAUUACAUUGUCAGAAUACUAGAUGGAUGUGAUUUCAAGACAAUCUGUGGCAUUCAAAAUCUCAGAGAUAGGUGCUUGGUGACAAUUGUUAUGGACAAGUUGUAUAUGCAUGAUGUGAUUCGUGACAUGGGACGAGAAAUUGUUCGUCGAGAAUCACAUGAACCUGGGAAUCGUAGUAGAUUGUGGCGCUCUAAGGAUUCUUUCAAAGUAUUGAGAGAAAAAAAUGUAAGAAAUGUUCAUUGUAUGUGUGUGUUUCUUUUUCUCUUGUGCUAAUUAACCAAUUGUUUUUCCAAUUUCUUGUAUAGGGUACGCAAGCAAUUGAAGGUCUUAUGUUGGACAUACAUGAACUGCUUACAGACAGUCCCAUAAACUCAAACGAGAAUGUCUUGGAAACCAAUUCAUUUGCAAGGAUGCACAAACUCAAACUGCUCUAUCUUAGACAUGUACGACUGGACGGAUGCUAUGCAGAACUUCCGACAAGGUUAAGAUGGUUGUGCUGGCCCGAAUUUCCUUUGGAUUCAAUUCCUGUUGAUUUUUCUUUGGAGAAAUUGGUAGUUCUUGAAAUGCAAUAUGGCAACUUGAGACAACUCUGCAAAAGAGCAAACGUAUGUUACUCAACGCUUUUCAAUUUUGUUUUCCUUCUUUCUUUAGGUUUUAAUUCUUUAAUUAAUUUUAUAUGUUGGAAUCAAUUCCUAGUUAUUUUUGUUUGUUUGUUUAUUUUUAUUUGUUUCUAGUUUCUUCCAUCAUUGAAGACCCUUGAUGUCAGCCAUUCUCAUGGCCUUAGUGAAACCAUGGACUUCUCACCUUGCCCCAAUCUAGAGGAAUUGAUUCUUGUGGAUUGCACCAGCCUGAUUGAUGUUCAUGAAUCCAUUGGAAACCUGGAGAGACUCGUGUACUUGAAUAUGAAGGAUUGCAAGAAUCUUAGGAUGCUUCCGAAGAACAUGUGUUUUCUUAAAUCACUUGAAACACUCAUUUUAUCUGGCUGCUCAAAUCUUGAUGAGUUUCCAGUGGAGAUGAAGAAGAAGAUGGAGUCUCUGAAAGUUCUUAAAAUGGAUGGAAUUCCAAUAAGAGAAUUAUGGCCAGCAAGAAGUUCAAGUAUCUUGAGUUCUUUUCCAUGCUCUUUAGUAAAGUUAUGUAUGGUGGGGUGCAAUCUUUCUGAUGAUGCCUUCUGUAGGGAUUUAAGUAGUCUAUCCUCGUUGCGAACACUAAAGUUAGGUGAGAAUCCAAUUUGCUGUCUGCCAGGUUUCAUCAAAGGUUUGAGAAGGCUCGAUCAUCUAUCUUUCCAGGAUUGUAGUAGGCUCAAAUCGCUUGUGGGGUUGCCGAAAGUACACCGAAGGAUAAGUAUAGCCGGAUGCAUAUCAUUAGAAAAAAUGACUUUUCAUUCCCCUGAGCAACAGUCUACAAUGUUCAGCGUGGGUGACAACUGGAAUCUAGUUGAGUGGCAGUACGACUACAAGUUAUAUGUGGAAAUGAUCAAACUUUUGGGCGUGUGCAACUUGGGAUCCUUGCCAGCCAUUAGAAUGAACGCACUGUUCGGAUGCGGUGGUUCAAAAGAGGGUAAAUGGAGUCCCGUCCAGGUGCCUCUCUCUCUCUCUCUCUCUCUCUCUCUCUCUCUCUCUCUCUCUCUCUCUCUCUCUCUCUCUCUCUCUCUCUCUCUCUUAUAAGUCAUUAAUAUAUCAUGGGAAAGAAAUAACUGAGUAAUGUUGUGAUGAUCGUGGCAAUUACAUAGGGACUGUAUGAAAAUGGUAUAUUCAGCACGUUUUUUGUUGGGAAUAAGGUUCCAGGCCAAUUCAGCUAUAAAAGUACCAAGUCUUCGAUAUCUUUUAUUGUCCCUUUACUACUUGCUAAUCACAGAAUUCGAGGCUUGAACAUCUUUGCUACUUAUGCAAAGGAGCAGAAUUAUAAUAAUUCUUUUAAUCCAAUAAUGACUAAAGUGAGUAACAAGAGUAAGGGUCUGAAGUGGAUCUAUGGCCCAGAGUUCUAUGGAAUUCCAGGAGAGGGAGAACAUAUGAUAUGGUUGAGCCAUUGGAAGAUGGAUAAUGAAACAAUAUUACAAUGUGGAGAUGAAGUGCUUGUUUCAGUACACAUGAGACCUAGUCAGUUUCAGCUCAAGGAGUUUGGUGUCGAGCUUGUGCAAGAGCACCAAGACAAGAUGAGUACCCAACACAACACCAAAUCAGGUCCUAAUUAUCCAUUUGUUAUCGGUGGAGAUUUGGAUACGUGGAAGUGCAGACCGGGAAUAUACUUCCUUGGCAGUAGGACAAGAGAAGAUACUGACGACAUUGAUAUCCUCACCAUGGACUGUGAUGAAGAAGACACAAGUAUGUUGUGUUGUUGUAUUGCAUUGAAUUAUACUUCAUCCAAACACUUCCAAGUGUGUCCGUAUUCAUUUCAAAAACAUUUCCAAUAAGUUUUAUGUUAUUUGUAUGUUUUUCAGCCAAAGAAGGGCAAGAGAAUGAACCUGAUUACACAAUUGCAAAGACGAGGGUUGCUAGCAAAAACUGCAGUCUCGAACGCUGGAAGGUGCUCCUCACAACUGCUGGCUUCUUUUUCACGCUUGCUCUAGUAGUUCAGUCCUCCAUCUCCCAGAAACUGAAGCGACAGUAGUCCACAAGGCUUCCAUGAGUUUAUAAUUUGACUUGAUAUAGAUAUAUCUUUACAUUCCUUACUCGCAAGAUGUUUUCUACCUUCAAGUGCAAUGACGGUUCUAGAAUUCAUACAGCCGACCCCAUUUAGUAAAAUAAGACUUUAUUGUUAUUAAACUGUUUGUGCGGUAAGAACUAAGCGUGAAAAAUAUCUUGUUUUGUAGUCUCUGGUUUGAACAUUAAAGAAAAUCCAAUGCCAUUAUGUGUUUAAACCAAAAUUUUCCGUUCUCUUUUUCCUUUUCUUCAAAAAAUAAAUUUGUACUCUAAUGUCUAGGCAUGAAGAGAUUCUUAGCUAUCUCCGGGUAUAUGUCCCUCUAUUUAUUUCUCAUGGAAUACACAACCGGUUACAAGACAGAUUCUCGAAUCUCUCUCACCAUGCAUGAAAGUUCACGUCGAAUUACCAAAUCAUAUUCUGAGAGAGAAUUAAGAAUUACAUGCAGAUUAACAUUAAAUUAUAAGUUUCUAAUAACACAAAUUAUUAUUUAUACAAAAAAAAUUUACAAGAUGUGUUCAUAAUUAAUUGGUAAUUCUGAUCUUAAUUAACUAAAAGGGCCUUGAGGACAUGUCUCAAUGUAUAUGCUUGUCUGUGCAGAUCGUCUUCCUCCUCCUUUUCUUCAUCCACAAGAAAUCAAAGACAUGCCCACAAAAACCCACACACGAAAAACAAAAAAUUAAUAAAAAUAAAAGUCAGCGAGAAAAGUCAAACAAUGCAGAUCUGAUCCUACCCGCGCCACACCCGAUCAAAUCCCGAGAAAAUCAGUGGCGGACCGAGACAUGAUGGUCGCGAAUUCGUUGAAGCUAAUGACGCCGUCGCCGUUCGUGUCGGCCUCCCUCAUCAUAUCGGAGAGCUCCCGGUACGUCAAGGGGUGGCCCAUUUUGGCCAUGGAUCCGGCGAGCUCGGCGGCUGUGAUGUAGCCGUUGCCGUCGCGGUCGAACGACCGGAAGACCUCCAUGAGCUGCUCCUGGUUGAUCAAAAUCUCCUCGUUCAUGUCUGGGAGGAUGGCGGUGACGAGCUCGUCGAACUCGAUGGCACCGUUGCCGUUGGCGUCGAUGUUGGAGAGGAAAACGUGGAGCUGGUCGCCGGUGGGCUUGAGGCCGAGGGAGCGGAGGAGGGCGGCGAGUUCGAGCUGGGUGAGGCUGCCGUCGGAGUCCAUGUCGAAUCGCAUGAAGAUGUCCUUCAGCUGCUUCAGUUGAUCGGAUCCGAGCGCGGCCAUCAUUAGUAUAACGGCGGCCGAGAAGAAGAAGAAGAAGAAGAAGAAGAAGGAAGGGAUCGAGAGAUCCAGACGAUUUGAAUUUUGUGAGAUUUUGGGAGUUUAAUUUCGGGUGGAUUGGGUUUUUUGUGUGUGGCGCUGAUUGGUUUGUGUUUUUGGGUUUUUUUUCGUUUUCGUUUUUGUUUUUUGAGUUUUAAUUUUUCUUGUGUUUGGAUUAAAAGUUUAAAAACUGAAAACGCGUUUUUGCCAAGAGUUGAUCAAUUGCUACGUGGUUAUAUAUUGGGGGGGAUGCUACUUAGGGGCUGUUUGUUGAUUGACUAUAUUCAGGAGAAAUUUUCAAGUGUGUCAAGAAUAUUUUCGGUACAUUAAGUGCCAUAAUACCGUUGAUUGGAAACUUGAAAAAAAAUAUUCUUACCAAUUAUAUCAUGACACUUGAUAUAUCAGUCCGUAUUCCGGCACAAUGAAAAAUCUCUCCAUAUUUAUGACUUAAAUAUGUGUUUUUCUAUUUUGGGAAUAAUGUGUUGAUUUGGGUCUAUUUAAGUUUUGAAGUAAAUUCAACGCGCUGACAUUUGUGAGUUAAGUCAGUUGGUCAAAGUGAUGCAUUUGCUUCUAUGCACUCAAGUUUGAUCUCAAUUCCCAUAGAAGUUAAACUUAUUCUAACGCGUUUAGUCCAAUGUCAACUAAAAUAAACUUUCGAUUAUGCCGGAUUAAUUAAUUGAUUAAUUAACAACUUUUGUUUUAUUUUUAUCAAGAACAUGGCCUAGCUGUGAUGAGUGUUCAAUCAUUUUUAUUUCUUCUUUAAAAAAUGGGAUCAGCAGGUGGCUUUAUCACGAUAAUCUACUUUUUAGAGGCCGAAAAGAUUUUUAGAGUCAUUUCAGGCUCCUCUAGUUACCAUCGUGUGAUUGGAGCUAACAUAAUUAGGUGAAGAACAUUCGAGAUUCAAUGUGUAGAAUCUAUGUGAAAGUGGCAUUUUCUUAGAAUAUGCAGAGAGCUUCAAUGACAACAUAUUUACAAAGUUGACAUAGUUUGGUUGUGUAGACGCGUGACAAUAAAGACUUAUUUGACAUUUAUAAGCAUGAUGUCAUUAUAUUCGAGAUGUAUGAUAAGGUUUAAGAAUCCAAGCCUUUGAUAUAUACCAAGGGAUGCCAUAUAUAUGCAUAACCUUCUUCAACAUUUGUUCCAUUUGAAUUGCGUACAUUUUCAUCAUAAAACGAAAUGAAUGUGCCACAAUAUUUUGAUCAAUGGCUACUAAAACCCAUUUCGAUUAUACCUGUCACUCUACAUUUAUUGUCACGCGACUAAUUAUGUGACAAGAGAUGUCACGUGACUGGAAAUGCAGAGAAAUGAGGAACAUACGAAACAUGUUGCAGGUAAGUUUUUUCGCGAUUGAAUAGCUACCUAGCUUUAUGAUCAAUAGAUGACAGAGCCACCAUUUCAAUCAAGUGAUAUUGUACAAAACUAGUAUCAAAUGGAUCAUGAUUUGGUGAAUGAUGAGUUGGGGAGCAACCCAAUUCUCCCCUACCCCAAAAGCUUCCAAAUCCAAACUCUCCUCUCUGAGAAAACUCCUGCAGCACCUCCUCCACCUCCUCCAUGCAGCGCCUGCAACUAUGUCCUCCUCCUGCCUCCAUGGAUGAUCUCAUGGACUCUCCGACAACACUCGCAAAGUCAACGUCUUUACAUGUAUCCAACACUAUAAUCUCUUUUCUCCUUCUCUGUUGAAGCUUCUUCAUGGUGUACUCUCUCGUCUUUCGGAUCAACUUGCAAGGGAGCUUGUACAAGAUGAAGAUGGUGAUUUGGAGGAUCAAGCACUGGCAGCAGCACGAAAUCACAACGCAGUCUGCGGCAAUCAUGUUGCAGUCUUCCAUGGCUGCGAAAAUCGGGAGGAAAUGGGUGGUGGUGGUGUAGAAAACAGUUUAAAGAAAUCUUCAUGCCCCGGUGGUGGUGGUGUUUAAGGAAUAAGUUCCUUGCCUUUGUGGGAGGUAAUAGGAAGGGUGAAGCAAUUGGAAUGAUAUGUGGCGCUGUAUAUGAGUCAUGACUUCAAUCAUUGUCUAACAUUAAAAAAAAAAAAAAAAAAAACUCUAGCUUCCAAUAGGGGCUAUCCAAUAUAAUCGAAUUUCUUUUUUCAAACGAUAUUCUAAUUUAAUCUAAAAUACGGGAAACAAGCUCAUUCCGUUCUGCAAUAUAUUAAAAUAUUAGGAUGUGAAAGGGAAACAUAAAAGCUGUUGUUGCUUGGCUUCUACUUCUCCUUGGUGGAAGAUUUCUUUGAUAGCUUUAAGCAUUUCCAUAGAAGGUGUCACGGAGCUGUCUUUCAAAGAAAGUUCUCUCCCCCCUCUUGGAAGACUUGCAAAUUUAUAUAUCUGCAAACCCAGUUUACCCCAAAUAUUUUAGCACGUGACGAGUGAGACACUUGUAAGAAUAUAUCCCGGGGUAUACUCAAGAUUUCCGUGUUUCUGAGGAUGAUGGGGCGGCCUGCAGGCUGAUUUAACAAGCUCGAAAUAGAGGGGUACGUAUUUUCGAUCUGAGAUUGUCACAUAUAAAUCACAAAACAUGGAGUUGUGAAAGAGGGGAAGCAAAAGAGGGAAGAAUAGGAUCCAUGGUUAACAAAAUUGAAUUAUUACCUUUAUAACACCACCAAAAAUAUUGGUGGAUGCAACAAGAUCAUCAUACAUAGGCUAAGUAAUUACAGGGGCAAAAAAUGGCGGUCCAUAAACGUAUAAUAUAGGCGGAAGCUAAAAAUGGACCUUCACAGGAACGAUGGAACGAUCUAUACAUCCGCUGCAGUCAGUUCCAGUUGCAGAAAGAUCAGGUCCCAGCUGAGCCAAUCCAAAUCUAGCUCAAUCUGGCAAAACCCCUUUCAGCUAAGUGUUUAACUCUCCGAAUGUGUACUAUACCUCUUCGCUGAAAAAAUCUGUACUGUAAUUUUGACUACCAAAUGCCAUUCUCCGGAACAACCUAAUUUCAGCUGAUUGUUGUGCCGAGUCAAAUGCCUCACUUUCCCCCACUCUCAUUCCGUUGUUUAUAUCGGAAGCAACAAAACUAUCAAAAGCUCUAACAACCUGAGGAGAGUGAGAAUGAUGAUGUUAGCUUAAGCUGGUGAAGUGAAUGAAUUCACAUUAUAAAAAAAUUUCAGCUUCUUAUUACCUGUCCCAUUCGUGGUCUCUUAGCAGAUGAAUGUCGCACACAAGCAGCAGCAAUCUCGAUCAUUCUGAACAUUUCAGUAUCCACAUAAUUCUUUUCGAGCCUUGGAUCUACCACGCCGUCAAAAUCUUCAUUAUCAAGAGCAUAACUCAACAACGGCCGAGCCUGGAUGGUAAAAUGCGUCUCUUGUCAGGAAAGCUUGGGUUUGACCUUAGAACAUUCAGUUGGUUAACUAUACAGUUUUAUUUCAUUCAAUAAACAUAUUGUCAAUUUGUUACAUAUAUGUCUCCUAUGUACAGUCUCACAUCUUUAUUAUGCAUUUAUCUACGUACUUUUGAAAAAAUUGAAAUGAAUUCACAACUAAGGCGAGACUAAAUUGUGCCCGCUGAAUCCAGACAAAUAUUGACAGCAUAAUCAGAGAGUGAAAAAGAUUUCAUGCAUUGAGAUUUCUUUCUGUAAGACGGUUCUGGAGUUUCAAUGCAUUCCUUGUUUAAAAACUAUAGGGCCAGAAGAUCUCACUCAAUAAAUUGGGGACUUCAAAAUAUUCAACCGAAAAUAUCAAAACAUUAUUAUCGAAUUGAAGCAAAGUAAUAUAAACGCUGCAGCAUGAUAUGUCCAGUAUGAAAAGAGGAUGUAAGUUUACCCAUUCAACUAGACUCUCAUCUCCCAAGGGUUGGGAUGUAUCUACAGGCUUCCGUCCAGUGAUCAACUCAAGAAGCACAACUCCAUAAGAGUAAACAUCAGACUUCUCAGUCAAUUUCCCACUUGAUGCAUAUUCAGGAGCCACGUAUCUGAAAAUCAAGCGGAAUCAAUACAUUAUCAGGCAUGAAAGGUAUGUUUGUGAUGACAGUAUAAAUUAAAAUAUAGAAGAAACCUCAAGAAUAGCUUUGAUACAAGUAGAAAGCAUAUGGGCCAACACUAGAUUGCUGACGUACCCAAACGUUCCCAUCACACGUGUGCUUAUAUGCGUAUUUGCAUCAAGCGCUAAUUUGGCAAGUCCAAAAUCUGAAACCUGUAAAGUAAAGAAGGAAACCAUGAGCUACAACCUAACCAAAAUAUAGGAGUACUGAAAUGUGCUCUGAGUGAAAUCAUGCUAUACCCGAGCUUCAAAGUUGUUAUCUAAAAGAAUGUUUGACGACUUUAUAUCCCUGUGAAUAAUUCGAGGAUGACCUGACAUUAAACAAAUAAAACCAAACUUGGUCAACAAAACACUUCCAGUUAAAUUAUGUAACCGAUAAAACAAUUGUACGAGGAUAUAGUAACCCAAACAUUCAGCUAUCAGAAUCCAGAAACUCAGGGUAGAUAAUUACAAUCUUCAUGAAGAUAAGCGAUCCCACGAGCUGCACCAGCAGCAACCUUAACACGUGUCGCCCAGUCCAGAACUGGCCUACCUUCUCCUGAAAAUUGCAAGGUGCAAAACAUGAGAUUACGGAACCAUUAUCACUAACUGUUACUUAAAAGCUCUGUUAUAGAUAUACCAUGAAGAUGAAAAUAAAGGCUAUCGUUAGCAACAUAUUCAUAGACGAGCAGCCUUCGAUUAUCAGAGAUGCAGUACCCAACCAGAGAAACCAAAUGGCGGUGAUGUAUGCGACUAAUAAUCUCAACUUCAGCCUUGAAUUCUCGCUCACCCUGACCCCCUCCAAUUUUUAGUUGUUUUACUGCCACCUCUCUCCCAUCUGGUAGGCAUCCCUUAUAAACACAACCAAAUCCGCCUUCGCCCAAAAGAUUCUGAGAUGAAAAACCAUUUGUGGCCUUAGCUAGUUCUUCAAAAGUAAACCAUGGUCUUGAAUUUCCAACUCCUGCUUGUUCUGGUGGAGGACUCAUGAACUCACUGCCAGAACGGCUUCCAACAAGGGGAGCUGAAGAAUGUGCCUUCAAGAAGGAUGAAUCUGGAAACAAGUUACAAAAGCCUUCUUAAAUACAACGGCUUAUAUGAGCUGAUUAAUUUAUCCCAUACCCUGAUCUGAGUGAGGCUAAAUAUACUCUUAAAAUAGUAUGUUGAACUUAUUGAAAUUUAGAAAUAUCAUUAAACAGAAAAUCCCACAUUCAUAAUAACAAAACAAGGAAUCAACUGCGUUAUGUAUGAUUGAAGGUACCUGAUCGUGGAGAAGAAUCCAUAGUGGAUUGCAUAGCAUAACCUUCAAACCCGGAUACUUUUUUCUUUUGCCUCCUCAUGCACCAUACAAUCAACCCAACGAGACUAAGCACUACUGCCCCUACCACUACUCCAAUCGCCACUAUGCCUCCGGUACCAAUGCCGUUGGAAUUUGAACUUUGUGGUGCAUUCGGACUGGAAGUGUUUGUUAGUGGACUUGGAAUUUGAGAAUGAACUGGUGGAGAAGCCUGUGAGGGGGGAGGUGGUGACAUUCUUAUGAUGGGUGGUGGAGGUGAAGGGGUUGGUUGAGAACCAGGUGGGGCUGGAGUAGUACGGCUAGGAGGCGGGGGUGCUUUUCUGGGAGGUAUUGAUGCUGGUGGAGGAGAUGAACUUUCAGGGGGGGUUGAUGCUGGUGGUGGAGGUGAACUUUCACGGGGGGUUGAUGCUGGUGGUGGAGGUGAACUUUCACGGGGGGUUGAUGCUGGUGGUGGAGGUGAACUUAUGGGUGGCACAAUUGCUGGAGGUGGGGGUGAAUUCGGUGGUGGGUCUGAUGGUGACGGUCGUGGUGAAGUUUUGGGGGGACUUGAUGGAGGUGGAGGAGACUUCUCAGGUGGCGGUGAAGUUUCAGGCGGCUUUGAAGAGGGUGGAGGUGGAGGUGAACUCACUGGUGCGGGAGAUUGCGGCGGAGGAGGUGAACUUGCAGGUGGAUCAGAUGUUGGUGGUGGCGGAGAAGGUGAACUUUUCGGUGGAUUUGAUGAUGGUGGGGGUGGAGAACCAGAAGUUGGUGAUGGGGGUGAAGAAUCAGAAGCUGGUGGAGGUACAUUGGAUGAAGGCGGUGGUGGCGAGGUUGGCGGUGAAGCAGAUUGUGGAGUUGGAGGAGGUGUUUGUGUUGGAGGUGGUGAGGAUGUGGUUGGAGGAGGAGCUGAUGAAACAACAGGUUGCGGAGAUUGAGUGGUUGCCUUAGAGGACUCUGGUGAAUCCAAAUUCGGCUGAGAAGACGGUGUCGGUGUGGCGGUUGACGGCGAUGUUAAAGUAGUAUUGGAAGCUGGCGGCACGGCGGAUGGAGACGAAUUUGGAGAUGGCGAUGUGGUUGCCAUCUAACUAGACCCAAAAUCCAGUGAUGGAUACCAUAUAACUCACACACCACAACCUUCAAUCAAUCAUGAAAUCUUCAAUCUUUUCACAAAAAAAACAGAGCUUUCAAUACAAAAGGCCAAAAAUUAGAGAAAAACCCAAGCGACAAGUUUCAAGUCUUUGUCAAACCAACAUCUCCAAAAACUUCAAAAAAUGGAAUUCCCGAAAUUCCCCCCACCACCAAACUCCACCAACCAAUCACCUCCAAAACAUCAAAAUAUUCUUCUGUGAUCAAAAUCCCAGAAACCCAACUCAGCAAACAGGCUUUUCAGAUCACUAACUUCAAAGAGUGUGAGAGAAUUCUAAUUUCACAAAUAUUAAAGUAGCAAUCUUUCUCUAAGUGAACACUCAAAAAUCCAAACUUUAAGUGACCAAACGCAGCAGAAGCAGCAAUAUUAUCACAAAUUGGUACUAAUAAGCAAAACCCAAAUGGUAAAAUCUGGAAAGGACUUACCUUUACUUCGUCAAUGAUGGCCAAACAAAAACCCUAAACUUUGAUCUCUUGAAACUUCCUUAUCUCCCAACUCUGCACCGGAAGUUCAACACACGGCUUGUGGGGUCUCAAAUGUACUCUGCGAAAACUGAAAACGACUCCGAAAGAAAAAUUAUUAUUGUUUGAUGACAAUUUAUAUGGUAUUUUCUUUUUUUUAAACUCUUUCUUUUUUUCUUUUCUUUUUUUUGAAAAAAUAAUCAUAAAUAUUGACAGAUUAAUGUGGUUGGCUUUUUUUUCUAACGUCCAUUUAGUACUACGCAACGUAAACGCAUUGUGCAAUUUGGUCAGCGCAAUUUAAAUCUUAUGGAGUUUGGACCUUUUCCAUUUGUUUCCUUUCAAAUAUAUUUAGAUUUCAUAAAUUUGUUUUUAUAAAGUUUGAUACGUUAUAAUAACUAUCAAUUAAUUGAAUAUAAACAAAAUGUUGUAAAAUAGUAUUAUCAAAAUUUUGGCUUUUCAUUCUGUUUCCUCUUAUGAUUUUUUAAUGAUUUUCACGCGAGCAAUAUCAUACGUCGGUAGAAAAUUUCCGGCUCAAUUUUUUUUAAGUUUGAAAAGAUAUGGGAGAUAUGUAUUAGUUUUUGCAGUGUGUUAUUACGUAAGCUGUCAUAUAAAAUGGAAUUAUUCUAUAACUAUGACAAUUAAAUUAGUAAACUAUUCACCUCCCUAAAAUGUUGAUUUCGUCCUUAAAGACAAUUUAAUACUAUAAACAAAUAGAAUAAUCACUGUAAUGUGCCUGUAGUCUGUAGUUUUUUGGAGUUUAAUUUUGGAGCCACGAGUUUGACAACAUUCUUUAAUGCCACCAAAUCCAGCUUAGUCCAACUUUCUUUUUUUUUUUUUUUUUUUUAAUUUUAUAUAUAUAUUCGUUCAAAAUUUUGUAAAGAAUGUGCUAUUUACAUAUUUAUUUAUUUAUAUAUUUCUGUUUAUUGAUCUUUUGAUCAUCUUCAAUUCAUUUAAUUCGACGGUUAAGAAUUGAGAGGUAUGACGUGUAAAAGAUAAAAAAAAAAAAUUAUAUAUAUAACACCACUAUUUUGUAAAUCGGCAAUUCAGCAACUCAGCAAUAUACAUAUAUAUACACAUAUAUAUACAUACAUAUAUACAUAUAUGCAUAUUCUCGAUGGGAACAAGGACAAUCUCCGAGCAUAAUCUUUUAUUUUGUUCACAUUAGAAGAAAAGACUACAUGCAGGGUUAAAGUAAUCCGUUAGUUUAUGGACAAGCGAUAGGAUGCUAUGAAAUAUAAUAUAUUGAAUAGCGGGUUUAAUCUGGUGGCGGUGGGGCCGGCCCGGCAUGGAUAAAGAGAAGUAAUUUUGUGUUGUGAUUUUAUAAUUUAGGGAAAAUUAGAAUUUCCUAUAGUUUUUUUAUAUUAUUUAGAUUAAACAUUUGUGUUUUUUUUUAAAUUUGAUUAAAAUGCUUUGAUCAAUAGUCACCUCUAUUUUUUAAAAUACUAUUUAUCGUUUUAUCUGCAUGAUGCACUUUUCCUUAUUUAGUAGAGAUAUUAUUAAUUAAACUAUAUUUUCUCUUCUUCCAAAUAUGUUUUUUCAAUCACAGGUUUUUUUUUUCGUUAUGAAAACAUUUAAUAUUAUUUCUUUUUCCAAAUGGUUUUUCUUUUUUCAAAUAGUUGGUAAUCAACAUAAAAGUUCCAUGUAAUUUUUUCAAUUUUUUUGUGAAAUUAUUAUUAUUAUUUUGCUGUUUUUUUUAGUAUAGUUGUUGACGAAUUAUUAUUAGGUACAAUACAUUACAUAUAUAUUAUCUGCGGGUAUGUUUGUAUUUACAAAAUUUUUUAAUUUGUACGUUUAUUUGCAAUUUUGGUACGUUUGAUUUGAUACUUAUUGUUAAUAUUGUUACAUUAUUUUUAUUUUGGUACGUUUUAUUUUGUACAUGUAUUGGUAUGUUUAUAUUAUUCACAAUCUUAUUUUCUCUUAAAGUACUAAAAGAAAAACUUAUUUCGGUACGUUUGAUUUUGGGGGAUUUAAAAAUAUUUUAAACUAUUUUGGAAAGAAAAUAUCUUAAAUUCUAGAUAAUUAUUGCUAAAUUGUAGCAUUAUUGUGAAAAUAAAUUGAAUCUAACCAACUUUUUUUUUUUUUACAAUUAUCUCUAAUGGAGAAGAUAGUAAUCAAAAGGUUAGAUUAUAGGAAAUUUGUUACAAUAUAAUGUGCAUAUAGCACCAAAAUUAUAACAAAAAAAAGUUUAAUCAAAUCACUAAAAGACAUGGAUGUUUGAUCUAGAAAAUUCAAAAUUGAGACGCCUAUAUCAAAAGAUCCCCAUAAUUUAAUAGGAGGAGCAUCGUCUCUCUCACAGAGGAUGUCUGCAGAAAUUGUCAAAUGUUUGAAAGUGGAGGAGGUGGUGGGUCAGUGCCCUAAUUAUGCCCCGUCUGUUGCUGUUUUUCUGCUGCUGCUGCCCGUGAAGCUCCUCCACGGGCUGCUGUUUUGGAUCUUGACGUCGAGAUUGCUCGGUUUCAAAGCUACCAUGGUAUCAUUUGAGACCUGAAAUCUAAAUCCUAAAAUGUGAUUUAUCUACGACAAAGAAUGCCCACGCAUAUGUAAAUCGAUUAAAGUAGUGUGUUUUCUCUUUUGUAUUUAAGUUUGAAUUUCUUCGUCAUAAUUUAAAUUACUAAUAUGUAAAAUGUUGUUCGGUGUUUACUGUUGUUUAAAAUUACAAUGGCUCCUUUAUUUUUCUAAGUUAAUAUGUGGAGUAAUGCUAAGUAGACCGAAUUUCUAAACCAAAUUUGCAUUGGAUUAAUGGGUAAGUUGGUAAGUGGGUUCUUUUUUUUUUUUUUGCAAAAUUUAACUUUUUAUAAGAAUCAAUAAAUUUUUUUUUUCAAAUACCGGAUAUUCAAAUGGUACUCUACAUGUCAUAAUACAUUUUUCGUGUUCCUAUACCUAUUUUAUAACACGUGAGUGCUCAUUUAAAAACUAAUCACUUUGAAAACGUGGUAUUGGGGAAGAAAAGUAAAAGCAAACCGCGAAUAUACGAAGCACACGCGUGCACAGUAACAAUUCUGCCCAAGUGAUAAGAUCGUGGGAAGAAAAGCCGAAAUCUAGUGAAAACACACAUGCAAGUUGCAACCACGACCACGACAUCAAGGUUCCCAAAGUCUACUCCCCGCACAUUGACGUCGUAUUCUUGCACUUCAUUAUUGAAACGAUGCCACAUGUGGUGCAACUUUCUAGACACGGAGGAGUUGGAGAACUCCUUUGCAAUUAAGAUAUUACAUGAGUUAGUUGCCGUAUCUCAUAUCAAUCACAUCUUGUUAAGUGUUAUUAAAAUUUUUUGGUAACAAGUUUGAGUUGAGUUAAAAUGUUUACCUAUUUAACAUAACGUUUUGCGUCAAUUAUACAACACGCGUAAAUUUCUCUAAAAAACAUUAUAUUAUUAGCAAGAGAAAUCACGUUCCUGAUAUAUUUGUGUUAUGAAAGUUACUCUCGCAUUUGAGAGUUAAAAAGUCAACCAAACCAAAUUACGUUACCUUUAGCUUAAGCUUAUUAAUUGAUAAUUUACCCAUUUGGGUCACAUUGAUUUUAGGCGCAGGAAUGUCUAAAAAGUUUGCCCCAAAAGUAAAGAAAAUAGAACAAAGGGCUUUAAGCCCAAUCCGCCUAACUUGAACUUAGAGAUCCACAAUACAAGCCUAACCUGACAACCUCCGUCUCACCAAACUAACUUAAUUGAAAAUUAAGCAAGUUUGUUGCAAGAGAAGUUCAUUUUUCUGGGUUACUCUAAACUUGAUACACUCCGGGACAUAUCUAAUCGAUGUGUUUCCGGUAUACGAAGGAGAAAAACUAACUAUUUUAAAAUUCAAAAAAAUGAAAAAUGAGAAAAGUUUACAAGAACUACCGUGUUUAGUGGUGUUCAGCUGGUGGAUUGAAGCAGCUUCAUAUAUUUGGAGAUUACCGUACCUUUACUUUCACCCGGGCCUCCACGGAUGUAUGCUUGGAUUCCACAGCGGCAACUGGAGAUCCUAUAAUCCUGUUGGGGGGUGCUCUAUAAUACAAGAUCCUUGUUUGCCCUUCAUGCGAGAAGACAAAAAAAUGGUUAACAAGGAACGUGCAGCAGGGUGGCGGCCAACUUCAACAAGGAGGCUUGACUGCGAACCAUGACGUGAGAAAUAUCCUUUUUUACUCUUGCCUAAUCGUGAAUUUCUUCUAGCAAUUAUCACAGCUGCCCAACUCUUUCCUAGUUUCGUUUGGAAUUUGCCUGGGGAAAAAGAAGGCAAACAAAAAAUAAUAGUUACAAAUAGCAGAAAUCACAAAUUUCCCUACUCUAGUUAGCAUCAAAAUAAAUCAAUCUAGCUGCUGUCGAAAUGAAGAACUCAUCCAGCACCUUUCCAUGUUCUGUUUGGGAAUAAAAAUAUCAAGAGAGGAAGAUAAGAAAGCUAACAAAGUUACAGCAAAAGAAUGAAACACUUUUACCCAUUUCGUAUUCCAACGCUUGCAGAAUCAUUUCAACCUGGACAGAAUUGCAUAACCAUACUGAAUGAAGGGAAAUCUUAAGAAAUAGUGGAAGGUCUGAAAGGUCUAUACGCGUAACUCAUGUCAGCCCAUAUAAGCACGCAGCACGCAAGUAGGAAUGAGUAUAUUUCUUGUGUUGCAACAUUACUUUAGUCUAAAGAAAGGUUUGGAAUUGGCACUGUAGAAAUGAAUAGUGUUUCAAUCCGAAUUUCAGAUUAAUUACAACCAUGCCAUUGGUCUUUGUGUUGGUUUUGGGUCAGCAGCUCGGCCCUUAGCUAGGCCCAAAUGUGUUGGUUUUGGCUGGGAAGCCUGGCCCUUAGUGAUGCCCAAAUUAUUUAAUUACAUUUUUGCCCGUCUAAGAUUAGAAUCCGAUGGUGGGGAUGGUGUAUUAUGAAGGGCAAUUUUGUCCUCUCCGUUUUGGGCGAGAUGGGGGGUCACCGGUUAGGUAUCAUUUGUUGUCAUUCAAUUAGGGUUUCAGGGAGGGUCUGCGAGAGAGAGAGAGAGAGAGAGAGAGAGAGAGAGAUGGCGAUGCAAGGAGAGCGAGGGGGAGGGGGAGGGGUAGGGGUCUCGGCACUGUUGCUGCAGAUGGGAGGGUCGGUAUGGUCAGAGAAUACCAUAUGGAUCGUCGGGAUUUUAGGGAGACGGGGUAGGGGUCAUCAACAAACCCUACUGAGAGUGGGGUGUGCCGGAUCUUGCGUUGCAUGCCUCAAAUCCAAAGAUAAGUUCUUUUUUCAAUUGUAUUCUUUAAUGGUGCCUUAGAUUUUCUAAUUGUUUAAGUAUGUUAGGUCCGGUUUUGGGGGAUUUGUGAUUUUAUGGAGAGAGAUGGAUAGGGAGAUAGAGAUUGACAGAGAAAGGAGAAAGCAUGGCUAUGUGCAUUUUUUGGGGUUAAUUAAUGGGUUGGUGCGCAGAGUUAGUGAGGAGAGAGUGACAGAGGGGCAAUAUGGGCACUUUUCUUGGCAAUAUAGUGCUUAGCUUAAAAUUAGAAUGUGAUUAAGUUGUAUUGAAUUUGUUCGAUUAACCAUUGGACCAUUUAUAGUUCAUUUAAUCUUUUGAAUUAUAAGCUAAUGUGUUGUGUCCUUUACAUUUCUUGGUAUGUUAUUGAUAUGGAAAACAUCAUCUAUCUGUUCUAUUUAUCGCAUGUCAUAAGAAUCAAAGUAGACUUGGCAUCCUUUUUGUGGCCUUUUUUGUGUUGGCAGAUGCCAUCAGAUAGGCAAAAUCAUAUUGGCUACAAAGUGCAAUGAAUGCUACAGGUUACUAAGUUUCGCCAUAUGCCUUCAUUGUGGCAUUGCCCUUUCUACAACAAGUAAGCAUUCUAAUUUCACUUUGUGGAAUGAUAUUAAGUUGACUUAUGGAAUAAUAUAGAGUUGUGUCAUGCAUGAAAACUAUGAAUCCAUUUCAUCAUGCAUUUUUUAGUUAAACUACUAUGUUUUUGUUCAAUUGACUACAAUUCAUGCCGCAGUUCGCUUCACAAACCUCUACUGUUAGCUUCCAUACAGUAUGUUGCAAGUUUGAGGAUAUCUCUUGUUACACCCACCCAUAAUUUAAAUUGUAUUUUCACUAAGUUUGAGAUUAUCUUGCUUUUAAAAUGGUUUUUGAGUCUUAAAUGGUGUGCCCAAGGGGCCCACCCUGUUUUGUCCCCCGGUUCCCUUUCCAUUUUCUUUUAUUUUUCUGAAAAGUCUUCCUCUUUCUCUCUUCUCCCUCACUCUCCCUUAUCACUCUCUCUCGGCUCUUUCUAUCUCAACCCCUCCGAGGGCUUUUCUUACCAACAAACAACACCACAACAACAUCAACAUCUCCAUUAGCACCCUAGUGAGCUUAGAAUCGAAGAAAGAACACCCCAAACCCUUCUCUUCCUUUCGGCCGGUACUGUUCAUCAUCUUCUCCGUCGAGUUUCGUAUCGUUCCGACGUUGGUAAGCUUCUAGAAGACCUUGUUUUGUAUUUUAGGGUUAUAUCGAAGCUUGUUUUAAGUUGUGUAUACGUUUGAAUCGCAGAAAAUAGCUCGGAGUAGCUUUUCCAAAUUUUCCGGCGAGCAUGGCCACUUUCGAGGAAUUUUCCGGCCAAACCACUAUGCGUUGGCCGGCAUGCAAGAUAUAAAUCUCUUCGUCUCGCUGAGUACUACAACUUUCCUUUUUGUUUCACCCAAUUUCGUUGAGUAUUGAAGAAGUUAUACUCAUUUGACUCUUACCCAGUUUCCAGCGACCUCAGAGGCUUUCGAGGCAGUUUUCGGUCAAACCAUUGCGAGUUAGACGUCUUGUAAGGUACCAUUCUCUUUGUCUCUUCUAGAACUACAACUUUCCUUUUUGAAUCACUCGAUUUCGUUGAGUUUUGACAAAGUUAUGGCUGUUUAAAGUUGGUGUAGAUUUCCAGCCGAAUUCCGGCCUUCUUCUUCCUUGGGUCCGGCGACCCAUCAAGAAUAGGCCUUUUGGGCCUUUCCUGCCGAGCCCAACCCAAACCCAUUUCUUUUAUUUAUUCAUUUUGUUUUAAUUUUAAUUGGUUAAUAAAAAGGCCUUUGGGCCAUUUUAUUUAGGGCUAUAGGCCCGUCCUCUAUAGAACCCAAAAACCCUUAGGUUUAAGGCCUUUGAGCUUUAGCGGUUGGGGGCCCUAAGCCCAACCCUAACCUUUUAAAUUAUUUUUGUUUAUUAAAUUGAUUUUAAAAACCCUAAAGGCCUUUAGGCCAUUUUCCUUUAGGGCCUUAUGCCCGUGCAUCCUAAGCCAACCCAUUAAACCUCAUUACCCUUAACCUUUAACCCUGAUCUGUCCAAACCCUUUAUGGGAAAUAUUCCGUUAGGGAAUAUUCCAUUAGAGAAUAUUCCGUCAAGGAAUAUUCUAGGAAUAUUCUAUCAACUUUUACGAAGUUUAAAUGAGUCCAUUCUUAGGGUAAUUCGACGUCCUGAAUCCGUUUCCAACAUCCGUUUUUCCAAAUUCAAUUGUUAUAAUAAAGUUUUAUUAAUUGGACCAUUUAUGUGCUUAGGGACAAUAUUUGUGACGUUUCCAUGGUUGCUAGUUUGCGUGGCUCUUCGACGGCUAAGUAUCUGUGAGUGGACCUAGGGCUGGGUUCGGUUCAAAACGGUUCGGUUUUUUGCCAAAACCGAAACCGAACCGAAAUUUCGGUUCGGUUCGGUUCGGUCCAUUUUUUUUUCGGUUUUUUUCGGUUCGGUUUCGGUUUUUUUCGGUUUUUUUUUUUUUUUUUUUUUUUUUUUUGGAAAAAAUGAAAACAAAAUUGAAAUCUAAAAUUUUAACAUCUCCAACACAAUUAUAAUAUAAGCAUUCUAACACAAUGAACAAAAUUUAUAUGAAAAAUGCACACAUCUUUAAAAUACAAAGUACAAGCCUAUCAUUCCUAAACAUGAAGUCGUUUAAUUACCAUACCUGUUUCACCAUCAACUGCAUGAACAUUAUCAGUAAUUUAUUUGAAGGACCACAAAGCCAUUAUCUGGACGUCUAGUAUUCAAAGGAUAAUCUAAAAUUGAACACCACCCAGAUGGAUGGACAAAAAGAACGCUUUGAAGGGAAGCCUAAAAUUAAUUUGAGACAAUACAGAUGCAUAUAACCAGUUUUCUCUAAAGUGAUAUAAGUAUAUCUUAUAUAAAUCAUGUCAACAAGAACAAGCCUGGAUGUUCAAUUCUAUUUGUUCUCUGAGAAAUCAAUACCAACUUCAUAUAUUGUCCAGAUCCGUUUACAAUUUAAACUCUAAUACUCAUACAUAAUGUAGUCAAGAAACAAUAUGCUCUAUUGAUGCUAGGUUUGAUGGAAAUCUUCCUUCAGCACCAAAAACGUUAUCCAUAAUAAAACGCUACUCAGAGAAUUGCAAUGCCUAUGCUACUUUUCAGAACACGUUACCAAUGAAUCUUUGGUCUUUUCCAUCAUGACUUAGCAAGUCCAAGAGUCCAUAACCUAAAUGAAAAUACAUGUUUAACAAGAUUUUUACCACUAAAAGAAACAACAUAUGAUUUACAACCUUCAACAACAUGUCAAAUUUGCAGGGCCAUAGUUUCACUUAAGGAAAUACAAGAGUCGGCAGAGAAAGAAAUUCAAAGAUAACAGGUAAUCACAUAUCAUGGAAGCUCUGAUUCCCAGAGAAAUAUACUUAUCUCCAUCCUCUUUUCAAAUUAUACAUAAAAGUAGGCUAUCUAUCGUCACUACACCUUGCCAAACCAUAAAGCUGCUGAUUUCCUCCAAUAGCCGAGCUUCCACAUAUAUUACCAGCUUGACAGAUUACCCCAAAAACAAAAUGAUAAGUCAAACAUGAUCAAAUUGUUCCCAAAUUAAGACGAAGAAAGAAACUGCAAAAGCAGCUCAAAAAAAAUCCAACUGGGUAACAAGUAAGCAAAAAGUUCCCAACUCAAAUUUAGCAUGCAAUUAAAAAUGAAUGAGCAAAAAAAAUUCAGAAGUACAAAAAAAGACAAUUACUUUCUAUUUCCCUAACCUCAAAUUUCUCCCCUGAGCAAAUUUAACAUACAAUUAACUGAUUAAGCAAAAAAAAAUGAAUGAGCAAAAAAAAUUGUAAAGAAGUGGGAAAGAACACAGAACACCUUGAUUUUUGUGUACUUUUCGUAGAGUUUGGAGUAGAGAGCUUCCGUCUGCGAACGAACAAGAAGAAGCUCACGGCGAGACUAACCUUUUGCAGUCGAGACUCGAAAUGGCAAGAAGAAGCUCACGGCGAGAUGAAGGACUGACGGCGAGGGCGAGGUGUGAGAGAUUGAGAGUGAGAUGGGUCGCCCCGUCGUGGGUCGCCUGAGAUUCAAGACCGAGAGAGACAGAGAGUUUGAGAGAGACAGAGAGUGAUUGAAGUUGAAGACCGAGAGAGAGAGAGAGAGGAGGCUAACCUUUUGCUAUCGAGACUCGAAACGGCGAGAUGAGAGACUGAUGGAGAGGGCGAGGUGUGAGAGAUUGAGAGUGAGAAGGGUCGCGCUGUCGCGGGUUGCCUGAGAGAUUGAGAGAGACAGAGCGAUUGAAGACCGAGCGAGAGAGACAGGAAGCUCAGGCGGCGCGAGAGGGUUACUGGGUUAGGGUUCAUGGAGGGAGUCUGGAGGCAGGGAACAAGAGAGAGAAUAGGGGAAUGAAAAAUAAAAAAGUUAGGGUUAAAGGAUUUUGUUGAUUUCUCAACAAAAUUAAAAAACAAUCUCAUAAAUCCUAAAGGCAUGAGGGUUCGAACCCAUUGCCACCAGUGUGAAAAAUUUCGCUUAAACCAACUUGGCAACAAGUUCUGUUUUGUUAUGAUUGUAUGCCUAAAUUAUUUAUAAUAUUGAAAAAAAAUUAAAUAUAUAUAUAUCGGUUCGGUUCGGUUCGGUUCAGUUUUCGAACCUCAAAAACCGAAACCGAACCGGUCAGAUUCGGUUCGGUUCGGUUUGACAGUUUCAGUUCGGUUUUUUUUCGGUUCGGUUUUUUUCGGCCUCGGUUCGGUUCGGUUGUCGGUUUUUUCGGUUUUCGGUUUUUUGAACCCACCCCUAAGUGGACCCCUUCUAAAAUGAUGUUUUAAUAAUAGAAAUGCAUACAUGAAAAGCAUGGUUUAUGAGAUGCUUUGAGAUAACAUUCUUAUUGAGGCUAGUUUGAAUUAUUACUAUUUUUCCUAUAACCUACGUUCUUAUAGAAUAUCUUAUGGAUGACAAUAUGAUAUUUAGAACAUGUUUCGAACACCUCUUUAUAGUAUAGAUGAUGGAUGACUUUAUACUAUGAAGUUGCUUUUCAAUAUAUAUGUGUUAAAUGGUUUUGUACUUACCUAGUGAUCCUUUCCGCUACGGGAUGUAGGGAUAGAUUCCGGUCCGUCCCGGGCGACGGUUUGGUGUUGGUAUAGGGCCUGGAGUGUGUUUCCUCUGGCUAUUAGCACAGGGACGGGGAGCCGGCAUGGGGCAUGAAGUGUAUUUUCCUCUUACUGUCUGCUCAAAGACGAGGAGCCGGCAUGGGGCCUGCAGGUUAUCGGACAAUUCACUAGUGAUUGUUAUAUAUACAAAUUAUGAUUUGAGAUAUUGCACGACAUGCUAGGUUUCGGAAAACCUAUGUUUAUCAUGAUAUGUGUUUUCAUAAAACAUGGGGGUUAGUACGUUGAUAACUGUUUUAUUAUAUAUAUAUAUAUAUAUAUAUAUAUAUCAACUUGGUCCACUCAUGUUUGUUUUGCGCCCCCUUCAGGACUUAGAAUCGAGGCAUAAAAUCCCGGCAUCCAGGCAUUUCCGCAUCAACAUCUUCGAGUCCUCUCGAUGUAGGACCCACUUCUUUGUUCAUUCAAUUUUAUAUUAUUUCUUUUAUUGUUCUAGUUAGUUGUAUGCUCUGAACACGUUCCUUAAAUGCAUAUUCUUGAACUUUUUAUAUUUAUAAGUCUUAUCCAUCAUUUAUUCUCAGCAUUUGCACUCAAUAAAUGGCUUUCGUCACCCUCGGAUGUCGGCCAUCAUGUGCCUAUCCUGGUAUUCAGGGAAUAUCGGGAUCGGGGCGUGUCAUCUCUACAUCUUAAUUUUUGCUCUAUGGUUGCUUCAAGUUUGUAAUUUUACAUGCUACACUGCCACUUGAUUUGAUUAUAAAAAUGUAAAACAAAAUCUGUCCAUGAUUUACAAAUUUGUAUUCGAUUUUUGAUGUUUUUCAGUGUAAGGCAUAUGUUGCACAAGUGAGGUAUGUAGGCUGCAGAGCAUAUAUUUUGCCAUCUUAACUACAAGGGCAAAAUAUGUGUAAACUGUAGCUUGCUUCUAUUUCUUCAGUCUUGUAUGGAAACAAACCUUCUGCUUAUUUUUGCCUUUGAACAGUUGUGGUUACAAAAUUAGCUACUUGAACAAGUCCUCAACACUUUCUAUUUUUAAUUACCUGUUGAAAUGGCUGUCUACACUACAUGACACAUAUUAUAUGUGUGAACUAAAUGUUUCUUCUGUUUCUUAAGGAAACAGAACUUUUUUUGAAACCAUCUCUUUCUAAUCAAAGACGUUCAAUUUCUUCCCACUCAUUAUACAAUGUGUUUAAAUGCCAACUCACUUGAAUGUAUUUAAAAGCAAAACUGUUUAUCUUAUCGACCUCAUCCACUCAUAUAUCCCUUUGUUUGUUCAUAAUUGUGUUGAAUUUAUUCAUCUUUGAAUUUAUUCAACUUAAAUGUAUUUUAUUUAUCCGAUUACACCUAAAACAGCUGGUUUCCGGGGCAACGCACGGGCCUAAUAUCUAGUAAAGAACUAAAUUAGACAUUUCAUCUGUAUGCCUAAUAUAUUGAAGCAUGUCCAUAUAACAUUAAAUACGAAUGCCUAAAUAUAUAUACUUUGUCAAGAUCUUUCCCAAGAUUAGCCUCUACGGACGAAUUAUUUUCAUACACCGUCCAAAUUUCUUUGAUCUCUCCAGCUGCAGAUAAGAACUUUUCCAAUUAAUACAAUUCUGAAAAUGAAUAUUUUCAGAUAUAAAAAGAGUUGCAGGAAGAUAAAAAUUAGGGAACUUUAACGAAAAGCUCAUGGUAUUGUUCACUUUAACGAAAAAUCACAUUUUUACACUAAAAAUUCAAUCCUGGUACUAUUCACUUUACCCUUUAUUUUGUCCUUAUCGUUAAAACUUAAAGUUUUCAAACAUUUUUCAUUAGUUUUCCUUAAAAAUUAAUGAUCAACCCUAAUCCCUCCACCAAGAACCAAGCACAUUUCAUCCAAAGCUGCUUGCUCCAUUCUGCUCUUCACUGCUUCCGGUACGCCAUCAGAUGGUGUUAUAUCUCCAACAAUAGCUGAGAAUAGUUCAAUAGCAAUCUACUAUCAAAACACAUUUAUAUAUAUAGGUAUCACACUAAAUCCAUUGUAAAUAUAAUACAGAUGAAUAACGUGAAAGAACAAGGGAACAAAAGAUACCUUCUGCAGUGUCGUGCACAAUUUGUAUCUUGAUACACCUGUUCUGUUGAGGUAAGGGAAGGCAAAACACGAGAAAAUAAGGUACUGCACAGAAAAAGGUCCAAGUGGCAUAUCAAUUACAUGUAUAAUCAAGCAAGUCCGAUUAGAAAAUGAUAAAGAGCAUAGGCCAUCAUAUAGCAUCCGAACUCCAACCUUUCUCUAUUCGAGCCAGGAACGUCACCAGCAAUCAAGGACAUCAAAGCCAUGCGAUACAUAUGAUCUGCGAUGGACUCUGAACCCUUUAUUCCCUGAUUGAUUGAUCCAACCCUUCCUUUUUGUGGUCUACGAGAGAGAGGGAUAUGAUACCCUGAAUCUUCUUGCAAUUCAUAUAAUGAAGACAUUGUAAGAAUAUGAGUAUGAGAUAGAGAAGUUUUGGGACCCGUUAUAUGUAUUCAGUUUGAUAGAAAAGUCUUGUUAAUAAGAGGAAUACUUAUCCUUGACAAAGAAGGAUUUUGUAUAGCAUUGAGAUCAGUUCUUAUGGAACAAGGAAACAAGUAUUUGUUUCCUAUAGGGAUUUUAAUUGGGAAUCCUAUCUGUUAUGGAAAAGACUAUAUGUAUAUAUAUAGUGGCCUCUCUUCUUACAGAACACACGCUCAUAUUGGGAUUUAAACCUAUUUGUAAGUCGAGUUCUUGAUCAUAUGCGAGAGAAGAGAAGGUUCACUGAAAAGCUUGGCGUCAUGGCUUCAAGAUCUGGAACUGCUGCAGGUAUGCUUUUCUUUUUCGUCCUCUCAUACACGAAUUGUGGUUAAUUCUUUUCAGGUUGUAGUUCAUGUUUUAAUCUUGUUUAGUAAUUCACUGCUAACAGACAUAUUAUAUACACCCCCACUAUUACUACUUCCACGAAUCAUUUUUCUCUUCAUUAGAAAAUCCUAUCAAGUUUUAAAACUAAAGUUACUAAAUUCUUCCCGGCAAGUCAAUUUUCCACUUUGUCCCACUUAGUGUAUGGAUUGCAUUCCAAAACAUCUCAAUCAAGAUUUUCACAAUAUGAAACAUGGAGUUCAAUUCAAGCACCCAUCUGUGUUUGGUAGUUGAGAAAAUUCAGAAGUACCUAAAUUUUCAACUUUCCUAGCUAGCUCCCACCCAAUCUCUCAGAGACUACAACACAAAUUUUCAAUCUUUAUAGACUGCAGAUCACAUACACAAACAAUUCUCCAACUUUCCAUUCAUUUUAUUGAUUAAUUUCUCGGUAACCAAACAUAUGGAAAACAAGCAGAAUCAGCGCAUAUCUUGAGACGGUGACACAAUGUGAGAAAAUCAAUGGCGGAGGAUGCCGGAUGAAGAGCCCGGAGACCCGAAUGAAGCAUCGGAUUCGUUCGAACUGACAGACCGCUUGGAGGCGAGCCGUCCGGACUGGGUGCCUGCCAACGAACGGAAACGCCGGGACUUCGGCGGAAAAUCCGGGUCUGGACUGUUGUGCCUUGGCUGGUUCGUUAGUGCAGAAACGAGAUUUAGAUUACAACCUCAUCAAAUCACACUCAGUUGAAUAUAAUAAAAUACAAGAAAUAAAGACACCGAGAAAUUUACAAGGUUCGGCAAAAAUCCUGCCUACGUCCCUGGAGAGAUAUUGCUCUUCACUAUGAAUAACAGUACAAGUACACAUGAGUUAAAUCAACAUAACUCAAUCCCGAAUCCCUUGCACACCCACUCAUAGAAUUUUCCCAAGAGCCUCACUCUAUCCCAAGAGUUUUUUCACUAUAAUACUUUUCACUCUAGCUCUCUUGAUUUUCUCUCAACCCAUGUUCAACCUUUCCCAUGGGAGAGCAGGAUGCUCUCCCCUUGGAUGCUUCUAUGAUGCUUACCUUCCCACUUUCUAAGCAUUACUAAAUGCACAAAUAUUGCAUCUAGUUAUAAGCAUACACUAGCAACUAUGCCAACAACCAAGACCAAAAAGUCUUAAGUUCAUAUGACAUAAUUAUUACCUAGCCUACCUAGCAUGCACCAAAGUCUAUACCUAAUCUAUAAAGUACAACUUUUCUCCAUUUGUCAUUUAAUGCAUAGAAGAGAAAACAUGCACAAUAAGACAUGCACAAUUAUGUGCAAGCAAACACAAGGUCAAGUCUUGCUUGCUUCCAACUUUGCUUGUGGCAGUUACCAUGUCUUCAAUUAUUGUCAACAUAAUUACUCACAAAUGUAUGGGUCAAACACAACAUGGACAAGGUCCGUUGAAGAAAGCGGGAGGCGAACGAGGAGGAACAGAGUGGGUCAGUGGAGCCGCGCAGCAGGUUUGGGGAAUUAACUUACGAAACACGUCUAGGGGGCGUUUGUUACAGCUCCUUAGGAGGGACUGGCUUGAACUAGCUUAAAUAGGAUUAUAAUCCUGUGUUUGGUGGCUGGCGGGACUAACAUUAAUGGCACUAGGUGGGACUCGCUUUCACAAACUCCUUCACUAGCCGGUCUUAGCGAGAGACCUCGACACCCAUAGGACUAGCUAAGACCUUCCAUCGUCCUCUCUUGCCUUCGUCCACUCUCGCUGCAUCUUUAUCUCCUUCGUCUGCUUCGCUGCCCUGGGUUCAUCGACCUCGAUUUUCUACGGCAUGGGAUUCAAUGAAAGCUGGAAGUUGGAGAGGCGUAGGGACAAGUAAGUUUACAGAGAUUGGAGAAAAGGGAAAUAGGAGGGAGAGGCGGAGGGACAUGGGGAAAAAGGGAAAGGAGGAUGGAGAGGCGGGUGGAGAAAUAAGGUUACAGAGAGAUUGGAGAAGGGGAAAAAGGGAAAGGGGAUGGAGAAAAGGGAAAUAGGAGGGAGAGGCGGACAGACAAAAAUGGGGUAAAAGGGAAAGGGGGAUGGAGAGGUGUAGUAAAAGGGAAAGGGGGAUGGAGAGGUGUAGGGACAAGUUAACAGAGAUCGGAGAAGGGGAAAAAGGGAAAGGAAGAUUGGAGAGGAUGAUGAUUAUAGAAGAAGGAAAAAACAAGAUAAAGUAAUAAUAAAAUAUUAAUCAAUAUAUAUUAAAUUAAUAUAAAAUAAUAUAAUAUUGUAAUCCUGCUUCUUAGUCCGACACUGCACCAAACGCUUCACUAAACUAGUCUAGCUUAGUCUAGUCUAAGCCAGUCCAGCUUAGUCCCUGAAGCUAAUGCAGUCCGAGACAGUCCGGUGCAACAAACGCACCCCUAGGAUCUUAACAAGACUACGGUCUUGUAUAAAUAAUUAUUAAGUAUCAUUUUUACUAUCUAUGUAAAUUGAAUUUGAGAUUUUGCGAAUACUAUUAAACCAAAGGUUAAAUAGUUGAAAGACAGUUUUAUUCAAAACUUAGAGCAAAAGUAAUUUUUUUGUCGGACAAUCUAAUACUAAUUCAUCUUCUACUGUAUCUCACCACUUAAACAUUUUCUUUGGAAAAUUGCAUUUUUCCAAAUUUGAGGGGGAAAAUGUCAACAAUGCUAUCGUUCAAAUUAUAAACGUUUAAUUAUAUGAGAUCGAGAAAUUAAGAGAGAAAAAAUAAGUAAAUAUGUUUGGGUUGAUUAGGGAUCAAGUUUUAAUUAACACUGCAAUAUAAGAGUCGCUACAAAUGCCCCGAUUAGUGUCUCAACUAUGCACAUUCCUAGAAUUAUUUUUCCUUCGUUUAGCUAAAGAAUAAAAAUAAAAUUACAAAACAAUAUUACAAUCUAACUAUAUAAACAUAUAUAACAAUUAAAGAGUUGGGAAAUUGAAUGAAUAAUAAGUACGAGGAAUUAUCAAAGCAUGUUCCAUCCUAUAUUUUCUCUCAAAGUGAGAUUCUUUAUGAUUAUCCUAUAUUUUAAUGUUAAUUCUUAUGUUAAUAUUAUAAAUAUUAUACUAAAAAUAUGAAAUGACAAAUAAUUUAUAAAAGAUCAUUUUCAAAAGAAUCUCUUUAACAAUUCUCUUCUGUUUGUACUAUGUGGCUCUGUGGCACCGGACCAAUUUAACAAACGAUCGUGGAAAAGAAGAAAUUGUCCUUGUGUGUUGAAUUCACGGACUUCUUUUUCUUACAUUUUUGAUGGGGAAUUCGUGGACCUUAAGGUUUUGAGAGCGGCGCAAAAGCGUUUCCCACGGGUAUCACAACUCCCAUGCCACUCAUGCAUGCAAUGAUUUCACUGCCUCAACAACUCUUUUUAUAAGACGUAGGUUGUCUGCCAUUUCCAUCCCGUAUGUUUUUUUAUCUUUUUUUUAUUUCUUUGGUUACAGUUAAAUCACGUUAAUAUUUUAUAUUUUUAUUAUUUUUUAUCUUAUUAUUUUUAUAAAAAAAUUAAUAUAAAAUGUUAAUAUGACAGUUAAAUCACGUUAAUAUUUUAUAUUUUUAUUAUUUUUUAUCUUAUUAUUUUUAUAAAAAAAUUAAUAUAAAAUGUUAAUAUGAUUUAACCGUGAACACAAAAAUAUGAAUAGAUAAGAAGGGUAUGGAAUGGGGGAAUACAGAUAAUCCAAGUCCCUUUUUAUAGAACUUUCUCGACAAACUUGACCGAGUCAAAGCAGCCGAAAAUAAUUGCACAAGUCAUUAGUCUUUCUACGAAAUGGUGCUAUCUACGUAAUGAGAGAUUUUUAGUGUGAUCGUCACACUAGUUGGUUUAUUACGUGUUGUUAUAUAAUUGAUGAGAUAUGUGUGUUAAAAAUUUAAUAACUUAAAAAGUAAAAUUUUUCAUCACUUACGUAAAAACACGUAGUGUAUCAUUCGUGUUCCUAUUAAAUUAAAAAUUUCUCCUACGUAACGGCGUCUGUUGACAGAUCUGAGGCUUGUAGGGUAAUUGACAAAACGUUUGCUUCUUCACGGAACCAACCACUGAAUUAGGAUAUCGUUCUUGGGAUUUAUAAUAUUUUUAUACAACUGUAUUCUAUUUUAAAUGAAGAGUGAUUGGAAUUGAGAUUUUUUCGGAAUCUUUGUGUCCGCUCGAAAAUUCAAAUAGUUCAAGAGAGAGAUCUGAGGCAUUCAAGGACUUGAUUUUGUGAAUGGUGGGCCAUGUGUUAAUAAAUGUUGCAUGCUAUAAAUGAAGUGGCUUGAUUUUUUGGGUCUGUUGGCUCUGUACUCAGAGACCCAGAGAGGAUCGCGGCCUAUGUCACACAAUAGGAAAGUCAUAACUAUCAUCAUCAAUAAGUCAAACUCAAAACUUCUCACUUACAAAUGAAAAUGAUACAUAACACUAGUUAGUAACUUAAGACUUAUUAUUUACAAAUGAAAAUAAUUACACUAGUUGGUGAAAUUUAUAAUUAACCCUGAAAGACUUGAUUAACAAUAAGAGCUCAUUAUGGGUGGCUAAUUUAAAUUUAAUAAUUUACGAUUAGAAUCAAUAAUUAUUGCAUUGCUUAUAUGAUUUCAUUAAUCAAAUCGUCUUCAGCCAAGGCUGUAUCCAACACAAGAUUCACUCUCGUGACUCCAGCUAAUUAUGGGAUUAUUGCACUGUUUAUACAUAAUUAUGCAUAGCCAGCCCUCUAACACUUAUAUUAAUACGUCUGCUUAAUUAAUAUGAUUUCUCAAGCCUUUGAUCAAACUGGUUUAAACCCGACCAGCCCGGCUCUCUUCCAAUCCUUCCUCGGAAUAGUACGUCCGGCUGCGUUUAAUUGGUAUGUUAUUUUCAUUUUCAUUUAGUGUGUGUACCUUACGCUAAAAAAUCAUCUAAACAUUCAAGAACGCGUUUAAACCCAAAAAUAAAAUAAAACCUCAUAUAUGUCUCUUUUCCUUGAUCAGAUUGGAAGUUCAAGCAUGGUGAUGAGGAGCCUAAUCAAGUUGUUAGGGACUCUGAAAUCAAACUGAGGUUUUUAAACAAAAUAAAUGCGUAUUCAGAAAUUGAGAAAACUGAGAGCAUGAGGAUGGACAUGAUGCACAGGAAAGCUCAGGCAUCAAUUGUACCGACUCUGAAGAAUGCCGAUUACCGGAGGAAAAAGAGCCACGCACAUAGCCGCUGAUCCGUGAUCGAUUGAAACCAGAAUUUCCCUUUUUAUUUAUUUGAUUUGGAGAGGAGCAAGAUAUACGUUCUGCAGCUAUUUGUUUCAGCGGUUUCUACUGUUUCAAGUCAUCAGUGUUUUAAGUCAUAUGAAAAUAGCUCUGCAGCUAUUUGUUUAAGCAGUUUUAACUGUUUCAAGUCAUCACAGCGCCACUUUGAGGUGUUACAACUUCUUAAUUCAGUUUAUAUUUUGUGACUUUUCUUCUAAAACAAGCGAUAUUGGAAAAAGACUAUUUGUAAUUUAGAAUAUCGGAUGUAAGGAUGAAUGUUUUUAAUUAACUAAACUAUUAAUCUCCUGCUGAAUUUUGAGACGUUUAAUAAAAAGAAGAAAUAUAAUUACUUGGAAAAAGAAAUUAAGUCAAGUCAAUAAGAUUGUGACCGUAUGAAGGAACAAUUAUAUGGAUCCAAAAAUACCAAACCCAAAUUUGGACUGGGACACGCAUGCAUUUGCAUGCACGAAAACUUCUCCAAUUGGUCCUCCUGGUCGGUUUAUAGUAAAAUGGAUCAUCUUCGGAUCUCUUUCUUAUAAUUCAUCAAAUUAGGGAAUUAAUGUCAUUGAAAUUUGAUCUAACGGUUACAAACAGAGCUCUGCUUUAAAAAUUAUAAUAAUUUCAACCGUUGGAUCAAUUUUCAAUGACAUGGAUUCCUAAUAUGGUGGAUUAAGAUGAAAAAAUCAAGAGAUGAUCACUUUCCAGUUUAUAGCUUCUUUCGUACCAAAAUGUUUUGCUUUUGAAUUUCUUUCUACAAUUAUUACAUUUCAAAACUCCUUAAUGUUGUCGUUGAUAUUGUGAAUCACGGGUCCUACGUGCAUUACAGUGAUACAAUAGGCUAAAUCACAAACUCGUACAUAAUACAUUGUCGUUUUAACGUGUUGUCACAUCAUGAUUGCCAUAAUUGAGCACAUAUCCAUUGAUUCUUGUUUAUAUUCUUUAAUUUAGUGGGUAAAAAAAAAAAAUUAACGAAAUUUUUUUGAUACUAUUCAUUUUAAUGAAAAAUCAUAUUUUUAUAUUAAAAAAAAAAGAGUACGUUGAAAAAUAUAUUAGUUAAUACGGUAUUUUUGACAUAUAUGUACUAGAUUUUGUAGUGAGAUAAGGAUUAUAAUUCUUUUCCUUUUUUAUAAGGGGUGUGCUAUCCACACACCCCAUUUUACUUCUCACACAUCCUUUGAUAGUUUCUGUCCGUUGAUCUUCUUCAAUUCAUCUGAUUCGAAGGCCAAAAAUUAAAAAGGUGUGUGAGAAGUAAAAUGGGGUGUGUGAAUAUCACACCACUUUUAUAAUGAGAUUAGGGUUGCUUUCCCAAUUUUCUAAAGUUUAGGAUUAACUAGCGAAAGUGUUCCCGCACGAUGCUGCGGGUUUUAGAACCAUAUAAAACAUGUAAAAAGUUAUAAAUAUAUAUACAUCUAACUCCCAACCAAAAUAUGCACGCAAUAUUAAGAGGGAUGUGAUAUCCACACACAUUUUUUUACUUCUCUCACACCCUUUUAAUUUUCGACCGUCGGAUCGAAUGAAUUGAAGAAGAUUAAAUGACAAAAUUAAUAAGGGGUGUGAGAGAAGUAAAAAGGGGUGUGUGGAUGGCACACCCCUAUUAAGAAAGUUUGAAAUUAAUAUUAUUUGUAUUCUUGUCAAUCUUCUCAUAGUAAACAUUCAUUCUGAACACAUAAAUUAUUAGGAAGCACAACCCAAGAAUGGUCUGGGGAUUUAAGUUUAUUUGUAUUCUUGUCAAUCUUCACAUAGUAAACCUUUAGGACAAAAUAAGCUCUAAUUAUAUAAGUUAGAGUUUCUAUGUGAGUUAGGAAUAUGCUGGUGUGUAGAAGAUGAAGGCAAACCAUAAUCCAAUUAACAUCAAAACAAAGGAAAUUAAUAUUUAAAAAGUGGAACCAACAGAUGAGUAAAAACUUUUGAAUUUGCAAUGUUAUGGCAGGUGAGUGAAAACUUGUCAGCAACUCUACAUGGUUGGAGGGUAGUGAAAACUUGAUCUAAAAUGCUGCUAAGGAUGAGGACUCUUCCAAACUGAAAAAUACGGUGAAUGGUUCGGAGGAAGAGAGAGAUGGACUUUUAGAGAGAGGGAGUGGGCAUUUGAGAAAGACAAGAAGAGAAACCAGAGUGCAUCGAGAAGGAAGAGAGAAAAGGAAGAAAAAUAAAUAAAAAUAUUCAGUAAGGACACAAUCGGGAUUAUCGUAAAAGUAUGAGGGUAAAAUUGGAACAACACUGUGCUUAUGAAUAGCAUUUCAGUUAUUUUUGGGUUUUAGUAGAUAUUAAAUUUCCUAUUUGUUUAGAUUUAUUUUCUUGUUUGCUUGUACUUUAAAUUUUUGAACAGUUUACAAAAAAUGAAAAAUAAUGUGCAGAAAUCAUUUUGGUUCUAAGUACUGAUAAGUGACAUUGGCCUAAAUUUGAUUGCAUGGCUCUGCUUCUUUCUUAUUUUCCCAUGUCCAAUCCUAUAAAUACCUUCAUACUUGGCCCUCAUAAUCCCACCCAACAACUCCAAUCUGGAAAUUUAAAUCUCUCAACUCUCUCAAUUCUCCUAUUACAAAUAUGCAAACCAUGUGGAAGUAUAUACAUCUAACUUUCACCAUCUUCAGCUGGCUGUUCAACUUCUUGCUCUACCAUUCCUUCUCCAAACAUUAUGAUCACUAUUUUGAUGAAACCAGAGACAUAUCACUUACCACAGUCCAGUAUAAACCCAAUCCCGGGGCGAAUUCGGAGACUAGUACGGCGGAAUGUGCUGUGUGUCUAUGCAAAAUCGAGGAAGGAGAAGAGAUUAGAGAACUGAGAUGUGCUCAUCUCCUUCAUAAACCAUGCUUGGACUGGUGGACUGGAUUUAAGCAUGCCACUUGUCCGAUUUGCCGCAGUCGCCUAGCUCCACCGAGAAGCACACAACUCCAUCAGCAGUUAGAUGAACAAGUGGAAGUGUUGGUGUUUAAGUUUUGCUCUUUCAGCUCGGAUAGUGAUCGUGGCGAUAGAUGGUGGCUGCGUUGAACUUGAACCGAAGAGAGAGAUUUAAAUGAGUAAUUAUAUAUGCACGAGUGAUCCCUUGUUAGCAAAGAUCUGUUCAUCUAAAGUCAAACGUUUAAUUUUGUCUUCCAGUUCUACUGUCAAAUUAAUGUAGUACUUCAUCUAUUUUGGCGAAAAAACAUGUAUGCGUGUGGUGUACCAUGUAUUUGUAAACGAGGAUGAACGGUAGAAAGGUCUCUGUACUUUAUGUUAUGUUUAGUUUCCGAUCAUAAACUAUAAGUUUUUUGCGCUUUUCAACUUAAUUUUGCAUUGCAUGAGCAACAAUGAUGGAUCUUGGAUUCAAACUUUGGGGUUCCAUUGUUAAACUACAAGUUUUUCAGGUAGAAACAAAGUGCACAUGGAAAAAUCUUAAUUUAUAUUCACUCAAACAUUUCGUCACUUGGUGAACUUGUUAUCAUCAAUCAAACUAUGUUGUACACGUAUAAACAUAUUUUGAUAUAGGCCAAAUUGGAUUAUUCAUCCCCGUGGUCAUAGGAAACUUGCAUGAUGACCCCCGUGGUGAAAAAAUUAGGAAUUAAACCCCUGUGGUCAAGAAUGUUUGCAAAUUUAGUCCAAAAGUAAGAUUUCUGUUAAAUGACUAUUAAAAGUAUGGGUAAAACUGUAUUUUCAGCUCCAAUUGACAUUUAAAAUAAAUAAUUUUUUUAUAACAAUUAACAAAAAAAAUAAUGCUUAAUUUUUUAAAUAAAAAAAAGCCCCAAUUCAAUGUCAAUUGGAACUGAAAAUACAGUUUUACCCCAACUUUUAACAGUCUUUUAACAGAAAUCUUAUUUUUGGACUAAAUUUGCUAACAUUCUAGACCACAGGGGUUUAAUUCCUAGUUUUUUCACCACAGGGGUCAUCAUGCAAGUGUCCUAUGACCACGGGGAUGAACAAUCCAAUUUGGCCUUUGAUAUAUGCUAUAAACAUUCCAUCAUAUGAACAGGAUUUGACAUCUAUUUUGCUCCAUCCUCUUUUUUCAUAAGGACCCCGUUUCUCUGCCCUCGCAAUUCACAUACACUUUCAUCUCCUCCUAUUUUGUGCGGUCACGGUUAAGCCACCUCAACAUUUUAUAUUGAUUUUUUUAUAGAGAUAAUAAAACAAAAAACAAUAGUGAUAUAAAAUAUUAACGUGGUUUGACCGUGACCUCACAAAUAAAAGAGAAUGAGAGUGUAUGAGAACUGACAGGGCAGAAAAGCCAGGUCUUUUUCAUAAAACUAUGCUUUGAAAAUGUGGACAGGAUUACGCAUGCCACAGGUCCCAUUUGUCAUCUAACUCCACCAAGAAGCACUGAUCAAGUGGAAGUGCUGCUAUUUAAGUUCUGACCAUUCGGGUCGGAUAGUAAUCAAAACAACAUACUCAAAACACUAUACCAUAAAAGUGGACAUAUCAAUCAUGUCAUUGAUAUACCACAUAAAUUGUGUUUUCUAUUCAUACAAAUUCCUAUUUUUAAGAUUAUCUUUUUUUUUUUUAAGAAAAAUUAAUGAAAAUGAUUUAAAUUUUUUGAGUUUUAAUUAAUGAUAAGGACAAAAUAAAAUGUAAAGUGAAUAGUACCAUGAUUGAUUUUUUAGUGUAAAAAUAUGGUUUUUCGUUAAAAUGAAUAAUACCGAAAGCUUUUCGUUAAAGUUCCAUUUUUUUUCUUAAGGAGAAAAAGAUAUUUCCAGAGAGAGAGAGAGAGAGAGAGAGAGAGAGAGAGAGAGAGGUUUGUAGAAGAAAGAAAGAAAAAAAAAUAAUAAUAAAAUAAUAUUGUUUACUAUUAUUAUUUUAAAAAAAAUCAAUUGAUGGCGCAAUAUAUUUUAUGAGGUAGUGAUGCAUUCGAGCAAUUAUUAUUCACUAAGGCAGUAUUUGCCUUGUCUAAUUGUCUAGUCAGUUAUUGCCUUAGUGGGGUGAACUUGCUCCAAGUCAAUAAGAUUGUCAGAAGUUGGGGUUCCACAUAAAACUAAUUUGCCAAAUGGGAGUCAUCCAUUAUUUAUAAACACAUGCAAGGUUCAUUCUUUUUCUGAUAUAGGAUUGACACUCUCAACAAGCCCUUUCACGCAUUGUUCUAAAAAUCUCCGCUUAUGUGCUAGGCGGCUAGCCAUGACAUUGAUAAAUCCCUUGGUGUUUAAAAAUUAAGAAAGGGUGUCUGCACUUGUUUAGGCGUCCACCCAACCCACCUAGGCGUUCGCCUACGCAUGCAUCGAGGUUGCAGACUCUCACUUAAAAUAGAAAAUAGGUAACUUUCAUUUUGUAUUUUAUUUUUUUAAUAAAUUGUAAGAAACUUGUUAAAUACUCGGAUAAACACUCAUUAUAUGCAUGUCCUCCAUUUUCCCUAUAUGUGUUAUAAUACUUCAUAAUUUUUAUGUCAUUCUAUUUUUCAAUUUAUAUAUUCUAAUACAAUUAGGUAUUUUUCUUAAAACAUAAACAAGCAUUACUUAUACGAUACAUAUAAUAAAUUUAACUUAAAUUCGCCUCGUCCUUUUAGGCCCCGUCUAGCCGCUUAGGCUUUAGACUUUAGUCCGUCGUCCGACUAACGCUUAUGAUCUUUUAGAACUUUGCCCUCAUAUGUGGUGAAUUUUCAAAUUUAACAUGUAGACAAUACAACGAAAUAACGUGAAGCGCGUGUGAUCGUUUAACUUCACAUGUAAAACAAUCUAGUCUGAUACCACGAAGAAGUUUGAAUUCCAACCGACUAUAUAAGAAAUAGUCAAUUAAUUAUAGCCACAUACAAAUCCCUCUUUUCGAACCAUAAGAUUGGAUGAAGAAUUUAAAGGACUGGGACAUGCAAGACUUGUCCUAUUGGGUCAACCCGGCGGUUUAUACCAAAAUAUCUUGGUUUUGAAUUUCUCUUUAAGAUUAAAUUAUAAACAACACUUGGCUAAAGGAUGAGUAAAAUCUCUUAAUUAAAACUCUUAGGGCUUUAAUUAUAAAGUUUUAUGUUUAUGAUCAAAACCGUUCAUACUAUGAAUCACACUGUAAAAAUCAUCUAUGCAAAAAAUAUAUUAAAAUUAAGGUCGUUUAGUCAAUCUAUUAUAGCAAAUACAUAAACGGUUCGUAAUACUUUUACCAAUACCGUUCAUUUGUUUUUAAACAGUUUGAUGACUAAACGACCUUAGUUUUAAAUAACUUUUUUGCAUAGGCGAUAUUUAUUGGAUAAUUUAUAUUAUGAACGAUUCUAAUGAAAAACAUAAAGUUAUAUAAAUUAACAACAAACAAUUUUAAGAAAUUUUAGGUAUGAAUUCUUACUUAUCUUUAACUUUAAGUAGGCAAAUAUUGUUUUUAAAUUAUUACAUUCCAAAACUCCUUAAUUUAGUCGUUUAUUUUGUGAAUCACGCGUCCUAUAUAUCUGCAUUACAGUGACCCAAUAGACUGAACCACCGGACACGUAUGUUGUCGAUUUAGUGUGUUGUCACAUCAUAGAUUGCCAUAAUUGAGUAUCCUGUGUUAGUUGACCACAUAAAUAUUAUGAUACUGUUCAGUAUAUUCAAGGAGGGAAAUAUUUUUGGCCUAAGAUUAUCUCUCAUCUUCUUUCCAUUAUUUCUUCUUAUAUUUUUUAUUUUGUCUUUUUUUUUUAUAAAAAAUUAAUAUAAGAUGGGGAUGUGGUUUAAUCAUGACCGUUCAAAUAGGAAGAUCGGGAAAUGAUAGAAAUGAAGAAACUAGAGAAUCAUACUCCAAUAUUUUUUGCACACUUAUUUUUUUUUUAAAUUACUGAAUAUAUGACCAUUGAUUCUGAUUUAUAGUCUUCAAUCUAAUGGGUAAAAAAUGAGUUUAUGUUGAAAAAUAUAUUAGUUAAUAUGGUAUUUUUGACAUAUAUACGUGCUAAAAUUUUGUUAUAAUUAAUUUCCUAUUUGUCUUGAAGAACCCAGAUCCUUUCCGGAUCCUCAAAAACUGAGACUAAGGAUCAACUGAUUUGGACUAUUGAAAUUUGAUCUAACGGCUACAAAUAGGGAGCCUUUGUAAAAGUUAUAAUAAUUGUAGUCGUUAGAUCAAAUUUCAACUGUCCGAAUUAUUUGAUCUUUAGACUCAGGUUUUGGACAUCCAAGGAGGAUCUGGGUUCUGUUUUGAAUAUAUUUACCUUUUUGCUUGUACUUUAAAAUUUUUAGCAGUUUAGAAAAAGUGAAAAAUAGUGUGCAGAACUUAUUUUCGUUCUCACCAUUUACAAUUGACAUUAGCCGAAAUUUGAUUGCAUGGCUCUGCUUUCCUCUAUUAUUUUCCCAUGUCCAAUCCUAUAAAUAGUAAUACCUUCAUACUUGGCCCUCAUAAUCCCACCCAACAACUCCUAUUUGGAAAUUUAAAUCUCUCAACUCUAUCAAUUCGCCUUUUACAAUUAUUCGAACCAUGUACAAGUACAUACAUCUAGCUUUCACCCACCUCAGCUGGCUACUCAACUUCGUGGUCUACCAUUCCUUCUCUAAACAUUAUGAUCACUAUUUUGACGAAUUAUUGCCUGCAGACCAAGCCACAGAAAUAUCACUUACCACAGUCCAGUACAAACCCAAUCCCGGGCCGAAUUCGGAGACUAGUACUGCGGAAUGCGCUGUGUGUCUCUGCAAAAUUGAGGAAGGAGAAGAGAUUAGAGAACUGAGGUGUGCUCAUCUCUUUCAUAAACCAUGCUUGGACAAAUGGACUGGAUUUAAGCAUGCCACUUGUCCGAUUUGCCGCAGUCGUCUAGCUCCACCAAGAAGCAAACAACUCCAUCAGCAGUUUGAUGAACAAGUGGAAGUGCUGCUGUUUAAGUUUUGUUCUUUCAGCUCGGACAGUGAUCGUGGCGAUAGAUGGUGGCUGCGUUGAACUUGAACCAAAGACAGAGAAGCAGCAGAGAGUCAUGCCAGAUUUAAACGAAUUAAUAUCGUACUCGUUUGGCGGAAGAUGUAUUAUUAUCUUUAGUCAAAUAAAAAAAAUAAGGAAUAAUAGAUUUAUGUUUUCUUUUAUGCCAGACCUCCAAAACUCACCAGAACUACACAGCAGCAAACAAAUGAAACGAAAAAAAUAAUUCUGGACACCAGCCGUGUGCAUACAUCUAAUUGCCGCCCACUUAAGCUUAGGGGUGGGUUCAAAAAAUCAAACCGGAGCCGAAAAAUACUGAACCGAAAAAAAAAAUCGAACCGAAACAGCCAAACCAAAUCGAACCGAAUUUGGCCAGUUCGGUUUCGGUUUUUGAGGUUUGGAAACCGAACUGGACCGAAAAAAUAUAAUCUAUAUAUAAAUACACAAAAACGUGUUGGCAUCAGAGUUUGA
Molecule: long non-coding RNA, 105474 nt
Filed under: Malus domestica (apple)
Lineage: Eukaryota; Viridiplantae; Streptophyta; Magnoliopsida; Rosales; Rosaceae
Description: long non-coding RNA (MDOM_LNC011785)
Source: RNAcentral